Molecule: long non-coding RNA, 102848 nt
Filed under: Citrus x clementina
Lineage: Eukaryota; Viridiplantae; Streptophyta; Magnoliopsida; Sapindales; Rutaceae
Description: Citrus clementina (C. clementina) long non-coding RNA (CCLE_LNC000327)
Source: RNAcentral
AUUUAACAAAAUGAGGGUAGAAAAGGAAGAACCCACUCCCACCUCUCCCUAUGGGAGUGCCAUCCCACUCCCCACUCCAAAAAUGGACGGGGCUCAUGGAGUGGGAUUCUCAAUUUGCCCUUAAAAUGUGCAAGUAAAUACUGAAGUGAGAGGAAUCCAUACUCCGAACACCCACUCCAGAAAAUAAACACAACAUAUUUAAGUUACAGUAUUUGUUCUUAUAACUUCAAAAUUAAGUUGAUUUGAUCAUAUACUUAUAUGAUGAAAAACCUAUAAUAUCUUCAUUUUCUUUUUGUAAAUAUUAUUAUUCAAAGUUAUAUUUAUUAUAAACUAUUAGUUUUUAUCUCAUAGUUAAUUUCACAGUAACUAUGGUUCAAAAACUACAACAACUCAAAUACUAAAUAGAGCCUAAAACUUUCUUCUUCUUUAAUAUAAUCUCAAUUUUAAAGCUAACAUUAAUUGUCAUUCUUUGACAGAGCUUUGUGUUGGAGAAAGAAAGCAGGAAAAAAAUGUUUUGUGGUUAAAGCAAGAUAUUAUUAGCACCUCCAUGGAAUCCUUAUAAGUUAUAACCUAGAUCUUUUUUUUGCUAUUUUAUUUUAUUUUUUCAAAAGCACCCACUUUAAUUCCACUUAUAACCAGGGGCGAAGCUAAAGGGUGGCUUACCUGGGCCGUAGCCCGGGUAAGAUUUUUGGAAAUAAUAUUUUAGUUAAUUACAUAAAUUUCCUAAUUUGCAUGCUUGAUUUGAAUUUUCAAGGAAGACCAUGUAAUUGAAGAAAGUCUUUCUAAUCCGGAUGAACUAUUGGUUUAUCUCAAACAUGUUAUGAAUAGUUGGUAGCGUGCAUGCCUGGUAUGGAUAGUAAUUAAAAAUUUUUUAGCCCACCCUAAAAAAUAGUGUUAGCUUCACCCCUGCUUAUAACCUACACCUUUGUUUCCUACAGGCUCUUCUAUCACUCUCUCUUAUAAGGUUUCGACUCCCCACUCUCUCUCUUUGUUUGUAGAAUAUUUCUAAAUUUGCUAUUGAUUUUUUGUGUUACCAAUAUGAAUCCUCAUUCAGAUUGGACUAUCUUUCAUAAAAGAAAAUUAUAUGUGUAUUUGUAAAUUAUACAUGAAAAAAUUACUUUGAUAGUCAUUUACUUUUUGUAGUUUCAACGCCCUUUCCACUACCAUUUUGUUUACUUCGUCGAUGAUGAAUUUCCACUUCUUCACCAUCAAUAGUUCAAAUAUUAGCCGCCUUCUCAGCAUCAUCUACCAUUUGCAUAUAUAUGUGUGUGUAUCUAUAUAAAAGCAAAUCAAAUUAUCUGAGGAAACAAAUUAAAUAUAUAAUUGAUUAAAAAAAGGAUAUCCAUGAUUAUCAUAUAUCAUAUAUACCGAGGAUUGAUAUCAACCAGUGAUUUGUUUGUCUUGUUUUUUUCUUUACAAGGAAAGAUGUGUAGGGUUUGAUUGGGUUAGUUUAUUUUCAAAUUAUAAAGGGCAAAACUAUAUAUGUAUAAAUAUGAUGUUUUAUAAGAGUUUUGGAGGGAUGCUAAAUUACUAAUAGUCCUACACUUAAUUUAAUAACCUUCUAAAGCUCUAUUUGGUAUUAAGAUGCUACAACUUUUAAGCUAUAAUUGUUAUGGGCAAAAAACUGUAAUUAUGAAAUAAAUAUUAAUAAGAUAUAGUAAAAUAUGACUUUUAAAUAAUAAUUUUGACAAAAUAAUAAAGAUAUUAUAGGUUCUUCAUCAUACAAGUGGUGGAUAAAAUCAACUUAGUUUCUAAGUAAUAAGUAAUAUUUACCAAAUACUUUUAGGAUUGCUUUAGGGAGGUUAAAAAUUGAUUCUGGAAAGUUAACAACUAAUUUUAGUGUUUCCUAAAUUUUUUUAGAAAUUACUUUUAGUAAAAUUAUCCCAUCCUACAACAAAUUUUGAAGAGUAGGGAAGGAGUAACUUUUCAAAUUUUGAUUUUGCAAAUCAAUUUUAUACUUUUUUAUAAAUUUUAUAAAAAUAUAAAAUUAUCCUUAUUAACUAAGAAAUAAAAUCUUUAACUUUAAAGAGCUUUUUGUUAUUACCAACAAAAUUAAAACUAAAAUUAAAAAUAUAAGAUAUUUAUCUAGUUAUCAAUUAUUAUAUAUAUGCAAUAAAAAAUAUUUUAUAUACAUGUUUAUAAAUAUGUAAAUAAAUGUUAUUCAAUAGUAUGUCCAAUUCAGUCAUUUAUAUUCUUACAGUAGUUUAACAGUAAGAUUUAUCAAAUAUAUACAACUGUUUUGAAAAAUUACAAUACUUUUAAAAGUAAUUUUUACCAAACAUUUAAUUAAUUUUCUUAUUAUGUACAACACAAUUAACAACAAUUAUUUUAAAAACUAUAAUAUUACCAAAUUAUCCCUUAGAGUUAUAGUUUUUAAACUAUAACUGCCUUAUCUCAAUACCAAAGAGGGCAAAAAUUGACUUGACUUGCAUAUAUAGCUAGCUUAACAAAGAAGUCUUACUCUUAAGGCAUUUGUGAGUUGCAAAUUAAGGAAGAAUGAAUAGAGAAAGUAAAGUGGACAUUACUGUUUUUUAUUAGCUGCUUGCAGAGUGCAUUUCCCACAUCAUUUCUCUCACAACUCCUCAAGAUGCCUGCAGAGUAUCAGUGGCAUGUCCCAUUUCCAAAUCAGUUAUGGAUUCAAAUUCCGAGUGGGAGAAUUUUCUGCCAUCUAAUUACAAGCAGAUCAUUUCCAAUUUGGUCAAAUUCAUCUUUGAUCAUGUCUUUGUGUAGGAAAGAUCUUUAUUUUCAUCUUUGUCACAACCCAUCAUCGUUGAAAUGCUAGUCAUGCAACUAAAGAGAAAGGGUGAAUUGGGAUUUUAAAACUUAAACUAAACAAACCACACAAGAAUUCAAUCUAUUGCCUUAAUGAAAUAAAAAAUAAUAAAUUUAAUAAAGCACAAUAAUAAAAGAUUAAGAGAAGAGAAAGCAAACAUAAUGAUUUUUACGUGGUUCGGCAAUCCUCGUCUAUGUCCAUGCCUCCAAGCCAACCAAGCUUAAGGAUUUCACUAUCCAAUCCUCCCAAGGCUUCAAAUUCUUUACAAUUGACUUCCAAUGUGUCAAUAAACAUUUACAAUCAAGAGAUUAUCUUCCAAUCUCUUCACCCAAGUGUUUCUCACACUUAUACACUCACAAAUUUUACAAUGAAUUCAAGAAUUAUAACAAAUACUCUCUUUUAGAGUAGAUAUACAAAUAAUAGCUCAAUGAAGAUUUAAUCUAUGAUGAUUUGGGAAUUGGAAGCUCAAAAUAUGUUGUUUACACUUGUUUGUGCUUGCAAAAGUCUCUAAUCUGAAGUUGGAUUUGAGUUUAUAUAGUUUUAAACCAAAAUUAGCCGUUAUAGGUAAAUUCUAGCAAGCAAACGGCUAGCCGCUUCAUGAGGCAACUCACCUCUUCAGAACAAUGAGGUUACCGUUGUAAUUUGAAUUUUGCUACAGUAACAAUGUUUACAAAAAUUACAUGUUUGCCCAAAUCUUUUAGUAAUCUUACUAUGGCCAAGAAGUCAUAAAACUUUGCAAACAGAUCCAAUUCCAGAAUUUUUAAAUAAUGCUUGCUAUUCUCAAAACUUUCUAAAAUUAUGAUAUGGUUCAAAACUUUAUAAAACUUUUCAAAGAGGUCAUAUUUAGAAUUUUAACAUAAUACUUAUUUAUUUCAAAGUUCUCAAAACUUUUUCACUUUAAUCCAAAAUUUGAGAAUUUGAAACUUGCCUCAGGCUGCUAGCUGCUAGCGUGAUGGGGUUAGCCGCUAACUCCCUGUUUAUUUUUAAUAUUUAUACUUUAGCCCUAAUGCUUUUAGAAAUUAUAAUAUGGCCUAAAGUAUUUCAAAUGUUUACAACUAGGUCCAAUCCAAAAUUCAAAACAAUACUUAUUAAAAUUAAAGAUUGUAAUUUUUUUUCAUUUUAGUUCACAUCUUGAAAAACAACUAAUCUCCUGCUUUUUGAUGAUCACAGACGUCUCAUAUAUUUUGACAUUUAUACUCCCCUUAGUAUAUGACAUACAUAAUUCAACAUAUAUAAAUCAACUAUGAACUCCCCCUGAAUACAUGAUCUAUAACAAAUAUAAACUCCCCUUAAAUAUCUCAAAAACAUGCAUCAAUAAUUCAAGAUUAAAAUACAUGUUACAUGUCUUCGGGAAUUUAAAAUACAUGACUUCUCCUCCUUCAUCAUCAAAAUUACUAUAAAUUCAUGCUUAGACAAAAAAUAAUCACUCAAUGAUUAAUAAAAAAUAUAUAAAAAAAUAUGCAAUUAACCAAAGAGUUAUAACAUUCCAAGAAUCCAGAAAACAUCAUCCAAAUAAAGAGCAUCCAAGUUAUCAAACAACAAUCAUUCUCAAUCCAUAUUAAAAAUAACAAUGCAUAUGAAAAUGUAGUGCAUAAUAAAACGGGGAAUCGAAAGAAAAACUAUAAGGAGAGCACAUUAUGGAAGUAGCGAAUAUGAUGAGGAGGAUGGUGGUGAAAACGUAAAAAUACCCAAACACACAAAUUCGGAAUUUCAAAAAUUGAGUGAAAUGGAUAAGUUUGAUCCCAUUAAAUUGAUUCUAGAGAUGAUUUAAAACAAUGUAUGGUGUUGAUUGAAUCAAAAAUGGGCUUUUGAGAAAUAAGUGAUGAUUUGAUGAUUUUAAAAUUCUUUAAUGGAAGUUAAAUGGAUGGGAAAUGAUUUGGAUGGUUGAUUUUGGCAAGAAAAUGAGUGAAAAUUGAAGAAAAUUUGAGAGGAAAUAGAGGAGAGACUGUGGGUAGAGAGAGAAUGAGAGGUUGAAGAAACAAAGAAGAAAAGAACAAGAAAAGCACAAACCCAUGCCCAGGCGGUUAGCCACUUAGAGCAGGCGGCUAGCCGCUUGCUAUCGGGUUUCGCUAGGCGGUUGGCUGCUUGUUUAGGUGGUUAGCUGGCUAUCCUCUAUUUUUCUACACUAUUUUGUUGUCCGGCUGAGUUUUGAUUAAUUUCUAGACCAUUUCGUGAUCCCGAAAAGUUUCAAAAGCCAUUUUAAUGCAUGAGACAUGAUAAUUAACAUUCAAAAGAUCAUAAAAAUCAAAUUUAUAACAUAUUCAUCAUGCAUAUAUAUAUGAUAAACACUUGAAGAUUGAAAAUUCAAACAUAUUACUCAUUUAUCAUGCAUAGGCAUUAUAUAGUCAUCAACAAUCAUCAAUCAAUCAAUUUCAAUAGUCUCAAUAACAUUAUUAGAGAUGUUAAUACAAAAAUUUCAUCAUCUGAGUUCAUGCCAAAUUUUUUAAAAUUGUUCUUAGCAAAGAGUUUUUGUAAAAAUUUUGGCAAAUAGUUUUUCUAUAGAGAUAAAUUCUAAUGUAAUAUCUCCCUUUUGAACAUGAGCUCUCAAGAAAUGUGUCUUAUCUCUAUAUGCUUGGUUUUAGAGUGCUGAAUGGGAUUCCUUGAUAGAUUUAUUGCACUAGUAUUAUCACACAUGAUAUGAAUUUGUUCAAGAUUAAUGUUAUAAUUUCUAAAUGUUUGUUUUAUCCAAAGAGCUUGUGCACAACAACUACCAGCGGUAAUGUAUUCAGCCUCGGUGGUUGAGAGUGCAACCGAAUUUUAUUUUUUACUAAACCAUGAAACAAGUGAAUGACCUAGGAAAUGACAAGUUCCACUAGCGUUUUUCCUAUCGAUUUUAUAACUAGCAAAAUCAGCAUCUGAAUAACAAGUUAAAUCUAUAUGAGUUCCUCUAGGAUACAAAAGGCCAAGAUUUAUGGUUCCACUCAAAUAAUGAAAAAUUCUUUUGAUAGCAAGCAAAUGACAUUUCUUAGGACAUGAUUGAAAUCUUGCACACAAACAUACACUAAACAUAAUUUCGGACCUACUAGCAGUUAAGUAAAGUAAAGAGCCGAUCAUACCUCGAUAUAUUUUGAUAUCAACCUCUUUAUCUUUUUUUUUUUAUCUUUUUUAAGCUUGAUUGUUGUGCUCAUUGGAGUGCUCUUCGUCUUUGAGUCAUUAAUGUCAAAUCUUUUAAGUAGAUCUUUGACAUAUUUAGCUUGGUUGAUGAAGAUUCCCUCAUUGUUUUGUUUGAUUUAAAGUCCAAGGAAAUACUUCAAUUCUCCCAUCAUGCUCAUUUGAAAUUCCUUACUCAUACAAGAUGAAAAAUCCUUGCACAAAGACUUAUUAGUAGAACCAAAAAUAAUAUCAUCAACAUAAAUUUGAACAGCUUGUAUGUCUUAGUUCUUAUGCUUAACAAAAAGAGUAGUAUCCGCUUUUUCCAUUGAAAAAUCGUUAUCCAACAAGAAAUUUUUAAGCUUAUCAUACCAUGCUCUAGGUGCCUCUUUUAAUCCAUACAGUGCUUUAGACAACUUAUAUACAUGAUUUGGAAACUUUUCAUUUUCAAAACCAGAGGGUUGUUUCACAUAAACUUCUUCCAUAAUAUAACCAUUUAAGAAAGUACUUUUGACAUCCAUUUGAUAUAAAAUGAAAUUUUUAUGACAUGCAAAUGCUAACAACAUCUUAAUGGAUUAUAAUCUAACUACAUGUGCAAAUGUUUCAUCAAAAUCAAUUCAUUCUUCUUGGUUGUAUCCUUGAGCCACUAAUCUAACUUUAUUCCUUACAACCACAUCAGAUUCAUCCAUCUUAUUCCUAAAUACCCAUUUAGUACCUAUUAUGGAUUGAUGUUCUAGUUUAGGAACUAAUUCCCAUACAUUGUUUCUCUCAAAUUUAUUCAAUUCUUCUUGCAUUGCUAUAAUCCAAGAUUCAUCAUUUUCCAUAUCCGCAAAGGAUUUUGGUUUAAUUUGAGAUAUGAAUGCAGCAUGCUCACAAGUAUUUCUAAAUGAUGAUCUAGUGGUAACAUCUCUUGAAGGAUCACCUAAAAUUAAAUCAUUAGGAUGAGAGGAAACAUACUUCCACUCCUUAGGGAGUGUUUGAGAAGUACCUUCUUGUUGCUCCAUAUUUGUCUUUUCUUCUUAUCUAUGUUUUAAAGAUUCUUGUUUUAACUCUUAACCUACAUCAUCAUCAACAAUAACUUUCUCCGUAGAGGAAAUGUUAGACUCAUCAAAUGUAACAUACAUAGAUUCUUCUACAAUCAAAGUUCUUUUAUUAUACACUCUAUAAGUUUUACUUGUGUUUAAAUAAUCAAGAAAAAUACCAACAUCAAAUUUUGGAUCAAAUUUGCCAAGAAUAUAUUUUGUGUUCAAAAUAAAAUAUUUGUAUCCAAAAACUUUGAAAUAAUCAAUGUUGGGUUUUCUAUCUUCCCAAAGCUCAUAGGGAGUUUUAUUGAGAUAAGAUCUAAUCAAUACAUGAUUUAAAACAUAACAAGCGGUGUUAACGGCUUCAGCCCAAAAAUACUUAAGCAAAGUAUUUUCAUUCAACAUGGUCCUAGCCAUUUCUUGGAUAGACUUAUUCUUUUUCUCAACAACUCUAUUUGUUGUAGAGUCUUAGGUAAUGAAAAUUUAUGCUCAAUGCCAAAUCAUUACAAAAAUUCUCAAAUUCAUGAUUUUUAAAUUCUCCACUAUGAUCACUUAUAAUACAAGAAAUAGCAUAUUCCUUUUCAUUUUGAACUUUUUUUACAAAAAACUCUAAAUGCAUCAAAGACAUCAUUCUUAUUAGCUAAGAACAAUACCCAUGUGUAUCUAAAAUAAUCAUUUACAAUUAAAAAUGCAUAAAAUUUGUCACUUAAACUAGCAUAUCUAAAGGUCCAAACAAAUCCAUGUGAAGUAAUUGAAGUGGUUUUGAAGUUGAGACAUGACUCUUGUUUUUUAAAGAAGUUUUGUUUGUUUUCCAAAUUGGCAAAGCUUCACAAAUUCUAUCUUUUUGAAUACUAAUUUUUGGAAGAUCUUUCACCAAAUUAUUUUUGAGAUUUUUGAAAUCAAAUCCAUGCUUGCAUGACCUAGUCUUCUAUGCCAUAACCAAUCAUUAUCAUGUAAUUCGGAGAAACAUUUAUCAUUAGUAGAUGCAUAAUCUAUAUUAAUGCUAUAAACAUUAACACAUCUAUUUCCUACAAACAAAAUCAUGCCACCACAUGCAUUUUCAAUAACACAUUUCAAUUUAUCAAAGAUAACUCUAUAGCCUUUAUCACACAAUUAACUAAUGCUAAGCAAAUUUUGUUUUAAGUUUUCAACCAAACACACAUUUUCAAUGAGAGUAGAGGAUACAUUACUAACAUUGUCAAUACCAAUGAUCUUUUCCUUUGAAUUAUCUCCAAAGGAAACAUUUCCACUGUUCUCAAUCUUAGUAAAACUUGAAAAGCAAGAGUAAUUCUCUGUCAUGUGUCUUGAACAUCCACUGUCGAAGUACCACUUAUUUUUUCUUUUUUUUUUAUCCUUGCAGAAAAAGUUUCUAAGUUUUAGGUACUCAAAACUUGUUGAGUUCUUGAGUGUUAGCAAUGGUUCCUUUUGGAACCUAAAUACAUUUGAUUCCAUAGUAUACAUUUCUUUUAACAUGGCAUCAAUAACUCAUGUGACCAUUUCCAUUGCAAUUAUGAUAAACAAUCUUAUGAUCACUUGUGAAGGAAGAUUUAACAAAAUAAUUCUUGUAAUAUUUAUAUUUCAAGUUAGACUUAUACCCAAGUCUUCCUUUAUCAAACACACAUUUUUGAGUGCUCAGUAAUUUUUCUAAGUUCUUUUGACCACUUGUGAAUUUUGACACAAUUUCAUUGAGCUCAUUACUCGUUUUCUUAAGCACUUCAUUUUCUUUUAUUAAUUCAUCAACAUGUGAUUUUUCAUGCUCAUAUGAAAUACUUCAUUUACCUUUAAAUGAUGCAAUUCUAUCAUACAACACGUUAUUAUCUAACUCUAGUUUUUUUUUUAAUGAAUCAUUGCAUUUUUGUAAAACAUCCUUUUCAUUUAAAAUUUCUAGUAUUUUCUUUUUAAAGGAUGCACUCUUUUUACCAACUUUUAUCUAAUCAUCACGUAAUUCUUUAAAGGCAUUAUAUAACUCAUCACUUGUUGCUUUUCAUUACUCGUUUCCAUAUCCCUGUCAUCUCAUGUUGCUACCAUUGCCUUUUUCUUAAGCUUGUUGAGGAGAGGACACUCCAAUCGUAUGUAUCCAUGCUUCUUGCAUUCAUAGCAAGUAAUUGCCUCUUUCUUCUCCUUUUGAAUCUUGUAGCUUCUGAACUUUUUUCGCUCACUAGUUUUCUUGUAGAAUUUUCUAAAUCUCCUAGCCAGCAUAGCCAUCUCCUCAUCAUCCAGAUUACUUUCCUCAUCACUCUCAUGUUUUGAAACUUUGAGAGCAAUUCUUUUCUUCUUCUUGUCAUUGCCUUUUUCUGUUGCCAAGUCUUCCUCAUAAGAAAUGUGACCUAAUAAUUUUCUUAACUUUCUUGUUAUUCGAAAAAGUCUUUCUUAUGGCUCUUAGAGUGUUCACUAUGUCCAUAAAUCUAGUAUACAUAGAAUACACACUCUCAUUUUGCUCUAUUUGGAAUAAUUCAUAUUGUCAAGUGUAUAUACUAAUUUUAGACUCUUUUACUUGAUUUGUGCCUUCAUAAACAACUUUAAGUUUGUUCUAAAUUUCAUGAGCACUUUCACAAUUAGACACUCUAUGAAACUCUUUCUUGUCAAGUGCACAAAAUAAGGCAUUCAUAACUUUAUAAUUUAGAGAAACUUUUCUCUUUUCCAAUUCAUUCCAUUCCCGUGAAGGUUUUGAAAUAUAUUUCCCAACUUCAUUUUUAGUCAUAGGCAUGAAUGGACCAACACAUACAACAUCCCAAAUUUCAUAAUAUAUUACUUGUAAAUAAAUUUUCAUCCUAGUUUUUCAAUAAGGGUAGUCAUUACCAUCAAAUAAUGGUGGCCUAGUUAUGGAUUAACCUUCCCUAAAUGUACGAUCAUUUUCGAUUGCCAUUGAUUUUUUACUCUAGAUGGUGCCAUUGAUUUUUUACUCUAGAUGGUUAAGUCCUAAUAAGAGAACUAAGUUCUGAUACCAAAUGAAAUGCUAGUUAUGCAACCCAAGAGAGAGGUGAAUUGGAAUUUUAAAAUUUAAGCUAAACAAACCACACAACAAUCUAAUCUAUUACCUUAAUGAAAUUAAAACAAUAAAUUUAAUAAAGUAUAAUAAUAAAAGAGUAAGGGAAGAGAGAGAAAACACAAUGAUUUUUACGUGGUUCGGCAAUCUCCGCCUAUAUCUACGCCUCCAAGCCAACCAAGCUUGAGGAUUUCACUAUCCAAGCCUCCCAACGCUUCAUGUUCUUUACAAUUGACUUUCAAUGUGUUAAUAAAUAUUUACAAUCAAGAGAUUAUCUUCCAAUUUUUUCAUCCAAGUGUUUCUCAUAAAUUUUACAAUGAAUUCAAGAAUUACAACAAAUACUCUCUUUUAGAGUUGAUAUACAAAUAAUAUCUCAAUGAAGAUUUAAUCUAUGUGAUUUAUGAAUUGGAAGCUCAAAAUAUGUUGUUUACACUUGUUUAUGCUUGCAAAAGUCUCUAAUCUGAAGCUGGAUUUAAGUUUAUAUAGUUUUAGCCUAAAACUAGCCGUCAUAGGUAAAUUCCAGAAAGCAAGCAGCUAGCCGCUUAAUAAGGAGGCUCGCCUCUUCAGAACAGUAAAGUUACCGUUGAAAUUUAAAUUUGGCUAUAGUAAUAUUGUUUACCAAAAUUACACUUCUGCCCAAACCUUUUAGUAAUCUUAUUAUGGCCCAAAUUGUCAUACAACUUUGCAAACCGAUCCAAUUCUAGAAUUUUUAAAUAAUGCAUGUUAUUCCAAAACCUUUCUAAAAUUAUGAUAUGGCAGAAAACUUUAUAAAAUAUUUCAAAGUAGUCAUAUUUAGAAUUUUAACAUAAUACUUAUUUAUUUCAAAGUUUUCAAAAUUUGAGAAUUUGAAAUUUGCUUCAAGCGGUUAGCCGCUAACUCUCUGUCUAUUUUUGAUAUUUAUACUUUAGCACUAAAACUUUAGAAAUUAUAAUAUGGCCCAAAUUAUUUCAAAUGUUUGCAACUAGAUCCAAAUCUAGAAUUCAAAACAAUACUUAUUAAAAUCAAAUAUUGUAAACUUUUUCAUUUUAGUCCACAUCUUGAAAAAGAACUAAUUUCAUUAAAUAUUUAGCUUAUAAUUACAAAACCUUCAGUUUAUGAAAAAUAAUGAUUUGUUAAACAAAAUCUUGAACUUCUCAAAUGAUAAACCAUGCAUUUAUUAAAUCAUACCGGCUUUACAAGAAUUUGUCGUAAUAAUGACUCCGUUGAGUUAAACUUUGUUCUCGAUCACGCCAUUAUCCAUUGAGUGUCUUGAACUUGAUUUCACAUGAUUCACUUGCAUAAAUAUUAUCCUUCAAGAACUAAUGAAAAUGUGAAAUACAGUACUUAUCAUGUUACUUAAGACAUAUGUUUGUUAUCAUCAAAAUUACAAAAUGUGUAGCCCUUUAGGCUAACAAUCGUCAACAAUGGUGUUAUGGUAAGUCAAACUUGACUUAGGUUUUCUUUUCUUUUUUUUCUUUUUUUGGUUAAGUAGAUAUCAAAUUUAUAUGCAAAGCAUAUGUUAUAUGAUUAAUUAAGUAAUUAAUUUUAGUGUAUGAUUGAUCUGUUGAUCAAACUAGAAUAUGGAACUUUAGUCAUUGCUCCAAAUUAGAAAUUGGUGAAAUUAACAAUCUGUUUUGUUUUAAUCAAAAUCUAGAUUGGCUGGUCUAUAAUUGAUUUUGAAUCUUAAUUUGCGACGAAAUUUAUUUUUCCUCUAAUUUGGGCAUAGUAAGCGCUGAUGCUUCAGCUAUUCAAUUUUCUUAUAAAAUGACUAAAUUUAAACAUCAUGGAUGACUUGUUGCCCAUUGAAAUAUCUCAUAAAUGACUUGCACAUGACAAGGAAUCACCAUUUGUGCCGACUAAGGCCCUCUUUGGAUUUCCUCAGGAUUUAUGAUUCUUCUAAGCAAAAUUCACUUAGAGGAUUGAUGAUUAAUAAUUAAAUCCUAACAACGUACACUAUUACUAAACAAUCAUAUGGCAUAUUGUUGGUGAUUAUUAUAAUCAAAUGUUACUGAUGCUAAUGUGCAAGUGUACACAACAAGUAAUAAAGUGAUGAAUAUUUAAGAUCGUCUCCACAGGGAUUGAUGUUACUAGAAAUGCUACAACAAUCACAAUAGUGCAAUCUACCUUAAUUCUGAAAUUAACAAAUGUAAAGUUGGUUCUAUUGAAAUUAAUAAUUGUGAGAGAAUAAAAUGAAACAAUGCAGUAAUGAAACAAAUUAAAUAAAAUGCGUCAAAGAAUCAAAUGAGAAUAAGGUAGUUGAAUGAUCAAACUCUCUUAAUUGGCUAACUGCUUUUUAUCAAGUUAACACCAGUUGUUACAGCAAUUGCUACAACAUUGGGCAGAAUUAUUUUGCAUCCUCAGCUGUCGCGUGUUGAAACUCUCAUACCCUUAAGUAUAUUAGCAAUGACCAGUUGCUAUUCUACCUAUGGCAUGGCAUUAUGAACCUCUAUUCUCUUCAUCCUACAAGGUGAGUACCUAUGUCUAGUUUGUCACAAAUCUUAACUUCAAGUAUAGGCCUUAUGGGAUUCAAGAUAAACUUAAUCUAGGAAACUUAAAUUAAGAUCAAGUAUUACUCUAAUAAUAUCCACUAAGACAUGCCAUUUUGUGCCUCUAUCUUAACUUAAACCAUUAAAUGGGUGGUCAACCGAAAUAACAGUUAUAAUAAUAGCUACUAGAGUAAAAUGCUACAGCAAUGACAUAGCAACUCAUAAGAACAGUCAAGAACCCAUUAAAUUAUUUGUCACUCAACUACAAGCAAAUUUAGUUCAUAUUCUGAAAGAGAAAAACAAACAUCAACAUAUUGUUCACGAGAUACAUUAGAUCAGUCAAAGAAAAAAGAAAGGUAUAAGUCAAGAACGGCAAAAAGUGAAUCCAAAUAACUAUGCUGGAUUUUUCAAUGCUGCUGCAACCGUUCCCUUGAAUUCUGAUCUUCUUCUUUUUUUUCUCUCUAAUUUUUCCAAUGAUAAUUCUUUGCCGCCGUUUUAUGUGGUGCACGCCUCUUUUUAUAACUAAAAACUAGGGUAAACAAAAGCCUCGGGCAUGCAUGAGUUAAAUUAGAAAACUACAGAUUGCAAUUCUGCAGCUAACCCGCGCUAAGUUUUCUCCCUCAGUGCUCCAGGAUUGCUACAGCAAUAGUUGCUCUAGCAACGGCUAUAACACUGCAAUGUUCCCGGUUGUGCUUCACUUCUUUUGUGGUCAUAUUCUUUCCUCCUCUUGCUAGUCUAAUAUCUCAGCAUCCCUUCAUGAAUUAUAAACUUCUGAAAACCUACAAUUAUGCACAUGUUUUGAGUACAAAUUACUUUAAUUCAAGCAAAACUUAUUAAGACUCAACUAAAAUGGAUGUUUAUGCAAAAUAUAACCAAAAUAUAAUAAAAACACCUCAUUUACUCUCUAAGUGGUCUUGAUUUAAGUCUGAAAUUUCUGUAAUAACUCUCAUUUCAUAGAGUUAUCACGUAUAUGUUUAAAAAUUUAGAAGAGCUCAGAUCAUAAGAGAAUAUUUUCUUGUCUUUAUAUAACAAAAGCUAUAAUUUAUGUUGAUCUUUGCAUAUUAUCCUAGUACAUUUGCAAGGUUCUUGAAGUGGUAUAUAUCAGUGCCGAAUCAAUAUUUUCUCUUGAUCUUUGAUUCAUCGAAGCUAAAUUCAUUUAGAUGAUUGAUGAUUAGUAAAUCCUAACAACAUACACCAUUACUAACAUACUAUUAUUACAUAAAAAUUGAUAUUAGGCCCAAUGACCCAAUUUAGCCAAUCAAGCUUAGGCAUGGGAUGUGUUACAUGCUUCUCAAAGUUCACACAGGGCAUUACCUAAUGGAAACAUGCAAGGAAAACAUGAAAUUUAGUUAUGCUAGCUGUUCAGGACAAUCAACGGUAGUAUCUAUUCUUAAAGCUUAAAUACAACAAAGUAGUGGCAAUGAAAUAUUGCCAACCAAUUUUGACAAAGAAAAAUCAUUUUAUUAAAAUCAAUUAAUUUUAACAAAUAAAUUAUUAUUUUAAAGCCCACCAAUUUUGAUAAAACAAAAUAAAUUAUAUUUUAAAGCCAAGCAAAAUUGACAUCUUGGGCUGGGUUUGCCCUAUAAAUAUGGGAGUUGAGAGCAUGGAGAGAUCAUGAAUUAAGAGAGUAUUUUGAGAACUUUGAGUUCUUAAUUUAAUAAUUUGAGAGUUUAGGUGUAUUGAAGUGUUAAGUUGUGAGAUAACAUAUUGCAAUACUUGUAACUCUACGCAACUACUAAAAUAUUUCCUCUCACCUUCUUUCGUGGACGUAGGCUAAAAGCCGAACUAAGUAAAUUCUUGUGUCUCUUGUGUUAUAUUUAUUUCUCAAUUUCAUUUUAGUGCAUCUACUUCACCCAUCAAUUCACUAGCAAUGUUAUCAAAGCUAUUGAUUGCAAUUAUAUCUUCAAUAAUCUUGUGUUAUCAAAUGCUCUGCAUAGUAUCUCUACUUCGAAUAAUUACAAUCAAUGGCUGUGAUAUCAUUGCCAAUGAAUUAAUUAGUGAAGUAGAUACACAACUAAAAUGAAAUUGAGAAAUAAAUAUAACACAGGAGACAUAAGAAUGUACAUGGUUCGACUUUUAGCCUAUCUACCGAAAAAGAUGAGAGGAAAUAUUUUACUAGUUGUGUAGAGUUACAAGUAUUACAAUUGAAUUCUCAAAUUAAUGUUAAGUUCUUAAAUUUCUUUCUUAAAGUUCUCAAAAUACACUCUCAAUUCAUGAUAUCUCCGUGCUCUCAACUCCUCUAUUUAUAGGGCAAGCCAAGCCCAAAAUGUCAAUUUUGAUUAGCUUUAAAAAUAAUUUAUUUUGUUUUAUCAAAAUUGGUGGGCUUUAAAAUACUAAUUUAUUUGUUCAAAUUAUUUCAUUUUAAAAAAAUAAUUUACUUUGUCAAAAUUGGUUGGCAAUAUUUAUUGUCAUCACUUUACUAUGUUUAGUGUUGUGCAAAUUUUAUUGAACUCGCAAGUGCACGAAUCUAUUGUAGAAUAGAUUAAUGGUGAAGAGUGUUGAUCCCACGAGAAGGUGGAUUUUAAUUAUAUGUAGAAUUAAUUUUCUAAAUGGGUGGUUAGAUUUAUAGUAAAGAUGAUUUGGAAUAUUCUAAAAUUUAAAUUGAAAUGGCAGAAUUGAAUUAAAAAGGAAACUAUUAUAAUUGAGGCGCUUGGGUGGUUAGAUUUGCAUCAAUAUGCACCAUGGGCUAAAUAUUCAUUAUUAGUGCCAAUUAAAUCAUGAGGGGGGAAUCCACACCUCAUGAACCACGCUCUAAUCAAUAUGGUGCUAAGGGCUUAUCAUGUCAAAUAAUAAUAAUCUUGCACUAGGGAGCCGGUGAAACCAAGGCGGUAUCUAGACAAGAUUAUUAUUAUUUGUCGAAGAAAAGUCAAAACAUCCACAAAAAUUAGAGGGGAAGAGAAAGUAAAUUUACCAAUUAAAGCCCAUGGCACAUGUUGAGACUUCACCUUCAACCCAAGCUUGAAAGAAAAUUAGCUACUCAUAAUUGAACUAGGGGUAAAAUGAAAAUUUAUUAAAAUACAUAGAAAAUACAAGAUAGAGAAGGAAUUACAAAAAAUGGAGCUCAAAAAUGAAUUCAGAGAUGUCAAAUUAGGGGAGAGAGACCCCCUUUUUAUAGAUACACUGAGUAAAUUAUAGCCAUCGGAUUAAAAACAUUUCGGACGCUCAGGAUUGCGCCACGUCAUCAGUCAACAGUACGCGGUUUGACCAUGCGGUUUGAACAGUCAGGCGGCUUGAAUAGUGACGUGGUUUGGUUGAAAAUAAUCAUGUGUAUUGCAUGUACCGUACGCACGAUUUUUAGUCCACCAACAUACUGCCACGUCACUGAUCAACAGUGCAUAAGAAUUUAAGUCCAAUGGAAUCGUGACACCUCAUUAGUCAAUGCCACAUCAUCGAUCAAUGUCACGUCAUCGUUCCGUAUGUGUGAACAAUGUAGUGAACAGUAACUUGGACAAUACCGUAUAUGUGAACAAUGUCAUUUUUCCUUUUAUACUCCUCCUAAGGUUUUCGACUGUCAUGAGUUCAAAAGUGAUGUCUGUUUUGCUGUUUGAUAUCUCGUUUAUUGUGAAAUGACCAUGAUGCCCCUAAAAUAUAUAAAAUACUUAAUUAAAAUAAAACACACAUAAUUAAAUUACAAUAGACUAAAAUACAUAAAAGUAAGAGUGUUAGUAAGACUUGAAAUGUAAAAUAAUAAUUUUCUCCUUUAUAAAUAUACACUUUCUAACACUCAACAUUUAUGCUAUAAAAAUAGACAUUGCCACUAAAUGUCUUGAACAGCUAACUUGACCAAACUUAACGUUUUCCUCACAUGUUUCCAUUAGGUAAUGCCUUGCGCAAACUCUGAAAAGCAUGCAACACAUCCCAUGCCUAAGCCUAAUGGGCUGAAUAAGGUCAUUGGGCCUAGUAUUGAUUUUUAAGUAGUAACAUUAGCCCCUUUGAUUAUGUGAGAUAUGUAGUCAUAGGUGAGCAUAUCACAUAGUCAAAUACCUGCCUAAAAAAAUUACAUUGAAAACUAAAAGAAAACAUGGUUAGUUUAAAGCAAAUUAUUUAUAAAAAUAAAUCAAUUUUAACAAAUAAAUUAUUAUUUUAAAGCCUACCAAUCUUGAUAAGAUAAAAUAAAUUAUUUUUUCAAGCCAACCAAAAUUGACAUUUUGGGAUUGGCUUGGGCUAUAACUAAUGGAGUUGAGAGCAUGGAGAGAUAAUGAAUUAAGUGAGUAAUUUGAGAACUUUUAUGAGAGUAUUUUUAGAACUUUAAUUUCUUAAUUUAGUAAUUUGAGAGUUUAGGUAUACUAAGGUGUUGGGUUUUGAGAUAAAAUACUGCAAUACUUGUAACUUUACACAACUACCAAAGUAUUUUCUCCCAUCUUCUCCCAUGGAUACAGGCUAAAAGUCGAACCAUAUAAAUUUUUGUGUCUCCUGUGUUAUAUUUAUUUCUCAAUUUCAUUUUAGUCGUGUAUCUACUUCACUCACUAAUCCACUAACAAUUAAUAUCAGAGCCAUUGAUCGCAAUUAUUUGAAGUAGAGAUAUUGUUCACACAUAGGGUACUAUUCACCUACAAGAUACUCUUUGUGUAUAUGAUACUAUUCACGUAUAAGAUAUUAUUUAGAGCAAGAGUGAUCGAAGGCAUGAGUGGAGUAACCGUAUUGUUUUGUACAUGUCUAAGAAUGUUUUAUCACCAAGGCAAUAAAAGUCUAAGGAGUUUAGGUUUAAGUUGGACUAUUACGAUCUCACAUGUCUUUCCUCAGAUUUCCUAUUGUGCAAUUUUACACAUAUUAGCACUUGCGACUACUCAAACUAAAGUCAAAGUUGCAACAAGAGCUUAUUUGGGCUAUAUCAAUGCCAAAAUACUCUUUUGAACCUUACUCUUUGAACUUUCAAUAGAAUAAGGCGAAUUGUAGACCAAUUAGUCUGAAUUUUCAUUGAAAUCCAACUCUAUUUCAAUCGAGAAGGGGCCCAUUCUUAUUAUACGUGGCUUAAUAUAUCUUAAUAGUAUCUCUACUUCGAAUAUUUGCAAUCAAUGGCUCUGCUAUCAAUUGUUAGUGUUGGUGAGUGAAGUAGAUACAUUACUAAAAUGAAAUUGGGAAAUAAUACAAGAUACAAGAAUUUAUGCAGUUUAGCUUUUAGCUUAAGUCCAUGGGAGAAGAUGAGAGAAAAUAUUUUACUAGUUGUGUAGAGUUACAAGUUGAGUAUUUUAUUUCACAACUCAACACCCCAACACACCUAAACUCUCAAAUUCUCAAAACACUCUCUUAAUUCAUGAUCUCUCCCUGCUGUCAACUCCCCUAUUUAUAGGGCAAGCCAAGCCCAAAAUAUCAAUUUUUGUUAGCUUUAAAAAAUAAUUUAUUUUGUUUUAUAAAAAAUGGUGGGCUUUAAAAUAAUAAUUUAUUUGUUAAAAUUGAUUUAUUUUAAUAAAUUAAUUUCCUUUGUCGAAAUUGGUUGGCAAUAUUCUAUUGCCACCACUUUACUGUAUUUCAAUUGUAAGAAUAAAUAGUACCGUUGAAUGUUCGGAAUAGCUAGCCUGACUAAAUUUCGUGUUUUCCUUGCAUGUUUCCAUUAGGCAAUGCCCGGCACGAACUCUAAGAAGCAUCUAACACAUCAUGUGCCUAAGUAUGAUGGGCUAAUCAAUUGGGUCAUUGGACUUAAUAUCGAUUUUUAGGUUGUAACAUUACCCUCUUUGAAUAUGUGAGAUGUGUAGUCAUAGGCGAGCAAUAAUAGUCCAAAUUAAGCUGAUUGCAAACCAAUUACUCUGAAUUCCCAUCCAAGCCCAACUUUAUUUCAAUCGAGAAGAAGUCCAUUCGUAUGACACAUGGUUAAUAAAAUUUCCACCCCAAACAUGUGGCAAAAAUGUUUAAACACUCAAGAGAACUCAAAUCAUGAGAGGAUACAUUCUAAUAAUUAUACAAACAAAAGCUAUCAUUUAUGUUGAUCUAUGCAUAUUAUCCCAAUGCAUUUAUAUGUUUCCUGAAGUGGCUGAACUCAAGCUUGUGUGGUGUUUGAAAUCAAAGGAACUAUAUAGACAAAAAUUUGUCCUCGAAAACUAUUUAUACAACUCAUCUUGUGUUCAAGUUUGUCGAUCCCAGAUAUGGAUUUGAAACGAGACCUGUAGAGUUUAGUGUCUACUUUGAUGAAAACAAUAAUGGGGAAAGAUAUAGAGUGGUGCUAGAUCCUUCGAAAGAUGUUCCUCAACUAUCUCAAAACAGGGCAGAUGGGUGGAUGGAAAUUUAAGUGGGUGAGUUCUUUAAUGAAAAGGAAGAUGAUGGAAUUGUCGUUUGUAGUGUCUUUGAUUUUGAUUGCUACAGUCCUAAGCAUGGUAUCUGUUGAAUGUGAACUUCAAUUGUGAGUUUCUGGAGGAUGCGACUUUGUCGGUUCUGAAAUGGGUUAAGAGACGACAAGUCGUUAGAUAGACUAUGCUGCUCAUACGACACCAACUUACUGUCAUACAAGAGGCAAAAGUAAUGCACGUGACUUGCACAUGCAGUUACAUAUUCAUGCUAACAUUUUACGGCAGCUACAAUUGUCGUUUUAAGUUUAAGGGUUGUUAAUGACAGUUAGAUUUGGUGGGAACUCUCUGGGUUUGUUGCAACAAACCCAAAACGUUAGCUGGCGAGAAGCUCUUCACUCUGGAUCCUUCCAGAGCAGUAUUAUAAGGUUCCUAAGGCUCAGCUUAGAGGGUUGAGUUCUAUGUAACAUUCUCUCUGAAUCUUGUAAUCUGUUGAGCAUCAAUAAAAGGAUAUGGCUUAUGUUUCUCAAGAGGAUGUAGGCUGCUUAGCCGAACUUCUAUAAUUCUUUUUGUGUUCAGUUCUUUCCUUUUUCUCUUUGAUUCUGUCAAAACACUUUUACUUUGAUUCUGAUUUGGUUUGAAAUUCAUUCUUGCAACAAACAAGAUCAGUGUGUGGAAAUUCUUGGGGAUAGAAUUAGGAUUAAUCAACUCUAAUUCUUAGCAGCAUCAUUAUCCAAGGAAUUGAGUUUAGGACUAAAAAUAGCGGAUAAAUGCCAACGUCUAUAUAUUCAGCUCUUUGCUGUUUAAGUUGGGAUAGGCCGCAUAUAUAGCAGAUUGUUUAUGAGAACAACGUUUUAUGUUGGCCUUUUUCUAUUGACGAUAUUGCUUCACGUCUUUAAUUAUUUUCUUGGAAAUCAUUUCUUUAUUGGAGCUGUAUUUUUGCAUGACUAAAACAAGAGUGUGUUAUUAUUAAUUACAUCUCUCAUGUUUGUAAACAUGUCACAUAGGCUUCUUGAUCACUUUUUGGUAUUAUGGGAUUUUGACGUUGUGAUUGAGGAAACCAAUUCAAGGUAUUUUUAAUAUCCAAUAGUCUCUUUGAUAUGAAUAUCCAAAAUCCCAUAGUAAAAAUAUGAUUUGCUCUGAUAAAAUGUUCGGUUUAUGUAGCUCCACCAAAAAAAAAAAAUUAAGGACCAAAAAGAUCAUUUUAGGUGAACCUUGCCAAGGAAAAUAUUUUUAUUAAAAUAAGAAUUAAGUAGACACAAUUAGAGGGAACAUAAUUAAGCUUAUUUCUUUCACACAUACAACUGAAACAAAAAUGCAAAAUGCAAAUUAUAAUAAGGAAAGAGAGGUUUGCCCGUGAAGUGAAUUAGUAGUUAGGAGAAAAACCAUUAACUCUUUUAGAUAAAACGCUCUAAAUCUCAUAUGGCGCAUCCCGCCACCAAGUAACACUAGAACAAUCAAGACCAAAUUAAAGGGGAUAAAAAAUUAAUUGGAGAAGAAUAGACUUUAAUUUUAGCUCUUUAAAGAAAAAAGGCUGAGCUGACUAUGAUUUAAAAUUUUUUAAUUCAUUUACUUUUCUAAGAAGUUGGGGUGACCUUAGCAGCACGUUCAUCUGUGUAGGUGUACAUAUAUAAUUUUCUAGGUAAAGUUUAGAUUAUCCCUAGUAAAUUGACCAUUUUUUAAUUAUUUUUCUUAGUUUUGAAAAUCUCAAAUUAUUUUAUUUUUGUUCAAAAGUUAAGGGAAAAACUAGGGUUGGUUGAUGAAUUUUUUUGUUUUCUUUAACAAAAAUAGGGGAUAAAUUUAGAUUUUUAAAAAUAAAGAGAAUGAUUUAAUAAUAGUUAAUUUACGAAGAAUAAUCUAAAAUUAAUCCAAUUUUCCAAAUAGCCACGUUAUAGGUCUAAGUGUAAACGGACAUCACUGUGGUUGAAACUUGAAACCGUGUGAUUUUGGAAUCUUUUAUCCGCUACUUCUAAUUAAUUUAAUAACCUUCUAUAUUGACUUGACUUACAUAUCUAGGUUAUCAAAGAAGUCUUGCUUACUCUUUAAGGGGUUGUGAGUUGCAAAUUAAAGAAGAAUGAAUAGAGAAAGGCAAAUGGACAUCGCUGCUGUUGAUCAGCUGCCUGUAGAGUGCAUUUCGCACAUCAUUUCUCUCACAACUCCUCGCGAUGCUUGCAUAUCAUCAACGGUAUGUCCCAUCUUCAAAUCAGCUGCGGAUUUAGAUUCCGUGUGGGAGAAGUUUCUGCCGUCCGAUUACAACCAGAUCAUUUCCAAUUCGGUCUCCGAUUCAUCUUUGAUUACUUCUUUGUCUUAGAAGGAUCUUUAUUUUCAUCUUUGUCACAAUCCUAUCAUCAUCAACAAUGGUGCUAUGGUAAGUCAAACUCGACUCAUCUAGCUUUGCAACGUAUAGAUGACUUUUCUUUAUAGUCAAUGAUCUGCCCCACUUUUAGGAAUUUAUAAAGGAAGGGUGACUCAAUUUUUGUGUUGCUUGCUGUAUAUGUAAGCUACCUAAUGAAAUUAUGUCAUAUAAACUGGAAGUUUGGACUAUAUAUUUAAUUUAAAAUUUUUAACACAAAUUCAGAGUUAUUAAUUUUAUGUAAUCUAAUUGUAAUAUCUAAGUUGUAUGAGAUCGAUUACUCAAAAUUUAUGUUAAAAUUUUAAGUUGAAAUAUAUGUGCACAUAUGUAUUUUCAAUUUAUUGGCUGAUUGUGUAUAUGUACUCUUGAUGUAAAAUAUGUGUGUGUGUGUGUGUGUAUGUGUGUGUGGUAAAGAAUAUUAACACAGGAACUUUAUCAAAAUGUCAAAGCAAACAUGGUGACUGCCUAAUCGUACUUUGUUUUAGAGUUACCCUGAAGUGAUCAGAUAGCCGACUUGAAGUUUGUUAUUGUUACUAAUAAUUAAUAAACCCAAUUAUAAAACAUGUUCAAAAUGUUCAAUAUGUAAGUGCUUCUUGUAAUGUUUGUCACAUCCAAUUGUAUGCUUAACCGAAGAUUUUAUUAUCCAUUUGUCUGCAACCCCCGGCCCCUAAGAUGAGGAAAGUAAUCUAGCCAACAUUGUCAUUAUCCUCCGAUAGAGCUUUUCGCUGGAGAAAGAGAGUGGCAAAAAAUGUUACAUGGCUGGGGCAAGAUCGCUUUGUAUAGCAUGGGGAGAUACACCAAAGUAUUGGAAAUGGACUUCGUUACCACAGUCAAGGUAAUGCGUUUCAUCAGCAAUUUCGUGACUACCAGUUACUUCAAUUAUAAAAUCUCUUUAGAUAAAAUAUUUAAUUUGGUUGUUUAAAUCUUGUUCACAUGAGUAGAGAGUGGCUUUAAUUUCCAAUAUACUUUCAUUUGCUUAAUACACGUGCAAUACGUUAAUUGGCAGGUUUCUCGAGGUGGCUAAACUCAACUUUGUGUGUUGGCUUUAUGUCAAAGCCAGGAUAGAAACUAACCAAAGUUGGUUGGUGUGAGUGGUUCGGUCUCUCACUCCUUAAGAGAGGUCAGGGGUUCAAGCCCCGCUCUCGUAUGGAGUCACCACUUUGGCCAGCACUUUACCUCUUAUGGGCCGACCCGGUGCGAACGGAGAUUAGUCUGAGUUGUAGUACGGGCUUAAAGGUGCCUCCCACAGUUAGGGCCCACUCAGAACCAUCUCUUUGGUUCAGGCCAAAAAAAAAAAAGACAGGAUAGAAACUAAAAUUUUGUCCAUUAGAACUAAUUAUGCUGCUUACCUUGUGUUCAAGUUUAUCGAUACCAGAUAUGGGUUUGAAACAAGACCCGUGGAUUUUGGUGUCUACUUUGACGGAAGUGAUAAUGGGGAAAGGCGUAAAGUGGUGCUAGAUCCUCCGGCGAAUAUGCCUAAACUAUCUCAAGAUAGAGGAAAUGGAUGGAUGGAGAUUGAGAUGGGUGAGUUCUUUAAUGAAACUGGAGAAGAUGGAACGGUUGUUUGCAGUGUGUUCGGUUUUGAUGACGCCAAGUCCGGUAUCAUUAUCCAGGGAAUUGAGCUCAGGCCUAAAAGUGGAAGAUAAAUGCAACUUUUUACUUCUUUAAGUCAUGAUUAUGUUGUGAUACGCAUGCUGAUUUUAGAUGUGUUCGAGCUCUUAGUUUGCCCGUACUUAAAGCCACCGUUGACAAUAUGCAACCAGUGGUUACUAAUCAAGAGCCUGUUAUUGAACAACAUGAAACAUCAAGACGAAAAGAAACUAAUUAUAUAGAUUGUCCAUUUCUGCAGGUAGGAACUAGGAUUUCGCUUCAACAAGCCAAUUUUUAUUCGCAUUUUCAUGUAGAUGAGAUGAGAAUGGUCUGCAAUUCAAGGAAAUUAAUGGUAAUUCACAUUUCACAAAGUAUAUGUAGAGUAUGGAUUUGGCAUUCAUGGGAUUUCAUGACCGCAGCUGCAUAUGAUAGACGAAAAUAGAUGAGUCCUGUAGAAAAAUAAAAAUACAAAUCUAAAUGAGUAUUAAAAUCUCAGAGAGAAUAGAGGGUCCCAUAGCUAUUGACAAACUCUUCAAUCAAUAGGGACCGCUGCAAAUGGAAGGCUCAGCUAUGUCUGGUCAACUGUCCAAAAAAUCGAGGUCCCCCCUCCCUUUGAGUUAAUUGUUCAGCCACUUUGCGGUAAGUGUCAACGCUGUCAUAAAUACACACACAGGGACACGGCUAAGUUGCAGAAGCUGCAACUAACAGCCUUGGCAUUUUGACCUUGCAUCAACAGCUCCCUUGCAUAGGUUGCAUCAGCACCAACACCCGUGGAAGAUUCCCAUUGACUACCCAAACACACACACAAACGGAGAUCUAUCUUGAAUUUUUUAUUAGACCAAAGUGUUUUUGAUGAUAUUGCUUGAAAGUCAUAACUUUUUUUCUUGGAAAUCAUUUCUAAAUUAGAAAUUCUAAUUUGGAGCAGUAUUUUGGCAUAACUAAAAUAAGGGCGUAUACAGCAUUCUUAAUUACAUCUCUUUGUAAAUAUGUCACAUAGAUCUUUCGAUCAGUUUUGAAGGCUGUUGGAUUUUGACACUACCGAGGUUGUUUUUGUAUUUUCAUGUUUACAAUUAAGAAGGUACCUUAUGUGGAAACAAACAGUCAACACCUCUGUUACAAAAGAGUUUGGUUACAAAAUUAUCUCUGGGAUAUUUAGAUAGUUAUAUGAUCCUUUCAUGCAUGAAUUUCGUGCAAAUGACAGCAUGCCUACACCAUUAUGAGAAUUGAGCUUCAUGGAACUCGAAACUUUUCCAAAGAAAAUCAUAUGGCUAAAUUUCUUUUAUUCUUUUUUUUUUCAUUUUUUUUUUAAUUUCUCAUGGUGGUCCAAGUAAGUUAAUGCAUGGUACCUGACCCGAACAGAAAUAAGAUCUUUUAAUUUAACGUUACUAAGCAAUCCUCAUAAUCACAAAUUCAGUUUAGUGUUUGUAAUUUGAUUUAGGAGUAUUUUAAUAAUUAAAAACUAUUUCUAAAAGUGGGUUUAGUGAGUAGUUUUGUGGGUUCAAAUAGCAUGUCCAGUCUUUAAUUAAAAAGAUGUAGAGAGUAAAUUAGUGGAUUUAAUAGCCUCACCCUUUGGGUAUAAAAUUAUAUUAGACAUACUAUUAAAUUAUAAUAUUAGCAUAUUAUUUCUCUUGGGGACAAUAUCUCACAUUAACUGAAAAUAAAUCUUAGGUUAAGGCUUGAACAACCCUCAACUUUUAAGUUAACUCCUGAGUAUAAGUGGAGUUCAUGACCCACAGGCAGAUGAUAUGAAUCUUGAGUUACAUAUAUAAUCAAUCUCGACAGAGCCAAUUAAGAAUUUUAUUAAAAAAUAAAAUAAAAUUACACUUACAUAAGGAAGCCAUAAUAAACCUUAUUUCUUUAAUCAAAAUAAAAACAAGAAAAGCCGGCUAGCCAAUUAUGACUGAACGUAAAAUUAUAAACAGUAACUGGCUAGCCGAAUAUGAUGCAACUUUGAUCAAACCAGUAAAUCCAUCAACUACCACUUCUCUCUAAUGAUCCAAUUUAUAAUUUUAAUUACAGAUUGAACAUUGGUUCUAGGGGUGAUAAUAUGGGUCAGGAUUCAUUUAUUCAAUUUGUUUCGGUGCGAAUUAAAUGAGUUUGGAUUUAAAAAAAAUUGAUUCAUUUAAUAAAUGGAUGAAUUUGAUUUGAUUCUCUAAUUAAAUUAAUCGAAUUCGAGUUUGAAGAUAUUGAUUCGUUUAUUCAUUUAAGAUUCGUUUAAUAAUUGGGUCAUAAAUGAAUCGAAUACGGGUCAAUUCAUUUAAUUAAGUAACUUUUUUAUCCUUAAAUUUAUUUUAAAAUUUUUUUUUAAAUUUGAAGCUUAAUAUUGUAAAUGUGAGCGAUAAGACAACCAAUAAAGUGAAACAAGAAUUAGAGCAACCGGCCUUAAUUUUUCAUUUCACAAUUUCAGCCACGGCAUCCCUCUCUUGUCUCCGGUGUUCACGGUUCACCCUCAACAAUUUUAUUUUGUUCUCUCCACAAUUUCUCAGCCGACAACAUCUCACCUAACUCACACUCGCAUAGUAAGCUCUGAUUCUUUUUCUUUCUUAAUUUUUGAGCUAUUUAGAGGCAUAUCUCACAUUAUUAUAUAUUCUUUACUUUUAGAUUUCUCCAUCGCCUGAGAUAAUUCAACUCUACACAUUUUAAAUUGAUAUGAUUCUUUUUCUUUUAUUUUUUUUUCAAAUGCACUGUCAUCAUCAAGAGGUAGCCUUUAGUAAUGAUCUGGUUUUUGAGCUUAAAAGUUAUUCAAGCUUAUGAUUGGUUGUCUUUAAAUUUACAUCUCAUAAUUGAUAAAAUGGAUUAAAGCUAAAGUGAAAUGUUUGGUAAUUUAUUUAAUAAUAUUAAUAAUUGUUUCUAUUGCUCAUCUUAUCCUAAGGCCCAACUUUUAUUCUCAAAUCUUACUAAGUGUGGUCAUCAUGUCCGAUAAUAACGCAUGCUUGAUUUGUUCAGCUUCCAAAAGGUACACGUCAAUGGUCAAGUUUCCUUACUCCAGAACAGUAUUAAUUAUUAUUAUUUCCCUAACAAUACUACAAAUUUACUAUAUAUUUGAUAUUUUGAAAUUUUACAAUGACUAUUAUCAGUGUUGCAGUAUGUUAAUAUCAUUUUAUUUACUUUUUGGUGUAGGAUAUUUGUUUUUAAGGUGACAAAGAUAGAAUGAAGAGAAUUAAAGAAAUCACCUUAUUUUAUAAUUUAAAUUUUAAUUAUUGUUAUUUGUGUUGUUAAGAACUUGUAGUUUGGUAUUUGGAUGACUAUAUAUUAAUUUAAUCGUAGAAUAUGGUAUAAAUUAUUUGUAUUUUGUAGGAUAUUAAAUUUUUGGAUUUUUUUAUAUUUUAAUUUGCUUAAUUUUGUUUAUCAAUAAUAUUUUCUAAACGAAUUGUACCAAAUCUGAAUUUGUUUACAAUUCGUUAUGAAUUAAACAAAUUGUAAACAAAUCCAGAUUCGGUUUAAUUCGUUAUGGAUUCAUAAUAGGAUAAAUAAAUAGUAAAUGAAUCCGGAUUUAAUUUGAUUUGUUUAUUAAUUCCCCUGAACGAAUUAAACGAAUCGAACCGAAUAUUCAUUUAAUAAACGAAUCGAAUUUGAAUCAGUAAAAUUUUGAUCCAAUUUGUUUACGAUUCAAUUUAAAUUCAACUCAUUUAUUCGUUUUGCCAAACUUAAUUGGUUCACCAUAUCCUUGAGAGAGAAUAAGCCUAUCAUUACUUAUCAUAUCCUCGAGUAAGGAUAUGGUCCAUUUGAUUCUUUCUUUUUUAUGAGCCUAUCAUUACCAAUUUUUAUCAUUUAUUCGUUAUUUGUUUUCAAGUUCUCCAUCAAUGUUUCGUCGGAGAGAUUCGCAAGAUUCAGCUCACUCCAUAAUCAAUUAAUUAAAAAAAAACCAAUAACACAAAACUCGUGCUGUGGGCCCUAUUGGGCCAACCUUGCAAAAAGUACUGCAGCACAGCCCACCAACUCAGAAACCAUGCCAUGUCGGGCCACUUGCUCUCAUAGGCCUGUUUUUUAUUACUGGCACGGUCCAUCGGAUAUCCCUAAUUGUUUUUAUUAUUAUGAGACAUUCAACUGAGUAAUGUUAUAACUUUAUGAAUAUUAAGGAUGAUAAUCUGGGCUAAUGGAUUGAAUUCAUAUUGAAUCCAUAUGAAUUGAAUCAAAAUCUAGUAAAUCUGUGUCUCUUUUAGUAAAUGAAUUAUAAUAUCAAGAUUAAUGUUUGACCCGUUUAAUAAAUAAAUUAACAAAUCAAUUCAUUUUAUUCAAUUAACUUAAAUUUUAAUUUUAAUUUAGCUUUAAAAUAAUAUCUAAUAUUACCUGAAUAUUAAAUAAUAGUCAUAUAAUAUUUACUAUUCAAUUUGUCUUUUUCGUCAGUCAAUUACAAAAUUACCUUUAGAUGUUAGCUUAAAUUUUAAAAUUAUAAUAUGCAAUUUAUUUAGCAAAUCAUAAAUGAAUAAAUGAAAUGCUCAGAUUAAAAUUGUGUUCGAUCUAUUUAUGAAACGGGUUGACAUAUAUUAUGUGAAAUGUGUGUCAAUCGUAACCUACUUAUUUAAAAUCGAAUUGUGUGAAAUGGAGGGAUUAUGAACCAAAUUGCGGUCUCUACUUUAUUUAGACACUGCAUAAGUCUGGGAGUUCAUCAUAUUAUCAAAUAAUCACUUAAUUUAACAUUCUAGCGUCCAAAUUAUAGUUAAUAAUCCAAUUUUAGAAGUGAUAAUUAAACAAUCUGAUACUGUGUUUCUACUAUCAUCGCAACUCCUUUGCCCCUGUAUCCACCACUGUUGCGUAUAAUAGUAACAACAAUUUCUGUUGAAAAAAAUAGUUUUUUUUUUCAAUUUAGUUCCAAAACUUUUUUUUUUAAUUUAUGUAUAUUGUUAAAAAGAAUAAAAGAUCAAAUUAAUCACAUAACAUUCCCCCCAGUUAAUGUCCAUAACUUCUAACUAGCCCAUCAUCUGGCUCUUCCGACAAUAUGAGUACAUUUUCACUUCAACUGUUGAAAUGAAUGUGCUUUUGUUUAAACCGUGUGGACCAAGUGUUCUAACAUUGUAGGAACUUUCAUCCACUAAUUUAAUAACAUAGUCUUUUUUUUUCCCCCUUCGUUUUGGGUGAUAGAAUUAAUAACAUUGUUAAUUGACUCGACUUGGACUUACACAUAUACCUUAACAAUGAAGUCUUGCUUUUGGCCCAUAUAUAUUAAGGCAUUAGUACUGUUGUGAGUUGAAAAAGAAAGAUAGACAGUAGAGAUUAAAGUAAGAUAAUGGGCGUCACUGUUGUUGAUCAGCAGCCUGAAGAGUGCAUUUCCCACGGCAUUUCUUUUACAACUCCUCGUGAUGCUUGCAGAUCAUCACUGGUAUGUCAUGUCUUCAAAUCGGCUGCGGAUUCAGAUUCCGUGGGUUAAGUUUCUGCCGUCCGACUACAAAGAGAUCAUUUUCAGUUCAGUCUCUGAUUCAUCCUUGAUCACCACUUUAUCUAAGAAGGAUCUAUAUUUUUAUCUUUAUCACCACCUCGUCUUCAUAAUCAAUGAUAGCAGGGUAAGUCAAAUUUGAUCAAUUUUUCUUUAAUCAUCUAGCUAAAAUGGAAUUUGGUUUUAGGGUACAAAUGAGAUGAUGAUAAAGAAUGCCUUUUAGGCAAUGAUUCUAGUCCUGCUCUUCGAAUAUAUUAAUUAAUUGCAUGGCAAUUACCCCUGCUUUUUAAUUCUAGAGGAACUAGGUGACUCAAUUUUUGUGUUUGUUGCUGUAUAUGUAGACUUAGCUAAUGAAAAUAUGUCAAAUAUAAGAAACCAUGCACACAUAUAUUAUCAUUUUAUUGGCUGAUGGUAUAUAAAAUUGAUGCCCAAAAAAAAAAAAAAAAUCACAUAGUACUUCUAAUUGUAUUUUUUUUUGGUGAAAUGGGAUUGCGUGCUAUAUAAACAUUCUACUUCAUCAUAAAUAAUAAUUAAUAUGAAGUAGCAGAAAAAAUUUUCAUUACAUAUGAAGUCAUCAGGCAGCCGACUAGAGGUUUCUUAUAUAGUUAUUUAGUUACAUACUUAAUGCUAUGAGUUUUACUUUUUAAUAACUAAUUAGUUCUUAAAAUAAAGUUUGUCACAUCCAAUUGCAUGCAAGACCAUACCAUGUAUUAUGCAUUUGUCUGCAACACUGGCCAAUAAAAUGGGAAAAUUAAUCCAGCUAUCAUUGUCUUGUCCUUCAACAGAGUUUUGCGAUGGAGAAGGCUAGUGGUUGGGGCAAGAGGGCUUUUUAUAGCAUGGGAAGGUACAUCCAACUAUUGGAAGUGGACUUCUCUGCCAAAAUCUAGGUAAGUUGCACUGUUAUCUUUGGUAUUAUGUAUUACCAUCAAUUUCAUCGGCACUUUUGGUUACCAAUUAGUUCAAUCGGUAAAAUUUCUUACGUCGAAAGAAAAUAUCUAAGGUUCAAUCCUUAUUCACGUGGGAGGGAAAAGGCUUUAGUUAUCAGUAUAUAUUUAUGAUUUCAUUUAAUCAUGCGUGUGUCAAUGCAAUAGCAGGUUUCCUGCAGUAGCUGAAGUCAAGUGUGUGUAUGGUUGUUUGAUGUCAAAGGUAGGAUAGAGACUACAAUGCUAUCCUAAUGCAUCAACUAGGCAGCCUACUUUUUGUCCAAGUUUAUUAAGUCCAUUUAUGGAUUUCAAAAGAAGAGCUUUAGACUUUGUAGUCUACAGUGAAGGAAUCAAUGAUGGAAAAGGCGAAGAGCAUUAUUAGAUCGUCGAAGCAAUGAGGCUUGACUAUCUCAAACUAGAGGAGAUGGGUAGAUGAAGAUUGAGAUGGGUGAUUACUUCAAUGAAAAUGAAGAUGAUGGCUUGUUGGUGUGUAGCGUACUUGAGAUAUGUAAUUUACAUGGAUUCUUAAGUAACAAUAGCAGUGGAGAGAAAAGAAUUUAGAGAAGACAGUAGCUUUGGGGGAAAUAUUCCUUUUUUCCUACCCUAUUCAAACGUCUAUUAGGCUUUUUAUAAAAGCCAAUGGUAGCUCACGAUUCACAUUACUAACUACCUAUAAACAACAAAAGAUACACUCAAACUAAAUAAUGCAUGGUAUACAGAAAUAAUGGGAAAGAUGGGCAAUAUUGCACAUGUAGUUACUGGUCCACAUGUUCAGUACCCAUUUAUUUUCAAAACAAGCUAGAAACCUUGGUUGGUUGUUGCUUGUUAUCCAGACACAUAUCAUUCCCCACCCCUUGAAAUCAUCAUGUUCAUAAGGUCAAAGCACCCCAUUCACUUAACCAGUAGUUUGGGGGGGGGGGGGGGGAGAGGGGAUGGGGGGAUGGUGGAGGAUCUUCAAUCAUGAACAGCUAUGGCCUUUGUCAAUGAUGGUCAGGAACGAAUCUCUCUUCAUAAUAAUAACAUAGCCCUUUUUCACGUCGAGCUCGUGCUUCUUGGCUACUCAACCGCUGGAUAAGAGGAGUGGUGGCAUUGGCUGUUUAGUUUGCCUUAGGAGGGGGGGCCCAAGAUCCCAGCAAAACUAUUUGGGAUUGGUUGUUGCAUCACAGAAAUAGGUGGUGGUUGAGAAAAGUGUUUAGUGCAGCGGUUGAGAGAAUUCCGCUCCUCAAUCAGUCUUGCCACACCAGUGGUGUCAACCAAGGUACGAGAUUGUUAAUCUUGACAUUGAGUCGUAUUUCAUCCUAAAGACCUGCAAUGAAACAACUAAUUAAAAAAGUUUUAGCUAAGCCAUUGACUUGCUGAGAAAGCUUUUCGAAAAUUUCCUGAUACUCAGCCACCGACGAAGUUUGUUUUAGGCAUGUUAAAGCUUCAGAAGGAUCCUCAUAAUUGAUUGGACCAAAACGGAGCAAUAUAGCUUUGGUAAAUUCAGUCGGAGUCUAUAGUCCUUUGAACUUGGUUAGCUAGCGAUGCCAUUGGAGCGCUAUUCCUUCAAGAUGGAAAGAGGCUAAUUGGACUUACUGUUUCGAAGCAACAUUUUGGAAAUCAAAGUAUUGUUUGGCUUUAUAAAUCCAUCUGGUAGGGUUGUCACCACUAAAUUUUGGAAAAGAAAGUUUGAGCUGGGUAUGGGACCGAUCUAGUUUGGAGAUGGAAAGUGAGGUUGGCUGGUGUGAAGGGAUGUGAGUUGUGGUAAAUGGGUUGAUCUCCCUUUCUUGGGAAGUGUUUUGGAGGCGCAAGGAUUGAAGUUCCGUAAGGAUUGUUUGAAGGAUGGCGUGAACUUGGUCAAAAUUGGACUCAUGUCUAGCAAGGAUUUCUUGGACCUCUUCACGAAAUUCAGCAUUGGAUUUAUUGCUUGUGGCCAUGGAUCGAUGCUCUGAUCCCACUUUGAUAAGUAAUUUGCAAGGAUUCGAAGUAACAAUAACGAGUGGAGAGAAAAGAAUUUAGAGAAGAUAGUAGCUUUGGGGGAAAUAUUCCUUUUUCCCUACCCUAUUCAAACAUCUACUAGGUUUUUUAUAAAAGCCAAGUGGAGCACACGAUUCACAUUACUGACUACCUAUAAACAACAAACGAUACACACAAAUUCAAUAUAAUGCAUGGUAUAUAUACGAAAAUAAUGGGAAAGACGGGCAAUAUUGCACAUGUAGCUAGUGGUCCGCAUGUCCAGAACCCUUUUAUUUUCAAAACAAGCUAAAAACUAAGUCCAUGCAUGGUCCAAGUACGUGGGAAGCUUGGUUGGCUGUUGCUAUCUGCACACAUAUCAACUUAAUUGUGAUCAAUCCAGCACCAAGGAUGGCUCAUUAUACAAGGAAUUAAGCUUAGGCCUAAAAAUGAUUGAUAAACUGAAUUUAUAUUUGACACAGCGGCAUUUUGUGAUGAAUAUGUUAAUGUUAAUAUGUAUUCAAGAUCAUUAAAUGGGCAAAAUAUGCUACUUUCAUGAUCAAAGUUGUAUUAUAUAUAUUUGGAAAAUCAUUCCAUGUUGAUAAGUUCAACAUUGGGUUCAAAGUUUGCGUUGGUUGAGGCUGCGCAGGUAUUUCCUUAAUGGGCCGGGUCCUGUGGUGCAGGAAAACUAAAUUUUUUUUUUUAUAUUUUAUAAACAGAAAAAAUAAAUACUUAAAAGAAAAUGACAGAGAGAAAACAGGAUCUUAUUUUAAACCUCUAGAUACAGCGAUCAAAUUAUAAAUACUAUAGAGAAAAAAAAUCUUUUAUCCAUUUCAGAAAUUGAAGAGCAUCAAAUUUUAGAGCAAGUAAUAUUUUUUAGUUUUUAUUUUUUUUUAAGUUUAUGUAUUCUAUCACAAAUUUUAUCAUAUUUUAUAUGGAGUAAUUAUAAAGUUCAUUAAAUUUUAACUACUUGAGUUUUUGUUUUCACUUCAUAUAAAUUUGUGCGCUUAAAAAGAAUUACUUCUAGACAACUUAUUAAAUUAAUCUAGAAAAAUAAAAGACAACUUAUACUUUCGUCUAUAUUUAUCCUUGUAUAUUAUAUAAUGAAACAACAAUUUGGUAACAGAAUUUGUCUCAUAACACUAACACCUAGUUGUUUAGUGGCUUAUCAGUAUUGUAAAAAUAACUUAUUUUAUCAGCUGCCUUAAUCCUAACUAGCCCUAACUCAACUAAGGAAAUUGUUGACAAGAGGUUGUAAUAAUUUAUUAUCUUUUGAAACUUGUUGUAAUUAUUUGAUAUUUUAGGUAGUGGAAUAAUAUUUGCAGCUAACUUCCCAAAGAAGUCGUUAAAAGAGACCAACAGCUUCGCAAAGAAGGGCUUGUGAGUGUUUCCUAUAAAAGCUCACUUUUUGUCUAAUGUGUAAACAGAACAAGUAAAAUGGAUAUUACAAAUGCUCUGCCAGUAGAGUGCAUUUCGCACAUAAUUUCUCUUACAACUCCUCGCGAUGCUUGUAGACUGGCAGUGGUAUCUCCUAUAUUCAAAUCAGCUGCGGAUUCGGAUUUGGUGUGGGAGAAGUUUCUGCCGUCCGAUUACAAGUUGAUCAUUUCCAACUCUGUUUCUUCUUCAUCUUUGAUCACCUCUUUGUCUAAGAAAGAUCUUUAUUUUCAUCUUUGUCACUACCCCAUCUUCAUCAACAAUGGUACCAUGGUAAGCUUUGAGUCAUUACUCUUUGACUAUUAUUCAUCACCUCUCUAUUUUAUAGAAUAUGCUUAUGAUUCCUAAAUUUGCUAAUUGAAUUAGCAGUGAAACUUAAAGCUAGUGUUCAAAUUGAGAAAUGACGAAAGUAUCUUUAUAUUACUAAAAGCUUGAUUGGCCGGUUCAUAUAAUUGAUUUCGUGUGCCCAGCCAGCUAAAUGUAAAUUCUUAGUAUCCAAAAAUUGAUUUGCUAAUUUUAACUACCUUGAAGUCAUCAUAUAGCUAACUUUAAGUUUCUUAUAUAGUUAAAUAGUACUCCUUAAUCUUCUGAGAUCCUAAAAAUGAAGAUCUUAUUUUAAAUUUUUUCUCAUCCAGUUGUAUAUGCAUAACCGUACCAUAUAGUAGAAACUUGAAAAAUUAUAUUCUACCUAAACUUAUGGUCACUUUGUGUCCUUCAACAGAGCUUUGAACUGGAGAAAGAGACCGGGAAAAAAUGUUACAUGGUUGGGGCAAGAGACCUUUGUAUAGGAUGGGGAAGUACACCCAGUUGUUGGAAAUGGACUUCACUACCAGAGUCUCGGUAAUUCAAACUUUUUAUCUUUAGUAUUAGAAUCAAUUAGCUCAUCAACAGUUUUGAGGAUGCCAACUAGUUUAGUCGGCAAAAUUUCUUGAAUUAAAACAGAACACAUUUAGUGUUCAAAUCCUACUCAUAAGGAUGGGGAGAAGCUUUUACUAACAGAACGAUUUCGUAUGGUCUAUGCAUUGGCAGGUUUCUUGAGGUGGCCGAGCUCGUGUAUUUUUGGUUUUUCGAAGUCAACGCAAGGAUAGAGACAAGAAUUUUGUCCCACAGAACCAACUAUGCCGCUUACCUUGUGUUCAAGUUUGGCAAGUCCACAGAUGGAUUCAGAAGUACACAAUUAGCAUCUGCGGUCUAUGUUGAAGGAAUCAAUGAUAAGAAAAGGCAAGGACUGUUCCUAGAUCCUUCAAGAAAUACGCCUAAACUAUUUCAUGACAGAAGAGAUGGAUGGAUGGAGAUUGAGAUGGGUGAGUUCUUCAAUAAAAAUGGAGAUCGUGGGACGUUAUUAUGUAGCCUAUAUGAUUUUGACAGAUUUGGCACUAGGCAUGGCCUCGUUAUACAAGGAAUUGAGUUUAGACCCAAAAAAAUGCUGAUGCAUUGAAUUACUUGUAUAUAUAGAUAAAUUAACAGCUGAUAAGUGCAGUUACUUCCUUGAUAACAUUCUGUGAUAAACGAAGCUGAAGUUUAAAUUUUUGUUCUUUUCUUUUUAGCAAUUUUUUUACAUCAAGAAAUGAACAACAUCAUCCGAAAGAAAUAUGGAUCAAAAAAUUCUCCCGCUGAUUUUCAGAUUUUUUGAGACAAUUAAUUCUUGUAAUUUAAUAUCCUUAUCAAUUUAAUUAAGUUUUAGGGUACGAAAACCUCAUAUUAUUAUUAUUGUUUAAAUAAAGAGAAAAAAGAAAAAAAAAGACUUUUUUUUCACAAAAGAAUGUGGUUAAUUUCACUUUUUUAAUAAAUUAAUUAUUUUCAAAACACCUAUGCAAUUAUUUUAAACUUUAGCUUCUCCUCAAUCACCGUUCAAAAUUAAGGUCAAAUGGAAUAUGUUGAUGUCAAAAAAAAUUAUGUUCUUAAGAAAUGUUAAGGAUAAGUUAAAGUUUUCAAUAAUUUAAAAAAAAUUGAAAAUAGUCAAUUCGUUAGGGGGAUAAAUUGAAAUUUGUCCAAAGGAAAAAAAAUCCUUAUUAAUUUGAAGGAAAAUUUGUCUGGCUUAUACUUUUAAAUUGUUCUGUUAUCAAACAUACUACAAUACUUUCAGUUUAUAUCAUUCGUCCACCAUAAAUUUCCAAAAUGUAUCAGUCAUCCAAUAAAUCGUUAAUUUUCAUUAGAAUGUGAUGGCAUCAAAAGGAUAAUUUUAUCUUUUCAUAUAGGCGAAUCUCGAAACAAAAACAAUAUCUUUUCUAUUUGGUGAAACGACAUAGUUUCACUAUAACCACAAAAAAAAAAAAAAAAAAAUCUUCCAUUUCCCCAUUCUUCAUUCACAACAAGAGAAAGAAAUUAAAGUUUGUAAGAGCAAACCUAAAGAAGUGAUUGUGCUCACAAUGCUUCCUAAAUAGAAAGCCACUUACAAUUAAUUUUGCAAAUCCAACGAAAGGCUUAUGCCAUUUUAGAGGAUAUAUAGCUUUUAAUUAACGUCAUCAUCCAACCCACCAAUCCAAACUCUUCUUUCUUUAAUUCUUGGUCUUUGAUUUGCUUUGAUAUAUUUGUGACCCGAAAACGAAAGCUCGUCAAAGUUCAAACACGCUUGAUUUGUUCUUUUUUAAGAAAUUGCUUUUAGAAGGCUAUAAGUGAUUUUAAAAAAUAAAAAAUUAAUUCUGAUAUUUGAUAAAUUUUUAAAAAAUCACUUUUGAUAAAAUUACUCAUCCUAUAUCUGAUUUUGAAAAGUAGGAGGGAGUAGUUUUUUAAAAUUUGAUUUUGAGAAUCAGUUUUAUACUGAAUAGAAUUUUCAUGUAUAUCCUUAUAUAUAAAAUCUAAAAUUAUCCUCAUUAAUUAGGAAAUAAAAUUAUUAAAUUUAAAGAGAUUAUUAUUAUUAUUUUUGCCAAUUAUAUUGGGAUAACAAAAUAAAAAUAAAAUUUAAAUAUUUAUUUUAGUUAUAUACUUUUAUAUAUAUACAACAAAAACUAUUUUAUAUUCAUGUCUAUAAAUGUACCAGAAACUUUUAUUCAAUAUUAUGUUUAAUUUGGUUAUUUAAAUUCUUAUAAUAGAUUAAUAGUAAGAUUGACUAAAUGCAUAUGACUACUUUUAAAGUCCACUACACUUUUUAAAAUAAAAUUUAUCAAAUGUUUAACUGAUCUUAUUCAGAGCUGAUUAUAUCUCUAGGUUAAUUAACAUUAAUUAUUUUAAAAUAUCAAACAAUAUCAAACUAGACCUAAAAGAUUUUCAAUUUAUGAGGAAGAAAAAUGUCCAAGCCAGCUUCUCCCCUUAAGAAUAAAAAGAGGCCGCCGUAGAAUUUCAUCCAUCUCACUCUCAAGAGCAAGGUCCAUUUUUGUCUUAAUUUCCUAUAUUUAUUUACUACUUUCUUCUUUUUCUUUUGUGCAUGAAUUUCUAUUUGAAGUUGUAACAAAACUUGUUAUGUUUAUGUAUGCAUAUUGUAUGUAUGUAUGUAUGUAUGUAUCUAAUUUUAAUUUAUUUUUAAAAUAAAAAUUUAGUCAAAAUUUUUAAAAAUAACAUCCAUUGAUUUUGUAAAGGGAAAUUAUCAAUUGUAUACUCUAUAGUUGCUUUGUUAUAAAAAAAUAUUACAACACUUUAAGGGUGUAUCAAUCGUCCACCAUAAAUCGACAAAAGUUAUCUACGGACCACCAAACCAUUAGCUGUCGUUUGAAAGUUAACGGAAUUAUAGUAAAUUGACGAUUUUACCCUUAAAACUUAAAUUAAAGGAAAUUAUCACUUGUAUACUCUUAAAUUAUCACUCGUAUCAUAUGAAAAAACCAAAUUACCCCUCUGGUGUCAUCCUAUUUAAACGACAGCUAACGAUUUAGUGGUCGACAAAUACAUUUUGUCAACUUAUGGUGGACGAUUGAUACACCCUCAAAGUGUUGUAAUAUUUUUUAUAAUAAAACAACUAUAGAGUAUACGAAUGAUAAUUUUCCUUUUAUAAAUUUCCUUGGUUUUUAAAGAAAUAAAUUUUGUCUUUAAAUGAUUUUUUAUGAGAAUUUUAAAACUUAUUUGUUGAUUAUUACAUUUAUUUAUAUUAAUUACGCUUAAUUUAUAUUUUUAUUAAUAAUAUAAUUAUAUAUGCAAAGUAGUGUACGAACUAUAAUUUUAAAUGUGCAUAGUAUUUUUUAUUACAAAUGUACCACAUAAUAAUAAAUCAUUUAUCUAACAAACAUCCGGCAUCUACCAAAUUUUAUGGUAAUCAUUGCAUUAUAAGUGUGUAAUCAUUGCAUUACAAGUGUAAGACUCAUAAUGACAAAAAACAAAAAGAUUGAGAGCUAAAUUCGCCUCCUUUGCCUUUAUGAAGAAAAAGUGAAAACCAAUAAUCAUUUGAUUUUUGAAUUUUUUUUUUUUUUGUUUGAGAUGCCAUUAUAUUCUCACUAAACAAAAAACAGUUAGCCAAAAGUGGUACCAAGCACACCUUAAGUUUUUCAAGUACCCUUGUUCUGGCAAUUAGUUUUAAUUUUUUCAUUGGUUGGUUAUGGUUAAGUUCUAUAAUAUAAAUUGAUUGCGUCAAGGUAUUUAUAAAAGAGGCAUGUGAAGUGUUGGUGGGACCCCAUUAUGUUUGUUAGAUAAAUAGUUUAAAAUAAUUAGAAUGGAUAUAAAUUGAAGCUUCAUGUUUCAUUGAAAUAUGACUUUAUAAACUGCAUCUACUUCCCUAUUACAUGCUCAUCCAAAAGUAGCAAAAUUGGCCAAUAUUUUUUUAAUUUAUUUAAAAAAAAAACAGAUGCCAGGUCUCUAUUUUUCCUCCACCAACUGAAAAAUAUUAGAGAUUAAGUUGUACAAUGAACAUCACGAAUUUUAUAGCUUAAGGGGGUACGGCUUUUGGUUUUGGAGUUUUGAUCAUGGCUAAUUAAUUAGCCAAUUUGACUAAUUAUAUUUAAAAAAAACCAAAGUAAAUCAUCAUUAAUCGUGUUAAUUAAUUUGUUUCGAUUGCAGGAUGAAGAUUAGGCGUAAUUCAACUUCGGACUUUACAUUCCAAUGAAAGAAGCUCUUGACUAUUUAUUGUGACAAAAAUAAAAAAUGUAAUGGGUCUUUCCCUUUUGUGAUCGAUGGGGAAUGCUUUGGUCAUUCUAAAACCCCUGACCAAGUACUGAUUAUUUCCCUAAUUUAGACUUAAUUAAAAUUUUCGGAAAAAGAUAGCAUUUUGGGAAAACGAUGGCAAUAUCGAAGUGAUUUAGAGAAAUGUCACAAGUAUCUUAUUAGGGUAAAAGCUCGUUUAGUCCCUAUAUUUUGAAGUUAGUACUCGUUUAGUCCCUAUAUUUUUAAAAAUACCUCAAACUAUCCCUACCAUUAAAUUAUUGACACUUUUGCCAUUAUCUUUUGUUCCUUUUAACUUAUUUUUAUAAUAUUUCCCUAUUAUAAUAAUUUUUUAGACAUUAUUAAAAAGAAAAAAAUAACCAUGUUAUAAUAAUUUUUUUAGACAUUAUUAAAAAGAAAAAAAUAAAUUACCAGUUUAACAACAAAAAAUAAAAUAAAAUAAAAUAAUAUAUAUUAAUUUUUGUGGAACACACUCUUGAGUUAAAAUAUUAAUUUUUCUAAAAAAAUUGAUAAUGUAAUUUUUUACGAUAUUAAUUUUUUAGACAUAUGUGAGCUUCCACAAAAAUUAAUAUAUACUUUUUUUUUUUAGUUUAAUUUGAUAAUUUAAUUUUUUAUUAAUAUCCAAAAAAGAAACAUUAUUGUAAAAAUGUAAUAUUGUAAAAGCAAGUUAAAAAUAAAAAAAAAUAAUGGCAUAAGUGUCAAUAUUUAGUAGCAGGGACGUUUUGAGGUGUUUUUAAAAAUACAGGGACUAAAUGGACACUAACCUCAUAAUAUAGGGACUAAACAAGCUUUUACCCAUCUUAUUAUUUUAAGGGGGAUUUUAGAGAACAUUACUGGCACUGUACUCAUUAAGACAUACACUCAUACAUGACAUGAUAUAUGAUAUGUGUACGUUUGUUUAAAAAAUCAUCAUGUAAUUUGUAAUUAUAUUUAAUUAAACUACACAUUUUAUAUAUACGUUAAUUGGAUGUAAUUGGAUGUAAUACCUUUAGUAUACUAUUAAAGUUUCUCUUAUUUAAAACAUAGUUACAAAUUAAAAUUUAUUUUGAAUUCUAUGUACUGUAGAAUCAUUUUUUAAUAUGAAUGUCGAUCUAUCUUUGUGACGGUUUUGUCAGAUCACAAAAAUAUUGUCGUAAUUUUUUUCGUUUGGUUUUAAUAUUGCCACUGCCACUAAAUGUGAUCUAAAUUAAUGUUUCUACUUAAUUUGUAGCUUGAAUUGGAGGAUAAUGAUGACAUUGAUGCACUGUUCCAUGCCUUUGAAGCAGCAGCCAUCAUAAGGCAUAAUGCAAUUAAUAAGUGUUAAUUUAAAAUAUUUAUAGUACACACAUAAAUAGUUUAAAAAUUUUCAUUUUAUACUCAUAGAUACGAAACCCCUGGCCGCAUGCGGCCAUGGCAACCAAAAUCAUGGCAGCAUGCGGCCAAGGCUGCCAACUCGCUACCAUGAGAUUAGAGAUGGCAAAACCCCAGAUGGGUCCGGGUAUUACAAUAAUCGGACCCUGCUUAGAUGUAACCGGUUCGGGUCCGGGUCGGGUUUUAAUUCGGGUACCCAAAUUUUAUAUUUUUUAAUAUUAUAUGUGUAUAUAUUUUGUAUUUUUUUGUAAUUUUAUAAGUUUUAAAUUUAUUUCAAUAAAAUUUGACAUGAAAAUAUAAACUUUAAGUGUUUAAAACUUUAUAUAUGUAUAAUAAAUGAGUCAAGUAAAUAUAAAUAUUUAAAAUAAUAUAUAUUUCAUAAUAUUUUUUUAAUAAAAUUCGGGUUCCGGGUUUAUCAAGUGAUGCCCAAGAUCGACCCAGCUGCAUACCCGGGCCGGGUAAUACUCGGCCCACAACGCCCGGGUACGGUCCGAGUCCGGACCGGGUGGGUAUUUUUGCCAUCUCUACAUGAGAUCCAAAUCUAUCAAAAUAAUAUAUUUACAAAUUGGCACACACCAAAAAGGAGGAUUUGAAGAUGAAAGGUUUUUCGAAUGGGAUGCAAUCGGUAAAGAAAAUCUUUGCACUUCGUUUUAAGUUGUUGUGGCAUAACAGCUUACAAGCUUAUACUGGUAUAUUAAUCAAUUAACCCAACAAAAUUACCUUGCCUUUCGUCCAAUACAGUUUUGGUAUUACAUUUUUAAGUUGAGCGACAAUGUGAUUGUGCCCUUGUAAGAUCUGACUUCAAAUUAAUGAAACUUCUUAUUUGGUUAAUAGAUAUUGUUUGGGAAGGAAAUAGAAUGCCCAAUGACGAAGCACCACGUGUUGAUAUUAAGAAAGUGGCUUACCCCGAGUACCCUAGAUGCUCUGUGGGGUACCUGGGGUACACAAGUAAGGGCAAAAAGGUCAGAAAAAUAUUUUAAAAAAUCUCAGAAGAUCAAAGAAAUAUUACCCCAAAAAAGAGUGGCUAAUUUUCUAGCUAAAAAUAAGGAAGCAAAGAGAAAAUCUCCUGCUACCAAAGAGGAGACAGUCGCCUAUCAUGCCAGCAAAUAAGUCGAAAGGUUGAUAUAUGACAGUUGACACCAGUAGCUUUUUCUUGCCAUUCCUACAAAUUUACAACAGAAUUACAAAGGUACGCGGGACAACUCCACUAUGUCCAACACGUGAAUAAGCCUCAAACUUGCUCUCCAAGCAUAUUUUUAAAAUGUUCAAGCCACCACAUGUAUAAAAACUCAGGUUUAAUUUUUAUCAAAUCAUCUAACAAACACAUCACAAGAGUUAAGGUUUCUUCAACCUUUAAACCUCCAUUACUGAGAGCUUGCAAGCUCUCUAACCUGAGAAAACCCAACUUUGACUUGAGCGUCAGAGUGUGGUCGCAAGCCACCUUUGGCUCCACCUCUAACCUCUUCUUUCGAUGUUUCGUAGGUUUAAGGUGACUUUUGAAAGUUCUCUACACCUGAAGUCGAAUCUCCCACCAUAUCCACCACUCUCUCAAUCCUCUGUCACUUUAUAAAAAGCCAAAACAAUCUGUACACUCCAAACAAUCGAGGCACCCCGCUUCCUGAUAAAAAUAAAUUUAUUGUUCUUAAUUUGGUUUUGUGGCGUUCAUACACCCAUCAAAAAUCUGCUAAAAACAAUUGGCACCAUCUGUGGGGAGCGCACAAAAAGCCUCCACACGGUUCUAAGUUUGUCGGUACGUGUGCUUGUGGGUGACAAUGCUAUAUGUCGGAUGUUCCUGCAUACCCUUACUAGACCAGCCAAAUUAUGGUUCCGAUCACUCAAGGCAGGUACUGUAUCCUCCUUAGACCAGUUGUUAAAAUAUUUUGUUAAUGAGUUUUAUUAUGCUUCCUCCCAAGAUAUAGCAUCUUCCAAGCUUGCUUUCAUCAAGUAAGGAGAAUCAGAGUCUUUAGCCAAGUAUGUAAACGGUAAUCUGCUUCCACCAAGAGGUGUUGCGCAUCAAUAAGUUUGGCCACCAACACACUCUCACUCAUUUUGAGAAGAAUUUGCGUUUGGGUAAGUUGUGGGGGUCAUUCCAAAAGCACGGCCCCCUCUCAUUCGGGGAAGCUCGUUCUCAAGCUCUACAACAAAUAGAGAUUGAUGAGAAGUGUUACUUGAAGUGGGAGGGAGAUAGAGCAAAAGUUGCAAAAAGCAAGGAGAAACCAAAGAAAGCCAAGGCACCUCAAGCACCCUCUUGAACACCCUAAGUACACAGCCCACCUCGUUCAACCUCAUGUGGGAGAGGGUUGAAUAUUCUUGGUGUACCCCGGGUACCUCAGCAUGUUAUGCUGACACCUCCAGAAUGACGGACAAUACCACAAAAACCCCGAUAGGACUUUUCUCAUCAUUUGAAUCAGUCUUCAACAUAUAUUUUUUACCAGAUCCAGAUAUGGAUAUACUUGCCAACCCAAGCCAAUUUGAAAGUACCCUACUAUGAAACGUAGUUUGAAAUAUUAUGAGUUCCAUAAAGAUUUCGGCCAUAGCACUGCCGAGUGUUUUCACCCGUGGUAAGAAAUUGAGUCCUUAAUCUUGAGCGGGUACCUUAAGGAGUUUGUGGCCGAUAUGCAUGAGGUUAGGAAGUUCUUAGAGCAAGAUAAGGGUAAACAGAUUACUAACCCUAGUCUCGAGGUUGAGGUACCCCAGGGGUCUAAGAAACGACUUUAUGUUCAAAUGAUAGCAGGAGGUCCUACCCUUAUGGGGAAAUCUAAACGGGUCAUUAAGCAUUACAGCAAGUCAUCAAUCUUGGAUCGUCCUGGUAAGGAAGUCAACUUCACUUGUCAAAAUCACUUUAGGGUAUCCUAGGUACUCGAUUAGCUCAUCCAUCUUCUUUUUACAGAGAAAGAUGCAGAAGGUGUCUCAUACCCCUAUAAUAAUGCUUUGGUUAUAAUGUUAAAAGUCAUCACCAGUAAGGUAAUAAGGACUCUAGUGGACAUUGGCAGUUUUGUAGACACCAUCUUUAAAAGCGCCCUAGAUCAGUUGUUAAUCGAAUCAUAAAAAAUCACUCGAUAUGACACACCACUCAUUAGUUUUGCAGGAGAUAUGAUCAUCCCCAAGGGUAUCAUCACUUUGCCUAUUACAAUCGGCAAUGUACCCCACCGAGUUUUCCAUAUGAUCAAAUUCCUUAUUGUCGAUCACCCCGAUGCCUAUAAUAUUAUCUUAGGAAUAUUGAUUUUAGCAACAACUAAAGCGGCAAUCUCUAUGUAUUACCUCGCCAUGAAGAUUCCAACCGCCAGGGAAAUUGUCACCAUCAAAAUAGAUCAGCAAUCAACUCGAGGGUGCUAUUCUGUCACCUUGAAAGUGAUUUAUCAAAUUGCCACUAAUAAGUUCCUUAAGGGUUACCCUGUCAUCACAAGGCCACCUAUCAGCUUAUCUAAGCAAGCAUUUGCUAGAUGCCGAAGAGCUGUACAUAAGAAAGCUCAACGGUCCAAAAAAUCUUAACAGGGACAAGAAGUUGGACCAAUGAAACUAGAUAUAGUAGCUCCUGGGGUACCACAAAGUCCCAAUUCAACGUUAAUUGGAGAGGUGGAGAUACCCCCGAAUCCUCGGAUGCCGAAGGAUGAAAAGCAAGGAGUACCAAUUGAGGAUCUUGUGUUUGUUUAAAUAUGCAAUAAUGACCCAACCAAGAUGGUCAAAGUCAGCUCCAACCUCCCUAACCAACACCAGGAGAACCUUAUUGACUUUUUAAAGGAAAAAUUUGAUGUGUUCGCCUGGUCUCACGCAGAUAUGCUGGGUAUCCCACUUUCUACCUGCCACAAGCUCAAUGUCAAUCCACAUCAUAAGUCUGUCAAGCAAAAACGUCAAACUUUCAACCAGGAAUGCUAUGACGCCAUUGAACAACAAGUGGACUGAUUACUAGCAGCCGGGUUUAUCAGGGAGGCAGUGUACCUCGACUGGGUGUCAAAUGUCGUCUUAGUCAUGAAGUCCAACGGAAAAUGGCGCAUGUGUGUGGAUUUCACAGACUUGAACAAAUCAUACUCUAAGGAUAACCUCUUUCUUCCCCAGGUAGACUAGCUAGUCGAUGCUACGGCAGGACAAGAGAUUGUCCGAGUAUAACCAAAUUCCAAUGUACAAGCCCAAUCAAGAUAAAAUAGCCUUCAUCACCAAGUAUCAUCACAGAAGUCCAGAGCUUAGCCGGCCGAGUAACCACCUUAGGUCAUUUUAUCUCUAAGGCCACUGAUUAUUGCAAGCCAUUCUUUAAAGCUUUGAAAGCGGGGAAGAAACUCCAAUGGACCACCAAGUGCGAAGAGGCUUUUUAGAAGCUUAGAGAGUACCUCGUUAAUUCGCAUUUACUCGCCAAGUCUAAGCCCAGAGAAGUGCUUUUGUUGUUCCUCGCCGUCUCCGAGCAUGCCACUAGCUCUGUUUUACUAAGAGAAGACGAUGGUGGGGUACAACGAACUAUAUAUUACACAAGUAGGGCAAUGAUCAACGGUGAAAAGAGGUACCCCGUGAUAACUCUAUGAAAUAAGAGUUAUCAUAUACUUUUAGACUUAAAUCAAGAUUACUUAGAGAGUAAAUGAUGUGUUUUUAUUGCAUUUUAAUGAUAUUUUGCAUGAACAUCCAUUUUAGUUUAUUAUUAAUAAAUUUCGUUUGAUUUAGAAUAAUUUGUGUGCUUAGAUCAUAUGCAUAUUUGUAGGUGAUCGGAAGCUCAAAUUUUAAGGAAGGAAUGUUGAUGCAAUAGGCUUGCAAAAAUAAGGAAAGAACAUGGCUACAAAAGAAUUAAAACAAAUUUAGAACAAUCUAGUUGCUAUAGUCAUUGCUGUAGUAACCGUUGUUGUACCAACCAUUGCCAUUGUUGAGCAAUCCUAGAACAACGACAGAGAAAGUUUUACAAAAUAUUGCGAUCUACAGUUUCCUAAUCUAGAAGACACGCGAUCUAGGCUUCUGUUUGCCCUAAUUUUCAACUAUAAAAGGAGCACACAUCAUAAGAAAAAGGAAGAGCCGUCACCCAAGGAGAAAAACCACAAAGAAACAAAAGAAAAACAGAAUUUAAGAGAGAGAUUAAGGGCUGCACAAGAAGAGAAUUUACAAAAAUCAAUUGGGAGCUCAGUCCUUCUUAUUCUUCUCUUGUUUUCUUGUUUUCUAUUUAUUCAUGGGGAUGUGUUUGAUGGCCGAAACUUUGUUCUUUAUUUUUCUUUUGCAAACCAUGAACUAAAUUUAUUUAUGAUUGAGUGAUAAACAAUCUUGAUGGUUUAUUGACUGAAUAUAUGUGUUGUUGCAUGUUUGCUGUAACAUUUUGUUUUGAUAAUAUUUAUUUUUAUUCAUUAUUUCGGUUGAUCACCCAUUUAAUAAUACUAGCUAAGAAAGAGUCAUAAAAAGGCAUAUCUUAGUGGAACAUAUCAGAGCAAUAUUUGGUCUUAGAUUGAGUUUCCUGGAUUGAGUUUUACUUGAGUCUAACAUGGCCAUGCUUGAUUUAAGAUUAAUGAUGAACUAGAUAUAGGGAUUCAUCUUGUAGGGUAAUUAUAACCUAAACGUGUAAUACUAUAUCUAAUGUUGGCAUAACAACUUAUCAAUGUUAGGUUGCAUAUAGAUAUAAGAUAUUCAACAUGCGACAGCUGUGGAUACAUAAGGAUUAUGUCUAGUGUUAUAGCAGAUACUGUAACAACCGGACAAAUAUUAGAAAAAUAGUCAAAGCCAUUAAGAGAGUUUAUUCAUUCAUCUACUCUAUAUUCCCAUUGGUUUUAUCCUUGAGUUUGACGUGAUAAUUUACUUUGUUGCAUUUUAUUUAUUGCUUUUUUAUUUUAAUUAGUAUAUUAGUCUCAUUAAUUGUUUUAUUUUAAUUUAGAACAAAAAUCUGCCCUAUUGAGAUUGUUGUAACAAAUCUAAUAACAUCAAUUCCUGUGGAGACGAUCCUGAAUACUCAUUAUUAUAUUACUUGUUAUGUACACUUGUACAUUGACACUAAUAGCAUUUGAAUUUAUAGCAACACCCCGCUAAAGAAAAAUUAGUUUUGGCUUUAAUUAUCUCUACAAGGAAGCUCCGACCGUAUUUUUAGGCCCAUGCCAUUGCUGUGGUUACAAAUCUUCCCCUUCGACAAAUCCUCCAGAAAUUAGACAUGUCCAGAAGACUUCUUCACUGGUCUCUUGAAUUAAGUGAGUUCGAUAUCAUCUUCAAGCCAUGCUCAACUAUUAAAGCCCAAGCCAUUGCCGAUUUUAUCGCAAAAUUCGCCAGUAACUCCGGGGGUGAAGGGAUCUCAGGGUACCCGAGCAAAACUAUACCAGCUAUUGAAGAGGAGCAUGUUUGGGAGAUAUAUGUGGAUGCUUUCUCCAACUCACAUGGAAGUGGUGCGUGAAUAAUAAUCCUUGAUCUAGGUAAAGUGAAACUAUGAUAUGCUUUACAAUUCAGAAUCAAGGCCUCAAAUAACGAGGUCGAAUAUGAAACAAUAAUAGUGGGACUAAAGAUGUCGAAGGUCUUGUGUGCAAAAAAGGUCCACAUCAAAAGUGACUUUCAAUUGGUGGUUGAUCAAAUCACCUCAGAAUAUCAAGCUAAGGAAGAAAAUAUGAAAGGGUACCUCGGGAGAACCAGAAAAUUAAUGUCCCAAUUUACUAAGGUUAAAGUGGAAAGAAUACCACGGAUGGAAAAUUGUGAAGUUGACAACCUCACCAAAAUGGCUUCCUUUAGCACAACUCAGUCGGCUGGUCCUAUCACUACUAAGUAUAUACCUACACCUAGUAUUAAUGUACCUAAGCCAGAAGAAGUGGGGUCGACAAUUGCUAGAGUACCCUGGAUGGAACCAAUCAUAAGGUACCUCAAGAAUGGGGUUCUGCCCUCAAACAAGAGUAAAGCAAGAAGGCUGAAGUAUAAAGCUGCACGAUAUUGUCUCAUCGAGGAUACCUUAUACAGGAGAGGGUUCACCCUCCCUUACUUAAAGUGCUUGGGAAACGAGCAAACCAAGUAUGUCAUGAGGGAGAUACACGAAGGAAUUUGCGAUAACCACUAUGGAGCACAAUCAUUAGCUCAGAAGGCCCUUCGCCAAGGAUUUUAUUGGCCUACUGUGGUGAAAAAUUUUAAUAUACUCGCAAGCGCACGAAUCUAAAAAUACAAUAAUGGUAACAAGAUCGAACCCACAAGGAUUGUUAUAAAUUGAAAAGUCUAAUUUAAUUUUAAAAUUAAUAUUAAUCAUAACCUAGUUGGGCAAUUUGGACUUUAAGAAGAAUUAAACUAAUUAAACUAAGAAAACAAUUAAAGUAAAGGAGAAUUUAUAAGACAAAAAUUAUCAAGGUUUUAGAAUCCGACACUAUUCAAUUAGUAAUUAUCUAAAUAUUAAUUAAUCCUCAAUUUUAGAGUGACAACUCAAAAUCGAUCUAUGUCAUCUCAUGGAUAUAACAAUUAAGUCCAAUUAAAAUUAAUCUUGUGUAGGUUCUUUUUCUGCUUAAUACUAUGAUAUCUAAACGUCCCAUGUAAAUAUAUUGAAUAACAAAAAGUUAAAGUCUUUUUAAGCACUCUGUGUAAACAAUUUAAUGAAAGACACAUAAUCAAAGAUAAUCAUAUAUAAACUUUAUAGAUCCAAGCAUAAAUUUAGUCAAAUAUUAAUCUUAACAAUCAAUAAUGCAUAACAAAAUCGAUGAAAAGAUUUUAAUAAUAUCAAAUUAAUCAUGUAAAAUAAGAACCAUGAAUAUUAAAAAACAUAUAUAGGAAAUUAAUUAAAUAAAAAGAUAAUUAUUUCAUUGAAUAGGGUUUCAUCCUUAACCUCAGUAUAAGAAAAUUAGUUACAUACUUGAAUUGAGAGUAACAAAAUAAAUAAAUUUAGCCAUGGGAAGCCGAACUGCUGUUGCUAUUUUUCUUCUCUCUUUUGCCGAAUACUCUCAUUUUUCUUCCUCUCUGGCGGCUCCUCUUUUUAUAAUGCUAGUUGAUCGAAUUCUUCUCCAAAAAUUCUAAAGAAAUCCUUUUUGAAUUCUAAUUGAAAUCCUUUUCCAAUUAUAAAACACAUCCUCCAAAUUAACGCCACCAUAAGCUAUUACUUUCCACUUUUGAAAGCCAAGUACGGGUCCCUUUAAAUUGCUUUCCAAAUGCCUACCCAAUUUAGCUUUUAAACUUCUUCUUUAUUUGCACGAGCAUGGAUAUUCAAUUUAUUGGCUUUGGUUUCCUCAAAUAGGAUUUCUUGCACAUCUGCUUAAUUGCUUCCACAAAUUGAUUUGAUCUUCAAUGUCGUCCAAUUGUUAUCCUUUAUGUACUUUUCAUCCAUAAUCUUCGAUUAAUUCCUUAUUCAAUAAAACAAUUCAAUUAAUUAUAAAUAAGAAAUAAAAAUAACUAACAAUUAUAUAAUGAAGGGUAAACUAUGUAUAUACGAUGCAGGAAGAUGCUAAGAACAUGUUCGAGAAUUGUAACAAGUGCCAGAGAUUUGCCAAGGUACCCUAUCUUCUCCUAGAAAAGUUAAUUCUCAUGUUUUUUCCGUGGCCUUUUGCUGUUUAAGGUAUAGAUCUGAUUGGCCCACUGCCAACUGCGAGAGAGCAAGCUAAAUAUGCAAUUGUAGCCGUUGAUUAUUUCACAAAGUGGAUAGAGGCGGAGCCAUUAGCAAGCAUUAUAGAAAGGAAAACCACCGAUUUCGUUUGAAAGAACCUCAUGUGCCGGUAUGGUAUUCCUAAUGCCAUUGUCAUCGACAACGAGAAGUAAUUCGGUAACGAAAAAUUUCAGAGUUUUUGCUCAGAGCUUGGAAUAGCCAACUAAUUUGCUUCUCCAACUCACCCACAAUUCUAUAGACAGAUUGAAGCCAGUAAUAAAAUCAUUUAGUGUAUUCUAAAGAAAAUACUGGAGGAAAGAAAGGGAGCUUGGGUAGACGAGAUUUCUGGUGUCCUCUAGGCUUAUCAGACAACUCAGAAUGCUUCAACUCGAGAAACCCCCUUUUCUCUCACAUUCAGGACUAAUGCGGUCAUUCCAACAAAUAUCGGGAUACUCUCUUACAGGAUUGCGUACUUUGAUGAAGCCGAAAACGCCUCUUUGAUUGCACCUAGCCUUGAUCUUGUUGAAGAAAAAAGGGCUAAAGCAGAAUUAAAGGUUGCAAUAUAUCAGCACUGUAUUUCAGGCCUAUAUGACAAGAAGGUACGACCCAAAUCAUUCAAGAAAGGGGAUUUAGUUCUACAAAGGGUAACCCAGAACACCCGGGUACCCUCUGAGGGAUCAUUCGGAGCAAACUGAGAACGCCCAUAUAGCAUAGACAAGCCGGUAGGAUCUGGGGCAUAUAAGCUCCACAUGGACAGAACAAUUGUGAAGCAUACCUGGAACGCCGCGAUGUUGAGGAAGUACUACUAAUAUGAAGACAAUGUCUUAAGCCCUAUCGUUCACUCUAUCUAUUUCCUAUUUUCUUUUUCUAUGUUUGUAAUAUGGAAAGCCGUUAAUGGGUAGAUCAAAUUAUUUCAGUAAUUGAGUGUCAUCAUUACAAUUGAUAAAUGUUGAUAAUUGAUAAUUGUCAUCAUUACAAUUAAUUAACAUUCAUAUGAAAGAUAAAUGUUGCAGUGAGGGGGUUGAAUACUCUUCAGUUUUACUCUCCAGUUUCAAGCUUAUAAUUAUCACAGUUUGAAUAUGUGAAAUUUAUGCUACCCCAUAUAUGAAUGAAAUGUUGUCACUGAUGAAUUACAUGCAGUCUCUUAGUGAUGUUAUGGCAUUUCUGGAAUUCAAUCAAAGUAACACACACACACUAUGGACAGAAAGAAGCUUAAGUACAAAACUGAUUUACUAUGGUCAUUUUGCAUGAUUGGGAGAGUGAUCUGAAGGUGGAAGAAUCCUUGCAAAUUUGAUAAAAGAGCUAAAGUAUUGUUGCAUGAUUGUUUGCAUAAAGUGUUAGUAUAUUGUCAUUACUUGAGGACAAGUAAUGGUUUAAGUUUGGGGGUGUGAUAACUCUAGGAAAUAGAAUUAUUACAUCAAUUCUAUACUUAAAUCAAGAUCACUUAGAGAACAAAUAAGGUGUUUUUAUCACAUUUUGGUUAUAUUUUGCAUAAACAUUCAUUUUAGUUGAGUUUUAAUAAGUUUUGCUUGAAUCAAAGUAAUUUAUGCUAAAAACAAGUGCAUAAUUGUAGGUUUUUAGAAAGUCUUAAUUCAUGAGGGAAUUGUGAUACAUUAGAUGAGCAAGAGGAGGAAAGAAGAUGGACGCAAAAGAAGUAAAGCACAAUCGGGAAUAGUGCAGUGUUGUAGCUGAUGUUAGAGCAACCAAUGCUAUAGCAAUCUAGGAGUAAUGUGGGAGCAAAAUUAGGCGCGGGUCAGCUGCAGAAUCGCGAUCUGCAUGUUUCCUAAUUUAACUCAUGCAAGCCCACAAACUUUUAUUUUACCCUAGUUUGUAGUAUAAAAGGGAGGCGCGAACCAUAUAGAAAGGCGGUAAGGGAAUUAUCAUUAGAAUCAUUAGAGAGGAAAGGAAAAGAAUAUCAGAAUUGAAGAGUGCUGUUUCGGCAACAUUGAGGAAUCUUGCAGAAUUAUUUGGAUUUAUCUUUCACCCUGCUCAACUUAUAUUUAUCUUCUUCCUUUGAUUGUUCUGAUGUAUCCCGUGAACAACAUAUUUAUGUUUGUUUUUCUUAUUCAGAAUAUGAACUAGAUUUACUUGUAGUUGAGUGACAAACAAUCCAAUGGGUUCUUGACUGUUCUUAUGUGUUGUUAUGUCAUUGCUGUAGCAUUUUACUCUAGUAGCUAUUAUUAAUAUAACUGUUAUUUCGGUUGACCACCCAUUUAAUAGUUCCAGUUAAGAUAGGGCAGUAAAAGGGCAUGUCUUAGCGGAUAUUAUCAGAGUAUUACUUGAUCUUAAUUUAAGUUUCUUGGAUUAAGUUAUCUUGAAUCUCAUAAGGGCUAUACUUGAAGUUAAGAUUUGUGACACACUAGACAUAGGUGCUUAUCUUGUAGGGUGGAGAGACUAAAGGAUCAUAAUGUCAUACCAUAAGUAUAUUAGUACUGGUCAUUGUUAAUAAAUUUAAAGGUAUGAGAGUUCCAAUAUACAAUAGCUGAGGAUGUAGAUUAAUUCUGCCCAGUGUUGCAGCACUUGCCGUAAUAACUGGUGUUAAUAUGAUGAAAAGCAGUAAGCCCAUGAGGAGAGUUUGAUCAUUCAACUACCAUAGUCUCAAUUGAAUCUUAGGCACAUUUAAUUUGGUUUAAUUCAUUACGAUAUUGUUUUACUUUAUUCUCUCAUAAUCAUCCAUUACAAUAAAACCCACUCUACAUUUGUUAACUUCGGAUUAAAUUUAGUUGCACUAUUGUGAUUGCUAUAACAUUUCAAGUGACAUCAAUCCCUGUGGAGACGAUCUUGAAUAUUUAUCACUUUAUUACUUGUUGUGUUCAUUUGCACAUUGACAUCAAUAGCAUUUGAUUAUAAAAAUAACCAACAAAAGGAAACAUUUUUAAAUUCCCUAAAUCCCAGAGAGCGAGUAUUUCCAUGAUUCCUCAUUCUCAUUGGGACAAUGAGCAUGUGAUAUGUAAUGGAUUUUUUUUUUUUUUUUUUUGCUUCUAUUGCUUAUAAGUAUGUUUUUUACUUUAUGGGUAAUGUGUGUUCUCAUUUUCGAUUAUCAAAUAUGACUGUGGUUAAAUUUUCGCCAUUAAUGUGACUUUAUUUUAUUGCACCAUGUCUUAUAUGCACCUUUAAUCUAUAAUUGCUUUAUUACAAGAUAAUAUGAGGAGCCUGAGAUAUCUUACCUAACUUAAUCAUGAAGAUCUAUGCGAGAUCAAAGCCAAUAAAAGAGAAUACAACAAAUUUAAAAAGGGAGGGUCGAAGAAGGCCUGAGGGAGAGGUAAACCAACAUACCUUAAUGCUAUGAGAUUUCGUUAAGGUACGCACACCCCCACAUCUUCAUUUUUUUACUUAAGCUAAGUAAAGAAUAGACAACCCAAAACAAACUGCAGUCACAAUAGUUGAAUGCCUAAAAGAAAUAAGGUAGGCAAGAAGCCUCCUCUAUUUGCAUUAUCUUAUUUAAUAUUGGCUUAAAGUUGAUGGCAAAAUAAGCAGUUUUUGACCAAUUCUGUGAAAAAAAUGGGCCAAGAAGGUCCUCGAAAAAAAAAGGCUUUGAGAAAGCAAAAUUGAAUUCUUUACCUACAUCUUAGUUGCGCCACUUAUGAAUUUCAUUUUGUAUCAUGAUGAUGCUUGAAUUAUUAAAUUAUUUGAGAUACGUCAUAAUCUUUAUUAAGAAGAGUAGUAAGCAUAUCUACGGGAAUCACACGCAAACACCACAAAUAUAUCAAGAGGUACCUGGGGUACCUGAGGGACCUCCACAACUCUACAUAGUUGAUCAUGAACAAAGAAUUCAAUGACAUGCCAAAUCAAGUAUAUUACAGAAGUUUAAUGUAAACAGUAGCAAGAUUGUCGAGGCAAGCUUCCAAAAGACAAUUAUCCCAAUACAACAAAAGGGGACAUUACACUACAAAAAGUACAAAAAGAAAGAAAGAAGGCUAUUGAAAUGCCCGGUGAUGAACUUUAAAUGAUAAUAGCAAGUAGUAUCAUGCAUCAUGGGGGAACAUCGUCUCCAUUACUCCUCUCAAUAGAAGGAUCAGUAGGGACUCCGGAGAUCAAAGAGGUACGACCUUCAUGGACUGCACCAUCGGAUCGAAGAUCUAUCUGAGGUACCUGAAAUACUCCAGAAGAUUGUUGAGAGCUGAGAGCUGGAGUAGCCUGGGUUACCUUUCUAUCCUCGAUCAUCUUCAGAAUGGCUAACUUGUCCACCCGUUUCUCUACACGAGGUACUUCUAGCUCUGGGUCUAUACGCUAAACCUCCAUCAUGAUGUGAGUGAAAGCUUUGUCGACCAUCUCCUUCUAGCGAGAUAAUAACUCAUCAUACCUAACUUCAACCUCUUCAAAGUCCUUGGAUAUGCGAAUGUUUUCUCGGGUUAGGUCGUCCAAGCACUCUUUCAAGGCCUUAACCUCUUCACCAAGCUUUUCCUCCCAAGACCAGCUGAGUUUAAGCUCCUUCUUUAAUUUCUCAACCUUCGCUUAUGCAACCGAGGUACCGCUAAAGUCUCAAAGACUAUGGCUAAGGUAGAAAGCCGCCUGCAACAAAAAAAAUGAGAAAAAAAAUAUGGGGGAUAAGAAGAAGAAGGGUGAGAAGCACUCACAUCAUAACAAGCCUUGAACACCUGACUAUAGCGCUCAUUUAGAUCCAAUAUAUCCGCCUCAGCAGCCAUAUUCAUAGAAAUACACUCAGAGGUAUGGAGAAAACUGUCAGUCACAUAAGAUAUCUUCUUGUUGGCCACCGGGUCAAACUCUCCCUCUAUGAGGUCUCCUGAGAUCAUGAACAAGGAGCCAAGUUUUCUCUUAUAGUUAACUGGAGUAUCCCGUGAGCCACCAAAAGAAGAAUCAUGCAAUUUGCCCUUAGUACUUAGAAUGACAAGACGUCGGAUACCCUUUGCUGAAGUACCUAGGGUACCAGAGGAACUGCCACUCAUGCGGUUAAAAAAAGUAUUGAAAUCCUCGGUAAACGGGUCUAUACCUAUCCGUCACCAAGCAACUAAAAAAAAAAGAAUGGUCAGUAAAAUGAACAUCAGAAUCAUCACGAGCAAAAAGACAUUAAAAAGUAUAGGAUAUGGCAGUUGAAAAUAUGUGCAGAUGAUGGGGAUACCCUGCAGGACUAGUGAAGGCAGGGUACUCCAACUACACCAUGCAGCCGUACAUGUAUCGCCCCCCGAAGAGGAUGGAAGACACUCAUCAAUCAAGCCAGCUUUCACCAACCGGAUCGUGCUCAAAACGUCACUCUCACUCUAUAAAGACUGGAACCUCUCUAUAACAUAACUCACUUUUCUUCCUACCUCGCGAAUUGGGCAUGUUCCUUUAAACCAAGUGAUAUCUACAAAAGUCCCAAGAAGCACCGAAUAAGAAAUGUUUAUAUAUAGGGAAAUGUGAAGAAGAAAACAUGUACUAUCUUCGUUAAAGGAGUUCUGGACUUGCACACCCUCACUCUCAACUGGGAUACCUCUCCCCCACUCACCCUCAGGUACGAACCAACCAUAUAUAUAACCCUUUUUCAAUAAGGGGUUUGAGUUCACCAAAUUACUAUGGACCCCCCAAGUAGCAAAAUAAGCAAUAGAUAGGCCAGUUAGUUUCUUCAACUGAUAAAGCCCUCUCAAAUCCUUGUAGGAAAUAUCCUUCCCAAACACCUUCAGCCACAAUACCUUUAAGCCCGUAAGUAACCUCCAACCAGGUAGGGAUAAUUGUCUGGGGGCAAUUCUCAUGUCACUGAACAUCUUCCUAGAAAAAGGUUGAAAAUGAAAAUGAAGACCGAGGUCGGAAAGAUCAAUAUGCAAGGGCAAAAAGGUUAGAAAAAUAUUUAAAAAAGUCUCAUGAGAUAAAUGAAAUAUUAUCCCAAAAAAAUGUGGCUGAUUUUCUAGCUAAAAAUAAAGAAUCAACGAGAAAAUCUCGCGCUACCAAAGAGGAGACAGCCGCCUGUCACGCCAGCAAAUAAGUCAAAAGGUUGAUACUAUGAUAGUUGGGAUCACAAUAUUUUUUCUUGUCAUGCCUACAAAUUUACAACAUAUUUACAGAGGUACGCGGGACUACUCCACCAUACCCAACAUGUGAAUACACCUCAAACUUACUCUCCAAGUAUAUUUUUUAAAUGUUCAAGCCGCCACACAUAUAAAAAAUAAGAAUAUUCCUGAUAUGACAGCAAGGACACCAAUAAAAUAACGCCAGGUGGAACGACAGCUGGGGUUCACCUUAUAAAAACUCAAGUUUAAUUUUUAUCAAAUCAUCUAACAAACACAUCACAAGAGCUAAGGUUUCUUCAACCUCUAAGUCUCUAUUACUAAGUGCUUGCAAGCUCUCUAACCUAAGAAAACCCAACUCUGACUUGAGCAUCGAAGUGUGGUUGUCGACCACCCCCGACUCCACCUCUGACCUCUUUUUUCGGUGUGCUGCAGGUUUAAGGUGACUUUUGGAAGCUCUCUGCACCUGAAGUUGAAUCUCCCACCAUAUCCAUCGCCCUCACAAUCCCCCGUCACUCUAUAAAAAGCCGAAAUAGCUUGUACACUCUAAACAAGUAAGGCACCCCACUUCCCAAUAAAAAUAAAUUUAUUGUUCUUGGCUUGGUUUUGUAGCGUUCAUACAUCCGUUCAAAAUCUGCUAAAAACUGAUCAUUUUCAAGAAAUUUAUUAACAAGGAUGGGAAGCUAAAGGAAUCUAUGUCAAAAUAUACACGAGGUACGUUGAGUUUGUUUGGGGCAUCUUAUUUGGCCAUAUAAGAUAAAGACAUAUUAUUUCAAGACAUGGGAUUCACAAGAACUAAACUCACACAGUUGCCAUGAAUCAUGGAUUCACUCAAUUUGAAGAUUGGCACACAAACCCUUGGCUGCCAUGGCCAUGGCACCCAUGGCUGCGCGUGGCCACGCAUAGCCAUGGGAACCUAAUGCGGCAAAGGCGACCAAUGUCAUGGCCAUACACGACCAUGGCAGCGAAACUCAUGGUCACAUGUAGCCAUGAGAACCAAAAUGAGAACCAAAUUCCUAGCCGUGCUUCCAAACCCUUGGCCGCGCCAGCCAUGGGAACCAAAUCACAGCUAUCGAAACCAAAAUUAUACUUUUAUUUUAUUAUUUUAUUACUUUAAAUAAUAUUCUUUUAGGGUUAAAAUUGUUAGUCAAUAAAAUUGUUAAAAAGGAUAUUUUUGUACUUUAAGUAGUUAACUGUGGUCAAUUGAUAAAGUUAAUAAUUAUUGGGGGUAAUUUGAUAUUUUUAAAAGUAAGAUAAUGACAAUUUAAAGAUUGUUACCUCAUGAGGGAGGUACACAGAAAUUAACCCAAUUAAUAAUAAUCUCAAGGUCUCAUCGGGAGUUACUUAAUUACUUAGCCCUUCAAUUAGAAUAAGAAGAAUUGUGUGGAUUAAUUGUGUUCUUGUGGUUGUGUUUGGUUUUAUUUUUAUGGGUAAUUAAACUUGAUUUAGGCAAAUGUGUUACUGAUGUUCAAGAUCGAUGAAAUUACAUAAUUAUGUUUUUGGUGCAUGUUAUUGCAGAUAACGUUACGGUUUAAGAUCGAUUGAAUUGGAUCAUUUUUGCAGCUCAUCAUUAAAUACUUUACCUUCAACACGAUUACCUACGAAGCUCUAAAGUAAGUAUAAUAUAAGGCAGGUAAAUAAACUAUCAUUACUGUAAGCACCACAGCAUAAAGCUACGUAAUAAUUAUAUGAAACCAGGAAGAGAUUAUUGAUCUAAUCUAAAGAUGUGGCAAUUAGUGGCAUGUGAUUACAAAUAAAAUUAUGUGCCAAAAGUUGAAUAAAACUAAAAACAGUUACAAAAUUUAAGAGAGAAAUACAACGUUCAAAGAUAAAACAGUGAAGAUUAGAUCUAAAAUCAAAUCUCCAACCAUGUCGAUCUAUAAAUACAGGCCAAAACGAUUGAGAAAAAACUCUUCACAAUUUUCUCAAUAGUUAGAAGAGAAAACAAAUCCAAGUUUACUGGAAUUUGUCAGAGAAGUCUAAAUGCGCCUGGCCCAAUACAAUGGAUCUUUUGAGCAGCCCUUUAAGAUUCUUAUUACACUCCUUUUGAAUUUUAUUUCUAAAAUAUCCUCAGUUUAAUUUAUAAAUAGAGCUCCGCAUGUUAAAAAUUAACCACGUCCCAAAAAAUUCAUCCUAAAAAAAUACUUUUUAAGAUGUUAUUUAUUAAAUACAUAUGAUUUUCAAAUUAUUUUUUUAAUCAUGUAAUUUCUUAUCACUAUAAUCUCUUAAUUUCUUUGUGGAGUACAUUGUUAAUUAAAUCUCUUUUGGAAAUUAUUAUUGACUUUUUACACUCUGAGGCCACUUUCGUAUUGUUGAUGUUUACAUGUACCGGACUAGUAGUUCCUAAAAUCAAAGAGUUGUCAAAAGAUUUUAAAAAGAAAAGGGAAAAAAUGUAGAUACUUAUAAUGCAAUAAUUAUGCAUAUGUUUUGUAUAAAGAAUUAAGUAAAUUUUUCCUUUUAGUAAUUUUUACAUAAUAAAAUAUGGAAUAUCAUCCUAAGGAGAUGAGGAUGAAAAUAUUUGAGUAAUAUUAUAAGAUAAUAUUUAGUAUUUGUUUUUAGUAGAUUUGGGUGUGUGAGUGAAAACUACAAAACCAAACUAAGAACAAUGAAUUUACUUUUGUUGGGACAUAGGGUGCCUCGCUUGUUCGGGGUGUAGGGGCUGUUUUGAUUUCUAAGGAGUGAUGAAAGAGUGGGAGGAUAAUGGAUAGGGUGAGAGGUUUUAAUCCGGACUCGAAAAACCUUGCCAAAUCACCUUAGAUUUGCAAAACAACGAGAAAUAGAUUAGAGGUACAAUCAAGGGUGGUCGGCGACCACACUCCGACAUUCAAGUUAGAGUUGGGUUAUCUUGGGUUUGAGAGCUUGCGAGCUCUCAUAAUGGUGACUGGAGAUGGAAGAAACAUCAGCUUUUGUGGUGUGUGUGUUGUAUGUUAUGAUAAAAAUAAAAUCUGAGUAUUUUAUAAAGAGUACCCCGACUGCCGUGCCGCCUAGUGUUAUUUUAUUGAUGUUCCUUGUUGUCAUGUCAGAGAUAUUCUUAUCCUUCAUACUUAUGACUACUUGGGUGUUUCAAAAUAUGAGUGGAGAGCAUGUUUAAAAUGCAUAUGUGUGUUAAACAUAAAGGGGUGGUCCUACGUACCUCUGUUAAAGCUGCUGGAGAUUUGCAGGCAUGGCAAGAGAAGGCAGAUGGUCCCAAUUGUCCUUGUAACAAACUUUUAGCAUGUUUGCAAUCGUGAAAAGUCUAUGUCCCAUCUUUUUCAGCACAAUAUUCCCUCAUUGAUUUCUUAAAUUUUUUCCGAAGAACCAGUCAAUCUUUUUUUUUUUUUGGUUAAUGUCUCUUUCAUCUCCUGACAUUUUUUUAGAUAUUUUUCAGACUUUUUUUAUCCUUACUCACCAUACCUUGGGUAUCCUAUAGAGGGCCUGGGGUACCCGGUGUAAGCCAUCGUUGUUUUAAUGACUUCAGCUAUAAAACUCCAUAUCAACACGUGGCGUUUUUAUUUGGUCUUUUACUUCUUUCCCAAACAGUAUUAUUAAGGUAAGAUUUCUUAUUCUCAUCUAAACUUUUUAAAUAAUAAUAAUAAUAAUACGAUCCAAAAUGUUAUUCUCCUAGAUAUUUUUAUUGGUUUUUUUAAUGACAACAGCUCCCAAUUUAAUUGAGUCUAAAAACAAUUGAAUUUGGAGAAAAUUUGAUUGAGAUUAGAGACUUGUUAGUAUGUAUUGAUCAUCCUAAGAAAAGAGUUUCGAAACAGUAUAUAUUUUGUCAAAUUUUGAUGUAAAUGAGCUUUGCACUUAUGAAUGAAUUUUAUUUUCGUGCUCACCUAAGUUUAAGUAAUAAUUAAAGUAAGAAUCUAAAAGAAAAAUUCUCUUACCUACUUCAUAUUUUUGUAAUAACCUUCCAAUUGACUUUAUGGGGGAGGGGGGGUGGAAAUGACGGAGGUCAAAGAAUUAAGGUGAUCUUGAUUGUUCUGACAAGCGCUUCGAAACAUUACACAAGUCUAAUCCCACUUUAUCACAUUUACAGCAGAAAAUUAAAUAAUCUCCUUUAGAGAUAGUGGUGCUUUUAACCUCUUUCAUCCUUUCUAUGUUAUUAAUUACUCGUUAUUAUUUUUUGUGAAUGGAGAUGCAUGACCGGCCUGAUUAUAAUAGGAUAAAGGAUAAAUACAUCUCAAUGUUUAGGUAAAAAGAUAAAAAAGAAUUUUAAUGUUUUAAUAAAGAUAUUUAUACUCUAAUUUAUUAUAAUUUUAUCAUUAUACCCUUCUAGAAUAUAAAAAAAUUAUUCAAUUAUUCAAUUUAUCUAUAUAUUAUUAAUAAAAUUAUAAAUAUACACUCAUUGCUUCAUUCUUCUAUUUAAAUUUUUAUUAAUAACCAAUUUUUUAAUUUUUUUAAUGUUUUAAAAAAGAUAUUUAUACUCUAAUUUAUUAUAAUUUUAUCAUUAUACCCUUCUAGGAUAUAAAAAAAAAUAUUAGAUUAUUCAAUUUGUCUAUAUAUUGUUAAUAAAAUUAUAAAUAUACCCUCAUUGCUUCAUUCCUCUAUUUAAAUUUUUAUUAAUAACCAAUUUUCAAAAAAGACAUCUAUACACACUUAAAAAAAUUGUAAAUAAAUUAUAAUUUUAAAAAUAAAAUUGGUUAUUAAUACCAUAAUAAAUAACAUAAAAAAAUUGGUUAUAAAUGUACAAGUUUAAAUGAUUGACAUGUGGAGAAUUGUUAAAUAUACAAGUUUAAAAUUUAAAUAAAAUUGGUUAUUAAUAACUAAUUUUAUUUUUAAAAUUAUAAUUUAUUUACAACUUUUUUAGGUGUAUAGAUGUCUUUUUUGAAAAUUAGUUAUUGAUAAAAAUUUAAAUAGAGGAAUUGGGCAAUGAGGGUAUAUUUAUAUUUUUUUUAUAAUAUCCAAUUUGUCUAUUUAUAAUGUUAUUAAUAAUAUAUAGACAAAUUGGAUAAUCUAAUAAUUUUUUUUAUAUGCUAGAAGGGUAUAAUGGUAAAAUUAUAAUAAAUUGGGGUGUAAAUAUCUUUUUUAAAACAUUAGGAGGGUUUUUGUCCCUUUACAUAAACGUUGGGAGUGUAUUUGUCCUUUUCCCUUAAUAAUAAAGCCACGAACAAUUUGUAUAAUUUAGUGUCUACAAAUUUGUAUGGCAUGAAAAGAUUUAUUAAAAAAUAUAAUAAUUAUUUUUUUAAUUAUAUAAAUACAUGAUAAUUUUAUAUAACCAAUCUUCUUAUGCGAAAUCAAUUUAUAUAAAUAAAGUGGUUGUGCCUCUAACAUUACUCUAUUGUUAAUAUUCUAUGUUUUCGUGAAACUCAUGUUGACAUUUUUUUCCACCGGCUAUUGGUGCCAUUUUCUAACUCAUUAGACCUGUUCCAACCCUCGUGCAGCAAGCGUCCAAACAAAGUAGAAAGGAGGAACUUUCAUCCACUGCUUCUCGGUAAUUUAAUAUUUAAUAACCUUCUGCCCUUCUCCAGUGAACUCAUACAAAUUAAGCUUAACAAGGAAGUAUUGGGUGAUGUGAGUUUUAAAGAGAAGGAGAUUAAAAGACGAUAAGUCAAAUGGAUAUCACAAUUGCUCUGCCAGCAGAGUGUAUUUCCAAUAUCAUUUCUCUUACAACUCCUCGUGAUGCUUGUCGAUUAUCAGUGGUGUCUCGAGUAUUCAGAUCAGCUGCGGAUUCAGAUUCCGCAUGGGAGAAUUUUCUGCCUUCUGAUUACAAGCAGAUCAUUUCCAACUCUGUCUCUGAUUCAUCUUUGACCACUUCCUUGUCUAAGAAGGAUCUUUAUUUCCAUCUGUGUCACAACCCCAUCAUCAUCAACAAUGGUAAUAUGGUAAGUCCAACUUGACUCAUCUUUUAUCUCUAGACAUGUCAUAUGCUAUAUAUUAAUGUUUUACCUCAAUUUAUUCUGCUAUUUGUGUAGAAAAUUUUUAUUUUGGAGUAUUAUGAAUAUUAAUACUAACCCCCAGAACUUCAUCAGAUGUACAUUUAACCAAAAAUGGUGGUUGAAUUCUUGUUCAUUGUAAUAUCCGAAAAAUUGACAUGCUAACUAUAACUUGAACUCAUCAAAUUUUUUGACUUAAAUUUUCCACUUGUUUCAUACAAACACAAUUUUAAAUUAUCUUUGAUGUUUUGAGUUCUAAGCUUUUACAUAUGCUCUUAGGAUAAAGUCUGGACAUAUAUGUCUACAAUUAACACCCAGUUGAAAUCUUAGUAAGCAUUGAAAUGGAGGAACUUAUAUACCAAAACUGAUUUUAUAGAAAAGCUAACAUCAUGAAUACUUUGACAGAGCUUUGCGCUGGAGCCAGAGAGUGGGAAAAAAUGUUACAUGGUUGGGGCAAGAGGGCUUUCCAUAGCAGGGGCAGAUGAACCUUACACUUGGAUAUUGACUUCUCUACCGGAAUCUAGGUCUGUUCUAUAUAUGUUGGCAUUGCACGUUUGUAUUUUUAACCUUUAGUGGUAUGAUCGUGUAAUUUGCUCAUGUAUGAAUGCAUUGACAGGUUUCCAGAGGUGGCUAAAGUCAACUCUGUGUGGUGGUUUAACGUCAAAGCAAUGAUAGAGACCAAAAUUUUGUCACUCAGAACCAACUAUGGGGCUUACCUUGUUUUUAAGUUUGCAGAGUCAACGAGUGGAUUUGAGAGAAGACCAGUAAUUUCUAGGGUCUACAUCGAAGGAAGCGAUAAUGGGCUAAGGCGAAGUCUGUCGCUAGAUCCUUCAAGAAAUAUGGCUCGAUUAUCUCAAGACAGGGGAGAUGGGUGGAUGGAAAUUGAGAUGGGCGAGUUCUUCAAUGAAAAUGGAGGUGAUGGCAUGUUGGUGUGUAGCCUACUUGAAUUUGAUAGCUACAUUGCCAUGCGUGGCCUCAUUAUACAAGGAAUUGAGCUGAGGCCUAAAAGCGACUGAUAGCUGUAUUGAAUUAUUGAACUAUGGCUUUGACACUGCAACAUUUAGUCAUUUAGUGAUGAUGUAAGCUCUUUAGGUGGAUCAAUCAACCAAGAACUCAACAAAUACUUUUUUUUUUUCAUAAUGGAAUAGCAAUAACUGAGAGGUGGCAUAAGUUUAUCGUUGAAUGCAUUAGGUUAAUGGUGAUUUCCAGAUUAAUUGAGCUUUCCCGUAUUUGGAUUAAUGACUUGUAAGAUAACCUUGAAUCAAUCACCUGUCGUUUCUAGCUAACUUCAAUUUUCUUGUUCUUCAAGAUAAUAAUGACUUUCAACAAAGUUAAGCAUUGCUAUUUCUUUACAACUACAUUUAAUUUAUAAGAUUUGACAGAUGGAGCUCCAUUUUGUUGCAUAUCCAAUUCGAUGCAUAAAUAUUAGACUGAGGCAAAUGUUUGCGAAAAUGAAUCGGACGUUCGAUCUAUUGCCUUAGUGAGCAUGUAGUCUUGGGCCAAGCACUCACUCCAUCAAGCAAGCAGUGAAAUGGUACAUGACUAAGCUGAAUAAAGUGACUGCGAAGAGGAUUCAGCAAGUCCCCAAGAAUAAUAUAGAGCUCCCACAAGGGUAAUUUCUGAGUACUUUAACAAGACAAACUUGGAUCUAUCCUUUGUAAAGGACAAUGAUCAAGGGCCAUUGGAGUGGAUCAUUUAUAUUUAUAGGAUCUUAGCUACACUUGUGGAUCAUUUUAUAAGCAAAUUACUCCUAAGAGCAGAGUUAUUAUUAAUGGAUGAUUUUCUUUUUUUGAAACGGAAAACUUCAAUUAAACACUUAAAGAAACAGACUUACUUGAGUUGGAAUUUCCUCCAAUCAAAUUAUUGCUAACAGUAUAUUUAAUUAAUUUAUGAGCAGUCUUAUUACUACUUCUCAAUAAAUAAUCAAUUUUAAAGCUUUCUUUCACAAACCAUACAAUCUUUUACCUAGGUAAAUAAUCAUGAUAUUUCCUUUAUGUUUCUUUCUAGACCUUUAACCAAAUUGAAAAUAUUAAUAUUCUUCGAGUCCGAUGCAACAAUCAGCGGCACCAAACUAGUGUCUAUUGCCAUCUUGAUUAUGGAAUUGAUCAUAGCCUCAACUUCAGCAUAUUCAACAUCCCCGUAUAAAGCUGUAUUCCGAAUUCCUGCAGGCAUUAUCUCCCCUUUCCAGUUUCUAAUAAUGGCCCCAAGGCCUACAAUUUUCUUUUCAGCAUUUGUGGCUGCAUCUACAUUCAACUAUAACCAACCUAAUGAAUGAUUUUGCUUCAAGUCUGCAUUUAUUUAUUUACGGAAAUCCUUUCUUGGUUGGAGUAGUAGUGCGGCAUAACUAAAACGGUGAGUAUUGAUUGUCCUGGCAAGAGCUUAAUAACCUUACGCACACUUUAAUCCCACUUUCAUCACAUUCACAACAGAUCAAAGAAUUCCACACUCUAAUCCAACUUGAUCACAUGCACAACAGAAAUUGCGUAACACUGGUCAAAUUAACUGUGUUAUGCCUUAGACAUAAGUGAGCUUGUAUCCGUCCUUUUUAUGUUAUUAAUUACCUGCUAAUAAUAUUGAAAUUAUUAAUCAUCAUUACUCUUGCUUGUUAUCUUUUGUUUUUUUUUUUACUACUGAUAUUACAAUAAGAGGAUUUACUGAUAUCUACAAUCAUUCAGCUGGUUAAACAUUACUUCUGAGUUCUUUAAUCUUUACAAGUGCCUUUUAUAAGAUUUGACAGAUGGAGCUAAUCUGGCCGCCCAUCCAACUCUAUUCAUAAACAAUAUUAUUAAAAAAGUGUGGCCAUGUUCACACUUUUUUCUACUGGCUAUUGGUGCUUUCUCACUAGACCUUUUUCAAAGUUAAAACCUUGUAGAGCAGCGUCCAAACAAUGUAGAAAGUAGGAAGUUUCAUCAGCUGUUUCAAAUAAUUUAAUAUCUAAUAACCUUCUCCAUCGAACUUUUUUUGAUAACACCUUCUCCAUUGAACUUACAUAGCUUAACAAAGAAGAAUUCUUGCUUAGGCACCAUUGAGCCUACAUAGCUUAACAAAGAAGAAGUCUUACCUAUGCCACAUACUUUUUUUUCUUUCUUUUCCUAAAAGGUAAUGGGAUCGUGUAAAUUAUUUUUUAAAUUCCAAAAUUCUAAUUUGGGUGGCUAGCUGAAUAAAGCUACUCAGUCAGGCUCCUGGAAGUCUUAGCUUAUGCUCCGUAUAUUUAAAGACAUUAUUACUAUUAGUAUUAGGAGAUCUGAGUUUCAAAGAAAGGAAAUUGAACACAAGUAACUAAAAUGGAUACCACAAUUAUACUCUUGCCGGCAGAUUGCAUUUCCAUUAUCAUUUCUCGAACAACUCCUCGUGAUGCUUGUAGAUUAUCAGUGGUAUCUUCUGCAUUCAUAUCAGCUGUGGAUUCCGAUUUCAUGCGGGAGAAUUUUCUUCCGUCCGAUUACAAGCAGAUGUACAUUAAACCAAAUAUUAUGUUUGAUAACUACCUUGAAGUGAUCACAUAUUUGACUCGAAUUUUCUUUUUGUUUCACUUAAACACAAUUUUAGCUUGUCUUUGAUGUUUUGAGUUCUAAGUUGUUAUGUUCUUACUGUAAAGUUUGGACAUGCAUGUCUGCAACGUCCCGUUGAAAUAUUUAUAGCCACUGAAAUGAAGGAACCUAUACACUAAAGCUGAUUUAUUUGAUAGAAAAGCUAACUUCGUCAAUACUUUGACAAAGCUUUGCGCUGGAUCGAGAGAGCGGGAAACAAUGUUACAUGAUUCUGAAAGGGCUUUCCACAACAUGGGGGGAUGAACCUACUAACCACAUAUUGACUUCUCGACUGGAGUCUAAGGUUUGUUCUAUGUUCACAUUGCACACUUUCAUUUUUAUAUUUAGUGGUGCAGUCGAUUUCAUCAGUAAUUUAAUUUGCUCAAGUCAUAGCAAGUAUAGAGACCAAAAUUUUGUCACCAACCAUGCCGCUUACCUUGUUUUUAAGUGCGAUUAUGGAUUUGAAAAAGGACUACUAGAUUUUGGCGUCUACAGUAUAGGAAGCGGUAAUGGGGUAAGGCGAAGACCAUUUCUAGAUCCUUCAAGAAAUAUGGCUCUACCAUCUGAAAACAGGGGAUAUGGGUGGAUGGAGAUUGAGAUGGUAUAGCUCUUCAAUGAAAAUGGAGAUAAUGGCAUGUUGGUGUGUAGUCUAUUUGAAUUUGAUAGCUUCAUUAUCAAUCAUGGUCUCCACAUAGAAGAUAUCGAGCUUAGGCCUAGAAAUGGCUGAUAAUUAACUAUUUUGAAUUAUCUUUUUGACACAAUAACUUCAGUAAUUCGGUGAUGUACUACUUUGAAGACCAAAGUUGCAUUACUAAUGCUUGCAUUUAGUUUUUUAUAUGUAUUAUGAUGAUACCCAAUAUCCUGGAGCCAUAUGAAAAUUAGAAGAAAGAACCUUUGUUCAAGUACUUUGACAGUAAGCUAUCGUGGAGAGCUUUCUGCCGUCUGAUUACCAUCAUGUCAUUUUGAAAUGAAGCCUCAUCAUCAUUUCUGUCGAGUUCCUUUGUCGAAGAAGGAUCUCUAUUUUCAUCCUUAGCGCAACGGACCCCCUCAUCUGUAACAAUGGUACUAAUAGUCAUGGCUUAAUUGACCUUCGAAACUACUAGAAAUAUCUGAUUUAAGUUAUUUUUAUAAAGGAAGGGUGAUUAGCAUUUAUAUGUUCCUUUGAUUCAAUUUUAAUAAGUUUCUGAAAAAUGUUAAGCGUUUCUAUGAGUUCUUUACAAUUAUGCAUAAACAAUAUGCAUGCCAGAUUUUUGUUUGCAACCCGAUGUUGACAUUUUUGUGUAUCAGUGUAUGGCUAUUGGUUUAGCUUUUCAAAAGCAUUGCACCUGUUCCAACACUUUCAAACAAGUAUCCAAACGUUGCAGCAUGUUACAAUGUAUGAAAUUUUACCAAAUAGUUCUAAUAAUUUAAUAUUUAACAACUUUGUCCACUUUUGACAUAGCUUAAUUAAUUACCAAAGAAGAGUCCAUCUUAUGGCGUAUCUAUUUAAGAAUGAUGACAUACAUCUCAAAUUUUUUAUCCUAAAAAUUUUAUCUCAAAUGAUCUCGCAUUUAUUAAUUAGUUGGUGAAAUAAUACAAUUAAUUCACUUGAAUCUUAUAAAGAACUACUAACCACUAGAGAUGGUAAUGGAUCGAACGACACAUGACACAACACAGACAUGGCACGGCACAAGCACGUUGGUAUGGCACGCAACACAACACGACAUGCAUGUGGGUUGUGCUAGACUGACAAUUUUAAACACGUAAACCUUAAAAGCAUAUUAUGAUUAGAAAUGGAUUAAAGCACGGCAUAUGAAAAGAUUUACAAUAAGAACAUUUUACUUUUUAAUAAAAGUAAACUUAAAAUUUUAUAAUUUUACAAAUAACUUGAAAUUAAAAUUUUCAAUAUAUUUUAUUAGUGUAAGUCUUUAAAGUCAUUUAAUUCUUAGUUUCAAAAGGAAAUACUCUACUUGUUUUAUGUUUAUAAUUUAUUAAAUGAAUAGAUGAUAUCAUGAUUUUAAUAAAUAAAAUCAUAAAUAUCAUGAUUUUAUAAAUUUAUGUAUUAAUGAUAUUAAUACUACUAAAAAAAAGCGAAUCUAUGAUAGAUAUUGUUACAUCACAGGUCUAUCAUGCGAACAUGACAUAUAUUGACACAUAAAAAUAUGUCACAAAUUUAUGACAUAUUUGUAAUUUACGAGUCAACCUACAGUACAGCGCAUGCACACAACCGGUACAACCGGUUUUUAAUCGGUUAACAUAAUAAAUAUUACAUUUUAAUUUGUUUUUAAUGUGAAAAAAAUUUGAAAAAAUAUUGUAAUUAAAUGAAGCAAAAGAAUAUAAUAAUUUUAAAUUUAUAAAUAGUACAAGAAACUAUAAAAGUAUUAUAAAUAUGUCACAAAAUAACUAUCUUCCCACUUAUUUUGUCACAUUCCAAUAUUUAUAUUGCAUGUUUCAAGUUUACUUUUCAAAUUUCAAUUUUUUGUUUUGAUUUAUCUAAAUUUUGGUAAGUUAUUUCAACUCAUUUUUCCACUAGUUUUUGGUUCUAUAUUUUCAUUUUUUUCAUUAAAUUCCAACUUUUACGUGGAUAUUUUAAGUUUAUUUUCAACAUUCCUAAAUUCCAUUAGACUUUAUCUAAUUUCUAGUAAGUUAUUCCAACUCAUUUUCCCACCACUUUUAAGUCCUAGAUUCCAACUAUUUUUAUAGGGUUUCAACAUUUUCGGUAGAUAUUUCUAGUUCACUUUUAGAGCCCUACUUCGCAUUGGAAUUUAUCAAAUUCUUAGUCAAUUAUUCCAAUUUUCGGGUUGAGUUCAUCAACUCUUGUUGUCACUACUUUUUGAUUCUAUAUUCCAAUUCCUUUUAUUGAAUUCUAAUAUUUUAGGUAAGAGUUUUAAGUUUACUUUUUGGAUCCUUAUUUCCUGUUAAAAUUUAUCAAUUUCUUUGUUAGAUUAUUUCGACUUUUAGGUUAAGGUCAUCAAUUGUCAUUACCACCAGUUUUUCCUUUUAUGUUUCUACUCUUUUUAUUGAAUUUCAAUAUUUUGGAUGGAUAUUUCAAGUUUAUUUUUAGAUCCCUACUUCUCUUUAAAAUUUAUCGAUUUCUUGCUAAGUUAUUUGGAGUUUUGGGUUAAGCUCUUCAAUUCAUAUUCCCACCACUUUUGGGUUAUUUAUUCUUGCUCUUUUUAUUAAAUAUCAAUAUUUUGGAUGGAUGUUUCAAGUUCACUUCUUAUAUCCCUACUUCCUAUUGAAAUUGAUCAAAUUCUUGGUAAAUUGUUCGUACUUUUCGGUUAAAUUCAUCAACUCUUUUUCCUACUAGUUUUUUGUUUUAUAUUUCUACUCUUUUUAUUGAAUUUCAAUAUUUUGGGUGUACGUUUCAAUUUCACUUUUUGGAUCCCUACUUAUAGUUGGAAUUUAUCAAAUUAUUGGUGAGUCUUCAACUCUUGUUCCCACCACUUUUUGGUUUUAUGUUCCUACUCUUUUUAAUGAAUUUCCAUAUUUUGAAUAGAAGUUUCAAGUUUAUUUUUUAGAUUCCUACUUUUCAUUAGAAUUUACCAAAUUUUUAAUAAGUCAUUCCAACUUUUAUGUUAAGUUCUUCAACUCUUAUUUCCAGUACCUUUUAGUUACAUAUUUCAGUUUUUUUUUUUUAAUCAAUUCCAACAUUUUGGGUGUGAGUUUCAAAUUCAAUUCUUAGUCCCUAUUUUUCCACUGGAAUUUAUCAAACUAUCGUUGCGUAAUUCCAACUUUUAGGUUAACUCUCCCACUUUUUUCCCACUAUUUUUUGGUUCUAUAUUCCAAGACUUUUUAUUAAAUUCCAACAUGUAGGUGUGUGUUUCAAGUUUAUUUUUCACGUCUCUACUUCCCAUUAAAAUUUAUCAAAUUAUCUGUAAGUCGUUCUAAUUUAUGGGUUCAGUUCUUCAACUGUUACUUCCACCAUUUUUUUGGUUGUAUAUUCCAAAUGUUUUUACUGUAUGCCUACAUUUUAGGUGGUUGUUACAAGUCGCAUUUUAUUAGAGUAAAACAUUAAAGUAUUAUGGUAAAUUACCUUUGACCCCUCUUUUUUUAAUAAAUAUCAACUUACAAUAUAAUUUUGAAAAAUCAUUGUUGCAACCCUCAAUUUUUUUUCAACACUAUGAAUCCGUAUAAAUCCAGUUCCCCCCCCCCCCCCCGGCCCCCAACGGUCUUUGUUACUUCAUGAUAUUUCUUGAAUUUAAUCGUAUGUAUACUUUAAACUUUUGAUCUUUUACAUAUUAAUGCUCAUUUUAUUAUUUUACAUAAUUGUGCUUAGAUUUUUUUAAAAAAACAAUUGUGCAACAUAUAAUUUUCAUCAUUAUAUUUAGUUUUAAAAAUUAUUUCUUUAAUUUCUCAUCAAUCUUUCGCUUAAGAUUAACAAAGUAACAUUGACUUAAAUCCAGUUCUAUUAAGCCGCCAUUAAUUUAUCUUUACCGAGUACAUUAAACAAAGUAAAAGCAACUCAAAUCAAAUAAUAUUUUUAUAACACAUUAGAAAAUCAUUGCAAUCAAGAAAAAAGAAAAUAUAUUAAAUAUUAAAAUUAAAUUUCUCUAAUAGAAAAAUUCAGUGCUAUAAUUUUUAAGAGAAAUGAUCUCUACACUACCUUUCUUUUGGAGAACAAAUUAAAAAAAAAUGCAUUUACAACCAAUGCCAAUUCUUAUUCACUACUCAACUAUGCACCAUUAGAGAAAAAAAGAUAAAAUAAUCUCAAGGGAUUAUAGAAAACCAUUUCUAUUAUUUCUAUUUCCCCAUUUGAUCUGGAGAUAGCCAACUGAAGCUUGGGCUGCUCACCAGCCUUACUUGGAUUCAACCACUUGGCAGGAUGCCAAUAGCAGUUUCUGCAUCAAAUGCUCCACAAUUUUCCCUUGCCAAUCCUUCUAUAUUGGAAGAAUAAAACAUUAAAAAAAAGACUAUUAAAAAACAAUUAAGUGACAAUUCAAAAUGUUAUACAAUUUAAGUUAAUUACAAAACUUUAACUAGACAAGAAAAAAAAUUAAGAACAUUAAUCGUGAAAAAAAAUUAAUAAUGAUUAAAAAAUAUAGAUCUUAAUGUAUGAAGCUACAAACGAAACCUUAGGCCCAAAGGAUCUGUUUUUUUAUAAUAAUAAAAAAAUUAAAUAAAUUUUAUAUUUCCUUUUAAGGUUUCUGAACAAUAAAUAAAGUUAUUUUCAAAAAAAAAGUAUCAAGAAUAAUAAUAUAAAAUAUGAAAUUUUAAAUAAUAUCAAAAAAUUAUGAAAAUGUGUAAAUAUGUUUUCAUUUAGGCAGUAGUUUUCCUGCCUAAAUGAAGCAAAAUUCUUUUAGUGUUAUAUCAAAAUAAAAUAACAAUGUAAUAUUAUAGUUACAUUAUUAAUUAUUUAACUUUUAUAAUAGAAUGUCGACAAUAAUUUACAAUGACAAUUAACAACAUUUCUCAAUACGUUAUUAAAUAGUUUAUUACCAUAAAAUGUUGUUAUAUUUAGACCAUACGCUCAUUUUGAUUAAAGAGAAAAGUGAUAUUGAUAAAAUUAUCAUAUUUGUGUUCAAUUUACCCAUAAUAAUAGUAAGGCUAACGAAGAUACUUAUUAACAACGUUAAUAAUGGAUGUUAAGAGUUAUAGUAUCAUUAAUCAUAAUACUAGUAAUAAAACACUAUCAUUAAAUAUUAACAUUACAUGUAAUCGUGUAUAAGCUCCUAUAACAAUUCAUAGAAUUUUUUGUGACUUCAAAUUAGUGAGUAAAUGAGACCAUAAAAAGUAAUUUAAUGAAUUUCUUAGAAAUUUGUGUGAAAUAUUUUUAAUAAGAUUUUUCAUCUUAUAGUUACCCAUAUCCAGAACUAAAUUGUACUAUUUAUAUUAGUCACUAGUAAAAAUAAUAUUGAAAACAAAAAUAUUUUGAGUAAUGACAAUACUUGGUACUAUCAAUAAUAUAGAGUUUACCAGAGAUGCACAAAUUUGCAAAAGAAAAAAAAAAUUAAAGAGGUCUCCCUAAUUUUUAUAUUGUAAAACAUUUGUAGAUUUAUAAUGUCAUAAUAAACAAUGAUAUAAUUGGUUUUUGAUCAAUUUCAUUAUAAAAAUGAUUGCAUUCAUUUAUAAUUAAUAUAGUUUACACUAAUAUACAUAUUAUUCACAUUAUUUAAAACAUUACAUGUUUUAAAAUAUAUUAUUAUGUUAGGGGGUCUUUGAUAGUCGCCUACAUUAAAUGAAGUCUUUAAUAUUUGGUUAAAAGAUGAGGGAGCAAAGUGAUAAUUACCAGGAUAUUUGCCAGUUCCACAAUCUGUUUCGGUGACCCAUUUUAUGCCUAAAAUUACUAAGCUGUUGGAUUGCUUAUAAAGUAAUCCAACGGCCAAUAAAUUUAGAAUAAAAAUUAAACUCCCGCUGUAUCUCAUGCAGUACUUUAUUACAGGUGGACCCGUAACUUAUAGCUUUCUGACCUAAAUAGAUGAUAGACACAUGUCAUGCUUGAAUUUUUUAUGUUCAAGAAUUUAAAAGACAUGUCAUUUCACCAUGCAAUCCGACAUCGUUUGCCAAUAAUGACAAAAAUUUGUCAUGGAUUGAAACAUCGUGUUUUGUAAUAAACAUACAAUUUUAAAAUGUGUAAGAUAAUAUUAAUUACAAAAAUACCAUUUUUAAUAAUUUGUUUUCUGUAAUCCGAUAUCAUUUAUAGAGCAUGAUAGGCAUCUGUCAUGACCUUAAAUGACAUCAUUUUAUUUUAUUGAUUUAUUUAAAUAUGGUCUAGCAUAGUUUUCAUAGUAUGAUAGAUUUCUAUCAUGAAUUUAAAUGAUGCCAGUUUAUUUUAUUAAUAUUUUAUUUUUAAAUGGUAUAUUAUGAAGAAGAAAAAGGGGAGCCUCUAAGUUACAAUAAUUGUACAGUGUAAGAGAUAACAACGCCUCUCGCAGCCGNNNNNNNNNNNNNNNNNNNNNNNNNNNNNNNNNNNNNNNNNNNNNNNNNNNNNNNNNNNNNNNNNNNNNNNNNNNNNNNNNNNNNNNNNNNNNNNNNNNNNNNNNNNNNNNNNNNNNNNNNNNNNNNNNNNNNNNNNNNNNNNNNNNNNNNNNNNNNNNNNNNNNNNNNNNNNNNNNNNNNNNNNNNNNNNNNNNNNNNNNNNNNNNNNNNNNNNNNNNNNNNNNNNNNNNNNNNNNNNNNNNNNNNNNNNNNNNNNNNNNNNNNNNNNNNNNNNNNNNNNNNNNNNNNNNNNNNNNNNNNNNNNNNNNNNNNNNNNNNNNNNNNNNNNNNNNNNNNNNNNNNNNNNNNNNNNNNNNNNNNNNNNNNNNNNNNNNNNNNNNNNNNNNNNNNNNNNNNNNNNNNNNNNNNNNNNNNNNNNNNNNNNNNNNNNNNNNNNNNNNNNNNNNNNNNNNNNNNNNNNNNNNNNNNNNNNNNNNNNNNNNNNNNNNNNNNNNNNNNNNNNNNNNNNNNNNNNNNNNNNNNNNNNNNNNNNNNNNNNNNNNNNNNNNNNNNNNNNNNNNNNNNNNNNNNNNNNNNNNNNNNNNNNNNNNNNNNNNNNNNNNNNNNNNNNNNNNNNNNNNNNNNNNNNNNNNNNNNNNNNNNNNNNNNNNNNNNNNNNNNNNNNNNNNNNNNNNNNNNNNNNNNNNNNNNNNNNNNNNNCAUGUGACCCACACAAAAUUGUAGGACUCACAAUUUGUGUGGUUCACACGAAGAAUGUAUGUUACAAUUAUUGUAACUUAGCAUUUGCCUUUAUAUUAUAUAUUGUAACUUUUAAGACCCUCCCUCUUAAUUAACCCAUAUCUAAUUGUUCAAAUUUAUAACUUAUUUGAAAUAUACAUAUAAGAUUGUAUUUAGUAUGCAGAAUAUAAUAGGAUUUGAUAUGAUCGAGUGGGAUGAGAUAAGAUAAGAUUGAACUAUAUUUAAUACUGCCUUAUAUGUGAUGUAAUUUAAGAUUAGAUGUAACAAUAAUUUGUUUAUUGUUAUUGUUAAAAUUAAUUAAAAAUAAAUAUAUUUUUAUUUUUAAUAAUUUAUAUUAUAUAAUUAAUUAUUAAAUAUAACUUGAACAAAACUGAUUUUUAUUACAUAUAUUAUUUAUUACAAUUUUCAAGUCCCCCUCUCUUAAUUUGAACAUAAUUAACUAGUAUAUAACUUGUUUGAAAAUUUCAAAUUAAAUGGUCAAUUCUCCUUUCACUCGGAUAGUAAUUUGCGUGACACGUCACAAGCUCUCUUCACUGACUGAUUUUCCUCAAUCUAACUGACACGACCCAAAAGUGUUAUUACUCUCAAAUAUAAGAGUGUCCAAUUAUAGUAUAAUCUAAUGAGUCCGAAGUCGAAGUACAAGAAAUUUAAAAUCUAGUAGUCAAUUUAUUAAGUAAAGAAAAUUAAAUGAGAAAAGAAAUUAAUAGGAAUCAAUAUAAUAAUAUGCUAAAGUUACAGGAUCCACUUUCAAUUUUCAAACUAUGGUUUUAAUACUCUCUCAUUUUUAUAUUUUACCUCACUUUUAUCAAUUAAUUAUUAUGUCAUUUAAUUCUUAACAAAUUAUAUGUGUGGAUAAAUAUGGAAUCAAGUACCUAAUAUGCCACAAUUAUUUUAAUAUGUCGACAUUAUGUCAAAACAUCAUACAGAUUCAGGGAGAUCUGCAAAUUAACAUGACAUAAAAACAACCAGAAAAGAAUAAAAUAAACUUAAAACUUAUUUGAGAAAGUAAUUAAUUUAAUAAUUUGAAACUUUAAGUUUCACCUUUCAUCUUUCACUUCGGCUUAGUAAAAUUAGCCACUCAUAUUGAAAGAAAACAAAACAUUCUUUUUAUUUGACAAACUUCUGAAAUACAUUACAAGAAAAUUGCUACGCAAGAAAACAAGAAAAGAGAAGAAAAGAAAGAAAAAAUAUUCCUCAGUUUCUCCCUCGUCUCUCCUUCUACUCCCCCCACUAUUGUUUGCAUUUUCUUAUCUUUUAUAGGCGAGGAAUGAAUCCUCUUCUUUUAUUUUGUUAAUAUUUAUUUUAUUUUAUUUUAUUAUAAUAUAUAUACAUAGAGAAGUGAUGAUCAAGUGGCAAAAUGGCCACCUGACCAUUACAAGCAUUAUCAACGCACUUUCUUUUUUCUUUUUUUUUAUUAAUUAUAUCUUCUCAAUAAAGCAUUUCAAAUAGAGCAUUUCAAAUAGCUGCAGCAAUUCUUUUUGUUUCCGCUUUCAGUUCCAACUUCUCUUUAUUCUUGAAAUAUAUCUGCAAUAUAAAAUUAAAAUAAAAUAAACAUAUUACAAAUUAAUUUAACAUAAAAAUAUUUUUGGGGAGCGUUAAAAUAAUUUAGGAAUAAUGAACACAUUAAUCGACACAAUAAGUGAAAAACUGAUAAUUUUAUCCUUAUUAAAUGUACACUUUUUAAUGUCAGUCACAUCUCCUAACCAACUUAUUGCUAGGCACUAGCACUUUAAGCAAUAAAAAUUUAGCGAAAUUUCAAACCCAAAUUAAAAUCUUUUUUUUUUUAAAUUGAGCUUACUUCUUUCAUUGAAUUAAUGACAACAAUCAAAUAAAAAUAUAAGCAUUAUGUUCAGCCUAAAGAUCAUGUAAAAUGAUCAAUUAUCAAAGCUAUAACAAAGUCAUUUUUAAAAAUGAUAUGUCAAAUCUCAAAACCUCAUGGUUAAAAGUCCUUGUUGUAUGUUUGUAAAUUGAUCUAGACGUGAUUAAUAAGGGAGGGAUAGUAUAUUUUACCCCAGCUUAUGUAAUAAAAGCUUAGUUUAGCGUAAAGAUAAACUAAGGUUUUUACAUCUAAAUUCUCUCUAUGUAAUCCUUUGACAACUAUUAUAACUAAUCCUAAAUGGUCGUGUUUGAGUUCUUUAUCACUAAUCUUAUUAUAGGAAUAUUUAUCUAUUAGAUAUAAUUUUAUCAGUUCACUCUCAUUCGUACAUGACAUAUAUCUUUCACUAUAAUUUAAUAUAGCAACUAUUUGUUAAAUAAAUUUUGCUUUUUAUAUAUUAUAUUUGGAUUGAUUAGAGCUAAUUUAUUUUAUACAAAACCUUUCUAUUAGUUCAUCUAAAUCUAUAAGGCUUUCUAUUUUAACAUCAUCUUCUUCUUUUCUUUUACUGAAUAUUCUUUUUAAAUAAUUACCUUCUAAUUUACUACCAUUGAAUAUUUGCAUUCCUUUGUUAGUAAUAUCUAUAUCUCUCAGUUUUUUUAGAUUGAAGGCUUCCUAUUUCAAUGUUAAUUUUAAUUUUUUCAAAUCUUUCUAUGAAGCCGGUAUUACUUCUGAACUCUUAUUAUCUAAUUACUUUAAUUUUAAUCUUUCUUCAAUAUAUUCUUGAGAUUUGAUCUAAUUUUACUAUAUUUUGAUCUUUUAUAAAAUCUAAUUUUUCUUCUAGAUUCUUGAGAACUACUCUAUUUUCUCCUAAAUUAUCUUAAAAUUCUUAUUAAUAUUAUCUAAUUUUGAUUUCAAAUUUCUAAUUAACUAUCAAUCUGCUAAACUAUUCAACUGAACAUUUUCUGUACGUAACUCGUGUUUAAAACUUCCUUCUAUAUUACAAUCUAUACUUUAUGUAUGUAUAGUUAUAGUUAUAGUUAUCUUCUUACCAUAAUAAACGCUAAGUUCCAAAUCUAAAUAUUCUAUCCUCUUUAUAAGUUAUUGGAUCUUUUAAUUAGAAUUAACUAAUUAAAACAUGCUCCGAUACCAAAUCGUAGCCUUAUCAUUUAGUUUAAUGCUAAUACGGGGUGUAAAUGACUAACUUGUUCGGUACUUAAUGUUGUUCUCUCUGUGGUAAGAACAUAGUUUUUCUUUUGUAAUAUCUUUUUUAUUAAAACACCUUGCGGUGCUUGCAGAUUAGCAGUGGUAUGUCCCGGCUUCAAAUCAGUUGCAGAUUCAGAUUUCAUGUAAGAGAAGUUUCUCCCCCUGACUACAGGCAGAUCAUUUCCAACUCUAUCACUGAUUCAUCUUUGAUCGCUUCCUUGUCUAAGAAGGAUCUUUAUUUUUAUCUUUAUCACCAUCCCAUCAUCAACAACAAUGGUAACAUGGUAAGUCAAGGUUGACUUUUUUGUCAGCUAAAUAACUCAUAUGUUGUAUACACUAAUUAAGCUACAUAAGCUGCACGCUGCUUGUACAUCUAGACUUAACUACUAUGCCCAUAUGUAUUAUCAUUUUAUUGGCUGAUUGUUUAUAUACUCGAUGCACAAAAAUUUUACUUUGUCAGGUUGAGAUGGUUUUUCUCAUUUUGUGUAGAGCAAUUAAUUCUGCUAUAUAUUCCGUUUUACCUCAGCUAUUGAAUGUUAUCUCGAAAAGUUGUUAAGCACCAGAGAUCAAGUAUUAGCAAAUUUAUGGAGUAUUAUGAAUAUUGAUAUUAAUUAACAACAGGAACAACAUCAAAUGUAGAUCAAACCAAACAUGGUGGUUGACUUAUUAUUGUUCAUUGAACCAUCCGAAAAAUAACAGGCUAUCUAUCUUGAAGUAGUCACAUAUUUGUCUUGAAUUUUGUUAUUGGGAUAAAUGCUCAUUUGGUUUCUGUAUGUUGAUUUAACUCAUUUAAGUAUCCAUUUAAUUCUUCUAUUUUAAAAAUUAUGUCAAGACACUACUACAGUUAAAUAUAUUAUAUUCUUAUCCUUAUGUUUCUUCUCCUUUUACAAUAAUACCCUUCCAAUAAUAUUCUUGACAUUAACUAAUUUAUUCAUAAAAAGUAGUUAAUUCUUUUUCCAAAUUGAAAUCCUUACAAGAGGAAUAGCGAGUUGUUCAAUUUGAUUGGUAGAUGAGUAUGGACAAUCGAAUUUGUCGUAACUAGAAAAUAUAUAUAUAUAUAUAUAUAUAUAUAUAUAUAUAUUCCUUUGAGUUUGAGGAGAAGGAUAACUUUUGUUUUUUAGUGAAAAAUUGUUCAAACCAAUAAGGCUAUAUAUCUUGUUUGCAAAUAUGGCAGUCCUUUUUUUUCUGAUAUUUUUAUCUGAUUUAAUCAAUAAGUUGGAACGAAUCUACGGAUCAAGGAUAAUUGGCUUUUACUUAAUAAUAAUAAAGUAAAUUAGACGAAUUCAUUGGGGCGAAUUAUUGCAUAGAACUAAAUACAAUAUUUGAUUGAGAUACGGCCAUGCAAUUUAUUAUAUUAAUAUUCUCUUUUGGUCAAUCGUUGAAUUGAAGAAUUGACUAAAAUCAACUAAAUGGGAAUCAUUUCAUAAAGUAUCUUUCUUUUCUUUUUAUUUUAAUCACCCACCUGUAAUACUAUAAGAAUUUUUAUUCAAAUCAUUACUCUUGGUAUUUGCUAUUCAAAUUGAAUGAACAAAAAUGAACAAAACAAUAUAAAGAUAAUAUUUUUUGGUGUGGGGGGGGAUAUAAUAAGGCCAAAGAGGAAUUUGAGGAAAAAGACCCUUUAGAUCUCUUUCCUACAAUUCCCAAACAUCGUAAUUUUUUUCUACGACUCUUGAUCGUAUAUGUUGUAUUUGUAGAUUUAUGUUUGGAUACGUAUUUUUCCUAAGUAGAUUAUCUUGAGUUACGCAUACAGUGCCUUUGUUCUAAGCUACAAAAAAAGACUAUUUUGAAAACAAGUCAUUGAUGUUCCUCCAUAGAUUCACCUAUGUAAACUGUUGAGUGUUAGAAAAUGCAUAUUUAUAAAGGAGAAAACCGUUAUUUUACAUUUCAAGUUUUACUAACAACCCUUACUUUUAUGUAUUUAACCUUCUUGUGAUUUAAUUACAUGUGUUUUAUUUUAAUUAAGUAUUUUAUGUAUUUUAGGGGCAUUAUAGUCAUUUCACAAUAAAGGAGAGAUCAGACGGCAAAACGGACAUCACUUUUGAACUCAGGACAGUCGAAAACCUUAAAAGGAGCAUAAAAGGAAAAAUAGUACUAUUCACAUGUACGGUACUAUUCACGUGUAAAAAUAGUACUAUUCACAUGUACGGUACUAUUCACAUAGACGGAUGAUGACGUGGCAUUGACCGAUGAUGUGGCAUUGACUGAUGAGGUGUCACGAUCCUGUUGGACUAAAAUUCUUAUGUACUGUUGAUGGUGACGUGGCAGCAUAUCAGUGGACGAAAAAUCUCGCGUACGGUGCAUGCUUCACACAGGAUUAUUUUCAACCAAACCGCGUUACUGUUCAUCCGGGUCAAACCGCGUUACUGUUCAAAGUCGGGUCAAACCGUGUUACUGUUCAUCCGCGUGGUCAAACCGUGGACUGUUGACUGAUGACGUGGCGCAAUCCUGAGCGUCCAAACUAUUUUUAAUCCGAUGGCCAUGAUUUACUCCAUGUAUCUAUAAAAAGGGGGCCUCUCCCCCCUAAUUUGAUAUCUCUGAAUCCAUUUUUGGGAUCCAUUUUCUGUAAUUCCCUCUCCAUCUUGUAUUUUCUUCGUAUUUUAAUAAAUUUCCAUUUUGCCCCUAGUUCAAUUAUGAGUGGCUAAUUUUCUUUCAAGCUUGGGUUGAAGGUGAAGUCUCACCAUGUGUCAUGGGCUUAAUUUGGUAAAUUUAUUUUCUCUUCCCCUCUAGUUUUUGUGGAUGUUUUGACUUCUCGUCGACAAAUAAUACUAAUCUUGUCUAGUACCGCCUUGGUUUCAUCGGUCCUCUAGUACAAGGUUAUUAUUAUUUGGCACGAUAAGCCCUUAGCACCAUAUUGAUUAGAGCGUGGUUCAUGAGGUGUGGAUUCCCCCCUCAUGAUUUAAUUGGUAUUAAUACGGAUUAUUUAGCCCAUGAUGCAUGUUGAUAUGGAUCCAGAUACCCAAGUACGUCAUUUCAAUAUAAUUCUCGUCAAUUUAUUCUCGUCAUUUCAAUUCCAAUUUUAGAAUUUAUUCUCGCCAUUUUAAUUUAAGUUUUAGCAUAUUCCAAAUCAUUUCCACCAUAAAUCCAACAACCCAUUUACAAAAUUAAUUCUAUACACAAUUAAAAUCCACCUCCUCGUGGGAUCGACACUCGUCACCAUUAGUCUAUACUACAAUAGAUUCGUGCGCUUGCGAGUACAUUAAAAUUUGCACAACAAGUUUUUGGCGCCGUUGCCGGGGAGGUAAGUAAUUUUAAUUAAUAGAAUUAAUUUUUGUGAAUAAUUUCUUUUAUUUAUUUUCUUGUAUUUUUUUUAUUAUAAAAAAAAAGAAAAAAAAAGAGUGAAUCUACAUUUAAAGGUUAGUAUUUCUUUUAUUUUUUCUCUUCUUUAAAAUUCUGUAAUUUAAUUUUCAAUUUAUUUUUCUUUGCAAUUUUUUUUUUGUUUAUUUUAUUAAUUUAAUUUUUAGUUAAUUUAUUUCACGUAUUUAUUUUUGUGUAUUUUUAUAGAAAGUUUGUAAUCGCGCAAUAAGGUUAGUAUCGUAAUUUCUCCCUCUUCUUUAUUUUUAUUUAUUUUGUUCCCAUCUUUAUUUUUUAUUUUAUUUGUUUUGCAUGCAUGGUCGUAGGUCAUUAUUACCCAAUCUUGAACCUAUAGACCUUGAACUUGAGAAAACACUUCGCACACACAAACAUAUUAAAAAUAAAAUGGAUUUGCAACCACAGGAGAGGCCAUUUAAGGACUACUUCAGUCCUUUAGCUAAUUUGAGCACAUCAUGCAUAAGAUACCCUAAUGUAGCUGCUAGGAGCUUUGAAUUAAAACCUAGUGUGCUAAAUUGUCUCCCCACAUUUUAUGGCCUAGAAAAUGAGGACCCAUAUAAUCAUUUGAAUGAUUUUCAUGCAAUUUGUCAAACAUUUAAAUAUGAGAAUUUUUCAGAUGAUGAUGUUAAACUCAGAUUAUUCCCAUUUUCUUUAAAAGAUAGAGCUCGUUCAUGGCUUAAUACAUUACCUGCUAAUAGCAUUGCAUCAUGGGAACAAAUGGUAACUAAAUUUUUAAAUAAAUAUUUCCCAGUGCAUAAAACCAAUGCUAUUCGCAGGGAAAUCUCAGAGUUUACCCAGAGAGAGGACGAGCAGUUUUUUGAAACAUGGGAGCGAUUCAAUGGGCUACUCUUGAAGUGUCCACAUCAUGGGUACGAGAAAUGGCACCAAUGCCAAUACUUUUUGGAGGGAUUAUUACCGAAUGUGCAAGAAUGGCUAAUGGCAACAAGUGGAGGAGAGCUAAUGUCAAAAAGUGCAUCAGAGAUUUGGGAAUUCUUCCAGCGACAAGCGGAUAAUUCCCAACAACGGAGUCGAUCACUCAGGAAUACAAGAAGAAUUAAGGGAGUAAAUGAGGUUCACAUUGGCGAGUCAAGUUCAGAAAUUAAAGAAGUCAAAGCGAUAAUUGAAGGUCUCUCUCGACAAAUAGCAUCGUUAUCGACUGCUAAAUCAACAGAGCCACAUGACCAUGACUCAUACUCAGAUCAAGCCAAUGCCAUAGGUGUAAUGAGAAAGCCAUCAAAUUACAACCCAUACUCCAACACAUAUAAUCCUGGAUGGAGAGACCACCCCAAUUUUUCAUGGUCUCAAGGAUUCCAACAAAAUGGACCAGCAGCUCCAGCUCCACCAAUGCAACAAAUUCCUCAAGUUCCUCAAGCCUCUCAGCCACCAUUUAGACCAUACAAUCAGAACCAGAACCACUCUCAACCUAGACCAUGGGAGGAUGCAUUCCAGAAUUUCAGGAAUGUUACUCACUCCACGAUUGAGCAACAGAACCGCACCAUUGAUGGACUACGAAAUGAAUUGAGAGCGGGCUUCAACUCACAAGCCCAAUCAGUUUCAAGCCUCGAGAAGAUGGUGGGACAACUUGCUUCUUCAGUUCAGACCUUGGCAAUGACCGUUGAGAAAGGUAAGUUUCCAAGUCAACCAGUGCCUAAUCCUAAAGGAGUACAUGAAGCAAGUACCAGUUCACCACAACAGCAUGGAGAGGUCAAAGCAGUAAUGACCUUACGAAAAGGAAAAGAAGUCGACAACAACGUGGAGAUGCCAGUGACAAAAGAAAAUCAAAUUGUACAUGUGAAUGUUGAGGACUCAUCACCGGAGGAGAAAGAAGAAACUACCCCACGAGAAUACGUUCCCAAAGCUCCAUUUCCUCAGAGGUUAGCGAAAGGCAAAAAGGGAAAAUCCACAGGUGAGAUUAUUGAAAUCUUCAAACAGGUAAGUGUUAACAUCCCUUUGCUUGAUGCUAUUAAACAAGUUCCAUCUUAUGCCAAGUUUCUUAAAGACCUUUGUACUAAAAAGAGAAAUAUGCAUGUUCAAAAGAAGGCAUUUUUAACAGAAAACGUUAGUUCUAUACUCCAACAUAAAAUUCCUUUAAAAUGCAAAGACCCAGGCUCCCCCACUAUCUCAUGUAGCAUAGGGAACCACACAAUUGAGAAUGCUUUGUUGGAUUUAGGAGCUAGUGUAAAUUUGUUGCCUUAUUCAGUAUUUGUGAAACUUGGACUUGGAGAAUUACACCCAACUCCAGUGGUGUUACAGCUUGCAGAUCGGUCCACAAAAAUACCUCGUGGUAUUGUGGAGGACGUGCUUAUCCAGGUAGACAAGUUUUAUUUUCCUGUUGAUUUCAUUGUAAUUGACACUCAACCAAUACAGGAUUCGAGGAAGCACAUCCCCAUUAUUCUAGGCGGACCUUUCUUGGCAACUGCGGAUGCUCACAUUCAAUGCAGGACUGGGAAAUAUGCAGUUGUCUUUCGGCAACAUGACUAUGGAGCUGAACAUCUUCAACAUUGCCAAACAACCUCACAGUGCAGAUGAUGGAAUUGUUGAUGUGGGAUUUAAUUGAAGCAUUAGUUGAUGAUACUUUUGGUUUCAAACCUUAGUGAUGAUCCUUUACAAACAUGGUUAAACUCACUUUGGGUUUGAAUUUUGAUAUUGACAGAUCGGUCGAUGGAGGUCAACGCCCUGCUUGACUCAGCACCAUCUAUGGACACUAAUAAAUGGAAGUCAAGAGUUGAGCAACUAGCACCAUCAGAGAAGCAACUCAUUCCAUCAUCAGAAUCACCACCGAAACUCGAGCUCAAACCAUUGCCCAACACUUUGGAAUAUGCGUUUUUGGGAGAAGAAAGCACUCUGCCGGUAAUCAUCUCAUCAUCCCUCAAUGACGAACAAAAAGGUAAGUUGUUAGAUAUUUUAAAAGAGCACAAAGGGGCAUUAGGAUGGACCAUAACAGACAUAAAAGGUAUAAACCCAGUAGACUGCAUGCAUUACAUUCACCUUGAUGAAAAUGCUAAAACUACUAGGGAGAUGCAACGUCGGUUAAAUCCUAACAUAAAAGAAGUUGUUAGAACAGAAGUCCUUAAACUAUUAGACGCAGGUAUCAUUUACCCAAUUUCUGAUAGUUCAUGGGUCAGUCAUGUACAAGUUGUCCCCAAAAAGUCAGGAGUCACAGUAGUUACCAAUGCUGAUAAUGAAUUGAUACCCACUAGAGUAACUACAGGAUGGCGUGUUUGCAUUGAUUAUAGGAAGUUGAAUUCUGUCACACGUAAAGACCAUUUUCCUUUACCAUUUAUUGAUCAAAUGCUUGAUAGAUUAGCAGGCCAUGAAUUUUAUUGCUUUCUAGAUGGCUACUCAGGAUAUAAUCAGAUUCCCAUAGCACCAAAAGAUCAGGAGAAAACUACUUUCACUUGCCCUUUUGGCACAUUUGCAUAUAGGAGAAUGCCAUUUGGAUUAUGUAAUGCACCUGCUGCAUUUCAACGAUGCAUGUUAAGCAUUUUUUCUGAUAUGGUUGAACGAUUCCUUGAAGUCUUUAUGGAUGACUUUUCUGUCCUUGGUGAUUCGUUUGAUCAAUGUUUACAUCAUCUAACACUAGUUCUGCAGAGAUGUAUCGAGAAGAACUUGGUCUUAAAUUGAGAGAAAUGCCAUUUUAUGGUAAAACAAGGUAUUGUUCUCGGUCACAUCAUUUCGAGCAAAGGUAUUGAGGUUGACAAAGCCAAGGUGGAUCUCAUUUCUAAUCUUCCUCCACCUAAAACAGUCAGAGAAGUAAGAUCUUUCCUUGGGCAUGCUGGUUUCUAUAGACGUUUCAUUAAAGAUUUUAGCAAAGUUUCUAGACCCUUAUGCAAUUUACUUGCUAAGGAUGUACCUUUUAUCUUUAAUGAUUCAUGUCUUAUGGCGUUUGAAAAAUUAAAACAGUUGUUGACAUCAUCACCCAUCAUUCAGGCCCCAAACUGGAACUUACCAUUUGAGCUAAUGUGUGAUGCAUCUGAUUAUGCAGUAGGAGCAGUAUUAGGACAAAGAGUUGAUCGAAUUCCCCAUUUUAUUUAUUAUGCUAGUAUGACAUUAAAUGAUGCACAGUUGAACUAUUCAACUACUGAAAAAGAAAUGCUAGCAGUAGUGUUUGCAUUAGAAAAAUUUCGAUCAUAUCUCAUUGGUUGUAAAAUAAUUAUAUUCACGGAUCAUGCUGCUCUUAAAUAUCUUCUCACAAAGAAAGAUGCAAAAGUCAGACUAAUUCGUUGGGUGUUACUUUUGCAGGAGUUUGACUUGGAAUUCAAAGAUAAGAAAGGGACAGAAAAUGUUGUGGCAGACCACCUCUCUCGUCUCCAUUUUGACACAAUUACAGAGCCAUUAAUAUUGAAUGAGUCAUUUCCAGAUGAACAAUUAAUGAAUGUGGAAGUAUUACCUUGGUAUGCUGAUAUAGUUAAUUAUCUUGUUACAGGUAAACUUCCAGAGCAUUGGACCAAGCAAGACAAGGCUAAAUUCUUUGCAGAAAUAAAGAAUUUCUUUUGGGAUGACCCGUAUUUGUUCAAGUAUUGUGCGGAUCAAAUUGUUAGACGAUGUGUCCCAGAAAGUGAAAUUCAUAAUAUCCUUUCAUUCUGCCAUGAACAAGCUUGUGGAUGCCAUUUCAGUGCUAAGAAAACAGCGACUAAAGUUUUACAAUGUGGUUUCUAUUGGCCAUCUAUAUUUCGAGACGCUUACACUUUCUGUUCUUCAUGUGAUAGGUGUCAACGAAUGGGGAGCAUUACACGGAGGAACAUGAUGCCACUAAAUCCAAUUUUAGUGGUUGAGAUUUUUGACGUAUGGGGUAUCGACUUCAUGGGACCCUUUCCCCCGUCUUUUGGCCAUCAAUACAUAUUGGUUGCUGUUGACUAUGUAUCGAAAUGGGUAGAAGCAAUUCCAUGUAGGACCAAUGAUCACAAGGUGGUGAUAGCAUUUUUGAAAAGCAACAUUGUUUCACGCUUUGGAUUCCCUCAAGCAAUAAUCAGUGAUGGUGGUGCCCACUUUUGUAACAAAGCAUUCAAAGCUCUUUUGACAAAGUAUUCAAUCACACACAAAGUGGCGACCCCGUAUCAUUCGCAAACCAGUGGUCAAGUUGAGAUUUCCAAUCGAGAAAUAAAGCACAUAUUAGAAAAGACGGUGAGGCCGGACAGAAAAGAUUGGUCAUUAAGACUUGAUGAUGCCUUAUGGGCAUAUAGAACGGCUUUCAAGACCUCGAUUGGGAUGUCACCCUACAGACUAGUGUAUGGAAAAGUUUGCCACCUACCUGUGGAACUCGAGCAUCGUGCAUAUUGGGCCAUCAAGAAAUUCAAUUUUGACAUGCAGCAAGCCAGCUCAGAAAGAAGAUUACAGCUGGCAGAACUUGAAGAAAUUCGCAAUGAUGCAUACGAAAAUGCCAAGAUUUACAAGCAACGAAUGAAAGUCUUCCAUGAUAAGCAAAUUAUGAGAAAAUCGUUCACUCCAGGUCAGAAAGUGCUUUUAUUCAAUUCUCGCUUGCACCUAUUCCCAGGUAAGUUACGCUCUCGUUGGUCUGGCCCAUUUAUUGUUCAUACUGUUUUUCCACAUGGGGCAAUUGAAAUUAAAGACCCAAAGAACGGUGUCACGUUUAAAGUUAAUGGUCAAAUAUUAAAGCCAUAUCUAGAGUACCAACCACAGGAAGAAGACACCGAAAUAAAUUUGAGUGACCCACCAAAUUUGAAUUGAUUUUUUUUCUUUUCGUUGAUUUGAUUUUUCUUUCUUUCUUUUUAUUAUUAUUCUUUUGCUAAUUGAAAUUGUUUUUGCAUAAGUGUGUUUAUUUUACCAUUAAGUUUUCUCUUAUCAUUUUUAAUCAUGAGUCUCAUACUUAGACCGUUCCUCCUGAACAUUCUUAAACCACUUCAACGUGUCAAAACUCAUCUCAAAAGGCAGAUUCAAUUUUGUAAAACACAACGCAUUUUGGCUCUACAACCACCAGAGUUAGUAGCCUAUGUUGAGGGUUUAGAACGCCAACUCAGAGACAUUGAGAGAAGUGUUUACGACAUCCAGUUGGAGCUUGAGGUAAAUUCAAUAAGAGGAUGAUUUUAAUUGUGUGUUUUAAUUUGUUUUUCUAUUUGUGUGCUUUAGUUUGUUACCCCGGUGAAGUGGCGGAUAACAGUACUCCGUGACAAUCAAGUCGGUUACUUCAGUUUCCCAUAAUAACUGAUAUUCUGAGGCGAAAGUAUUGACAGAAACGAGAUUCUAGCGAAGCUUCAUAAGCGAUUCCCUUCAUUUCCUCAGAAUGCCCUCCUUACGAUCUAUAAAGCUCGGUCCGAACGCAUGCGAUUGCUCAUGAGGAAUAACAUACCUGCUGAUAUCCGUUGGUUAAUUGAGGCGAAAGUACGAUCGACAGGUGAGUUACCUCCAAAAUUUAUUGCAUUCAUGCCUGGUUGUGGUAAAGGAAAUUAUGCAAGAAAACGACGAGCUCGAAGAAUUUCUGUUGCUUGUCAUAAGUGUGCCAGAAUGAGUUGCAAUAAAAACCCAUGUUCUUUAGGAAUGAUGUUUGAUAACAGGGAAGAUAAGAUUCAAUUCAUUAGGGAUGGCUUGAAUAAGGAGUCAUUGGAUGAUAUCCUUUUGUCUCUAGAAACGCAUCCCAGUGGAUAUGUGCAAGGAGCGAUUCUCCAGUUAUGGCCAUUAUUCCAGAAAGAGCAUGCACGAUAUAGUCUCGGGAAUCUGACUAUAAACGACCCUGUUUGCCAGUUUAUAAGAAAACUUGAUAGGAAGCCUAUCCUCGACCCAUAGAGGGCGUUCAAGCCGUUUCUGGACGUAAAACCAGAGGAAGAUGUGAGCCACAGUCGCAACUACCUGUAAAUAUCCUUUUACUUUAUUGUUAUUUUAUUUCACUAUUGUCUUAUUGUUUGCAUUAUUGUCUUUAAUAAUUUUAUUACUGUUUGCUUUUUCCUUAUUACUGUUUGCUUUUCCCUUUUUACUGUUUCCUUUUUGACUCGCGAGCCACGUGCUUUACGCGUUAUUUGACAUGGACAUGUGACCUCAUACACAACUAUGACCCACUAUCACCAAGACUCUUAAAUGUGAUUUUCUUUGUCAAGCACUCACAAAUUAUUUUUGCGAAGUAUCACAAUGGCAGCUACUCCCAAUAGACAAUUCAAGAAUAUUUGUGUGCUUUCUGGAUUUACAUAUGGCAAACAUAAAGAGUUCGUUGAGGCAGCCAUAGAUCUUGGUCGAAGCAUAGCAGCGAGAAAAAGUACACUUGGUGUAUGGAGGAGGUAAUCGAGGGUUAUCAAAAAUGGUCUCAGAAGCAGCUUUUAUCAGAGGAAGUCAAGUGUUAGGCAUCAUCCCAAGAGUCUUAAAACCAUUGGGCAGUUCGUCUGACUCAUCAACUGGAGAAGAGUUAGUCGUCUCAGGUAUGCAGGAAAGAAUAACUUAAAUGCUUAAUCAUGCUGAUGCUUUUAUUUUCCUUCCAGGAGAUCUUGCAACACUAAAGGCACUUAUCACGCUAGCAUCUUGGGCCCAUCUCCACAUCCACCAGAAACCCAUCGGUUUGUUAAAUGUCAAUAACUUUUAUGAUGGCUUUAUCGCAUUUCUUAACCAUGCAAUAAAAAACUAUUUCAUUCCCGCUAAUGUGAAAAAACUUUUUAUUUGUGCUCACACUGCUAAUGAGCUACUUGAUCUGUUACAAGCUUAUAAACCAGAGCCAGACCCCUGGACCUUUGUGUUGGAGCGUCCAAAUAAUGAUGGUAACAGUAGCAGCAGUAAGAAGUACAAAUUAGAUUUAACUCUCCGCCUGUAAAUAUUUUCUUCUGUGUUGCACCACCCAGGUGAUGUCUUCUAAACUCUACUUCUUUCCUUUCAAACAUUGAGGACAAUGUUUCGUUCUGGUUGGGGGGAGGGAAUAGUCGACAAUUGUGGAAUUUUGGUUAAGUUUUUACUAAUUUUUUGUUGUAGAAACUAACUGUUGCUAACUUUUUGUGUUGAAGAUGGCUGAAUAUGGAGUGUAGUGACUUUAGAAAUGCAUCUUCAUCGUUUAUAAAAAAAAAAAAAAUUCAGACAUUUUCUUUUUCUUUAUUAUGUGUUUAUGUUUAUUUUUUUUCUUUUUAAUUUCUCCUCUAUAAAUAUACAUUUUCCAACUUUUGAGUCGAAGAUGGCUGAAUAUGGAGUGUAGUUCCUCUAGAAACGCAUCUUCUUUAAAAAAAAAAAAUCAUUUUCGUUUUCUAUCAUUUUACGUGUAACUUUUCUAAUUAGUUUUUAUGCAUCAUUUUCACAUUUCUGCAUGCAUAUUUUUCUUUCAUGUUUAGAAUAGGUUGGGGGGUAGAAUGAUGUUUAAAAAAAAAUGUGUAAUUUGUUUUAACAUUGGAUGACAUGAUUAAUUUCAAAUUUUAGUAUUUGUAUUAUCUUUGGUCUUAAGUGAUGUUACGCUAUGUUUGCUACUUUACAUGUUGAUGUCGGAGACAAAUGUGAGUUGCUUGAAGGAAUGAACAUGUCAUAAUAAGUACCAAGUGAGUUUUUGAGCCUAUUAUUUUUCUUGGAGAAUAACCCUUUUGCCCACUCUUUAUACAGCUUAGCAGUUUAUUAUUUUAUACACGAUCUCUAAAUUACUUUUGAGUUAACCCUUAAAAAAAAAUUGUAAAAAAAAAAAAAGAGUGUGUUGCUACAUUUGGAGGCCCAUCUAACUAGUAGAUAUGGAAGAUUAUUUAGAGCCCUAAAAGACGAUGGAAAAGCCAUCUUUGAUCCGUUUGAGCCUUUCUAGCCAUCCCUUUUAUCAAAUAUCCAUAGUUAACCCUUUUGAGCCUUUAAAAAAAAAAAAAAACCUUUUUCUUUGUCAACUUAUCAUCUUGACCCACUCCGAUUUGGAGUAUUAUCCAAUGUCUUAUAAGUUCCAUCACCUAUAUAUGUUUGAGAAAAUGUAAAUAAUUAUGUUGUUCAGUAAAGUUAUGCAAAAAAAAAAAAACAAAAACAAACAAAACAAAAGUUGUUGUUUCAAAAGAAAAAAAAAUAAAAAUAAUAGGUGAAAUCCACCUUGCAACUUCCAAAAAAAAAAAAAAAAUUCUGUGCAUUUUUCUCAAACAUACACUUUGUUUUCCUUAUUUUCCUUCUUUGUUAGCCAUGUCCCUAGCCUACGUUACAUCCUAAUAAAAGUCCUUCCUGAUUUUAGGGAACUAUAAUCUAAAGUAGAAGCUAGUUAUAUGGGCUAAAAAGAUGUAGUGAUGCAUAUAAAAAAAAUAAUAAAUAAAUAAAUUGAGUUGACUAACAAUUUUUAUUUGACUUGAGAUCGUAUUAUUUUUAAGCUGAGGGCAUAUUUAUUUCAUCUUGGUGAGAGCAUGUGAUAUCACUUCUUCAUUAUUUUCUCUCAAUUACCAUUCAAUGGAGUGACUAUUUUUAUUGGGUUUAAUUUCUUUGUGAGAGUGUCACUACUUCCAGUGAGAUUUUGGGGUUUGACAUGUCAUUCUUGAAAGUAGCUAUAACAAAGUCUACUGGGCUGAUUCAUGUGGAUGGUUGAUGUGGGUGUGAUGUUACUUUAGACUGGAGAUAAUGCUUAUACUUUUAUUUAAUUGCUAUCAUUAAUCUGAUUGAAUAAACACGAGUGUUUCUAAAUUUAAAAAAAAAAAUCAUUUUGAAUUUGAAUUUUAUUUUCGCUUCAUUUGCUAGGGACUAGCAAUAAGCUGGUUGGGGGGUGUGUUGAGUGUUAGAAAAUGCAUAUUUAUAAAGGAGAAAACCGUUAUUUUACAUUUCAAGUUUUACUAACAACCCUUACUUUUAUGUAUUUAACCUUCUUGUGAUUUAAUUACAUGUGUUUUAUUUUAAUUAAGUAUUUUAUGUAUUUUAGGGGCAUUAUAGUCAUUUCACAGUAAAGGAGAGAUCAGACGGCAAAACGGACAUCACUUUUGAACUCAGGACAGUCGAAAACCUUAAAAGGAGCAUAAAAGGAAAAAUAGUACUAUUCACAUGUACGGUACUAUUCACAUAGACGGAUGAUGACGUGGCAUUGACCGAUGAUGUGGCAUUGACUGAUGAGGUGUCACGAUCCUGUUGGACUAAAAUUCUUAUGUACUGUUGAUGGUGACGUGGCAGCAUAUCAGUGGACGAAAAAUCUCGCGUACGGUGCAUGCUUCACACAGGAUUAUUUUCAACCAAACCGCGUUACUGUUCAUCCGGGUCAAACCGCGUUACUGUUCAAAGUCGGGUCAAACCGUGUUACUGUUCAUCCGCGUGGUCAAACCGUGGACUGUUGACUGAUGACGUGGCGCAAUCCUGAGCGUCCAAACUAUUUUUAAUCCGAUGGCCAUGAUUUACUCCAUGUAUCUAUAAAAAGGGGGCCUCUCCCCCCUAAUUUGAUAUCUCUGAAUCCAUUUUUGGGAUCCAUUUUCUGUAAUUCCCUCUCCAUCUUGUAUUUUCUUCGUAUUUUAAUAAAUUUCCAUUUUGCCCCUAGUUCAAUUAUGAGUGGCUAAUUUUCUUUCAAGCUUGGGUUGAAGGUGAAGUCUCAACAUGUGUCAUGGGCUUAAUUUGGUAAAUUUAUUUUCUUUUCCCCUCUAGUUUUUGUGGAUGUUUUGACUUCUCGUCGACAAAUAAUACUAAUCUUGUCUAGUACCGCCUUGGUUUCACCGGCCCUCUAGUACAAGGUUAUUAUUAUUUGGCACGAUAAGCCCUUAGCACCAUAUUGAUUAGAGCGUGGUUCAUGAGGUGUGGAUUCCCCCUCAUGAUUUAAUUGGUAUUAAUACGGAUUAUUUAGCCCAUGAUGCAUGUUGAUAUGGAUCCAGAUACCCAAGUACGUCAUUUCAAUAUAAUUCUCGUCAAUUUAUUCUCGUCAUUUCAAUUCUAAUUUUAGAAUUUAUUCUCGCCAUUUUAAUUUAAGUUUUAGCAUAUUCCAAAUCAUUUCCACCAUAAAUCCAACAACCCAUUUACAAAAUUAAUUCUAUACACAAUUAAAAUCCACCUCCUCGUGAGAUCGACACUCGUCACAAUUAGUCUAUACUACAAUAGAUUCGUGCGCUUGCGAGUACAUUAAAAUUUGCACAACAUAAACCACAGCUAAAGUUGCAAAAAUAAGAGCUUAAAUACCGCUUGUGCUAUAAUUUUAAUCUCAAGUAUGUGUGGUGGUUUGAUCUCAAAGCAAGGAUAAAGGCCAGAAUGUUAUCACUCCAAACCAACUACGUUGCUUAGUGCUUACCUUGUUUUCAAAUAUGUUGAGCUCAAAUAUGGAUUUCAAAGAAGACCAAUAGAGUUCGGCAUCUACUUUGAAGGAACCGAUAAUCGGAAAAGGCAAAGAGCAAUACUAGACCCUUAAAAAAAAAUUAGGUUCAGCUAUCUCAAGACAAUAUAAGAAUUUAGUACUAAGUUUAAUUUUUAUUGAGCACUAAAUUUAUGGCUGUUAGGCCUGAGAGAAAAAAAAAUACAAAAUAAAUCUUAACCAUUGAUUAUUUGCUUAAAAUAAAUAAAUUCAGCACCGAAUCUUAAUUCCUCCAGAUAGGGGAGAUGGGUGGAUGAAGAUUGAGAUGGGUGAGUUCUUCAAUGAAAAUAGAGAUGAUGGCAUCUUGGCGUGUACCCGUGUAUUCUAUUUGAUUUUGAUAACUUCACCACUUCAGGCCUCAUUAUACAAGGAAUUAAGCUUACUGUCACGGGACGAGAGGUUUCAAGCCCGUGCGGCACUCCCGCAUCCCAUACUACAAGAGUAAGCCUAGUGGAAGUAGCAUAAUUUCUACUGGUUUCGCCCUGCCUUGGGCUCGUCAGGAGAACGACUCCAGUUCCCAACCAGUGUGUGUAGGGUUUCGCCUAGACCCCUCUUCAAGGUUAAGUCCUCGACUAGCGACAAGCUCCCCAAACUCAACCGGGUCGGCCUACCUGAACUCCAAAGAGUCUAGGGCCAUUGUAUUCCCCACACGCAUGCCUCUAAAGCACGUCUCCAACAAUCUGCACAACCAUCGUCGACACUAGCGUACAAGCGCAUAUCUUGGGUGCCACGAUUGCGGUUCGUGACAUUCUCCCACCACCAUGACCAUGCACGUCCUCGUGCAUCAAGAGUACGCUCGCAAAUGUGCACUUCCGCGCGAAAACGUAAAGAUCGGCUUGACAAUCUCACCCAUGAACUCCCUGCCUACUCGUCCUCGAUCCAGGUAGAGGACCCGCGUGCAGACACUGUCCAACUUAGUGCGAACGCUUGGGGGUGUGAGAACCCACAUGUUCGUCCCGCUUGUCGACCCUUGUGCCCAAAAGGGUGGGGACCUACGUGGUGCGGCAUUGGAGCGCUUGGCGAGCUCGUAACGAGGGCAUCAAGAGAUGACAAGCGCAACUCUAAUACCAUUUGUCACGGGACGAGAGGUUUCAAGCCCGUGCGGCACUCCCGCAUCCCAUACUAUGAGAGUAAGCCUAGUGGAAGUAGCACAAUUUCGACUGGUUUCGCCCUGCCUUGGGCUUGUCAGGAGAACGGCUCCAGUUCCCAACCAGUGUGUGUAGGGUUUCGCCUAAACCCCUCUUCAAGGUUAAGUCCUCGACUAGCGACAAGCUCCCCAAACUCAACCAGGUCGGCCUGCCUGAACUCCAAAGAGUCUAGGGCCAUUGUAUUCCCCACACGCACGCCCCUGAAGCACGUCUCCAACAAUCUGCACAACCAUCAUCGACACUAGCGUACAAGCGUAUAUCUUGGGUGCCACGAUUGCGGUUCGUGACAUUACGCCCAAAAAUGGCUGAUUGCUAGAUUGAAUUAUUGAAUUAGGAUGGGGAUAUUUCCACCCCCACUAUUUUUGUAAAUCCUCUCCCCUUCUAGGAAAUAAUUACAAUGAGUUUACAAUAUUUUUUAAAAAUAUAAAUUAAUAAAAAAACUUGUACAGUUAAUCAACUAAAUCAUUCCGUUAAUUUUUUUCUUAGGUUAUUCGACCAUCUUUAAUCAUAAAUUUUAAUAUAAGUUUUAUUUUACUAUUUUAUUAUUAUGGUAUAAAAAGAUAAAAUUAGCCUCAUAAAACAUGAGUUACUAUAUCUUAUAAUUUAGGUAUUUAAUUUUGUGACUUAUAAUAUAAUAUUUUUAAAUGAAAUCUAAUUAUUAUUUCCUCACCCUUACGUGUAAAUGACUUAAAUUUGACAGCCUGUAAUUUACAUGACAAUUGUGCUAUCAAGACACUAUGUUAGUUUAAUUAAAAAUAAUAAUUAUAUUAAUAAAGUAGCAUUUAGAAACAAUAAGUUUGGUAUAAAUUAGAAAAAUAUUGAAGGUGAAUUGAAUUCUUGAUAACUUUACCUUAUAAGGGUAAAAUAGUCAAUUUAAACUUAUGUCAAAACAAUCUUCGUAAUCAAAUGUACUAAAUAAAUCUAAGUCACAAAAAAGUGAAUUAUUAAUUAAUUCUCCAAAACUCUUUUUGAUUUAAAAAUUUUAAAAAUAAUGUGCAACUUUUAUAAUUAUUUUUUGAAAAUAGGGUGGAUUCACAAAAAAAAAAAAAAAAAUCGGGUGAAGAUAUCAUCACUCAUUGAAUUAUUUGGCAGAAAAAUUGUGCCGCUUUAAAUACCAAAGUUGUGACUCUAAUGCAUUUAGAUUUUCCAUAGUAUGGUACGUAUGGAUAUUUACAAAUACAAGAUCAAUCCAAAUUCUUAAUUUCUAAUUAUAAAAAAAUGAUGAGACCGAUUAUUUUGGAAGCCAUGUGAAAAUUAAUUUGGCCCACAGCUCAAUAAAAAUUAAUAUUUGUUACAAGCGUGAUGAUAUUUAACCCUCAAAUUAUCUUAACAUGCUUUAUUUUUUAAUUUAUCUUAUUACUUUUCAAAAUUAUCCUUAUUCAUAAUUAUUUUAUUUUAUUCUCCCUCCCCCGGCCCCACCCCAUCUCUCUAACAUAACCAUCACAACCGCUACCUACCUUUAUUCAUAAGUUCAUCACCACUACCGCUUAUCUUCUUUACCAUCAAUCCACCACUAGAUCACUUCCUUCAACAUAUGAUGAAUUUCGAUAUUGUGUUUUGUUAAAUUGGAUGAACAAGUGGUGGAUUUUGUUGUUAUUAAUGACAUUGGUUUUGAUUUUUGCGAUAAACCUAAAAUUUUAUUUAAUGUCAAUUUGGGAUAUGAUUAAAAGAUAAUAUUUGAUUCAAAUGGUGAAUCAAUUAAAAAAAGAUAAAAGAAAUGAGAAGUUAAUCUAUUGAGAGCUUGAAGAGAAAAAAAUAUUUAUUUUUUAAUAAUAACAAUUUUGAGAAUAAAAAUACUAAGGGGGUCAAAUAUCACCUCUUUUGUUAUAAAAAUGAUUGAAAAAUCCAGCCCACCCCUCCCAAGUUAGGCCUGGGCUUUCAAGGGCCAAGACUUUCUUUGAAAGCCUGGGCGUCGGCUGGGGAAAUCCGAUCUGAGCCGGUCCAUUUGUGAUCCCCACUCCUCAUCUCGUUUGUAAAGUAAUAAACACAUGUUGCAUGCCAUUUUGAAUUUUCUUGUUCUUCAUUCGACAUUGUGGCGAUUUUGAACAAAGCUAAAGCAUUGAUAUGAAAUUUCUGCAACCACCUUUCAUGAGUAGGGAUGAGAAUGAGAAGGGGAGGUGACCGAUAUCUGCAUACCAUCUUUGAUAUUUUGCAUAUAUCUCUAACGUCUCCUUGUUCCAAUUAGAAUUGAUUAAGAGGAAGGAACGGAGAUUCCCAAAUAAUAACAGAAGAUCUUUGAGGGUCUUUGAUUCUUGAAUAAAUAUUUUUUUAUUCUUUGAACUUGAUUUAAUCAUAUUAAAAUAAAAUUUGAUAAUAUGUCUUACAUUAACAUUAGUCCAUUACAAAAAUCACACUACAAAAUACAAAUCAUCAGAAUAAUUAUCUCUGUUAAUCUUCAUAAUCCUAUAACAAAAAGAAAAAGAAAUUAUUUUUAUAUCAAUCAUGAAAUAAAUAAAAUGAUUAUAAUAUUUAAAUAAAUGAGAUAAGCACACAGCAUGUGCUACUGGGUUAUAAUGAGAUGAGGAUGAGCUAGUUGCUAAUUGCGACACGAAUAAUUUGGAAAGGAUGAGUGAGACCGUUACAAAGUCACUUAUAAUUUGAUUUCUAGAUUGUGUGCUUGUAGGAUUAUAGGUGCUAAUUGCGACACGAAUAAUUUAGAAAGGAUGAGCGAGAUCGUGAUAAAGUCACUUAGGAUUUGAUUUCUAGAUUGUGUGCUUGUAGGGUUAUAGGCUUUAUAUUAACUAAUAUUUAUAUUAUUUUUAUAGAUAUUUUAAUAUUUAUUAUUUACAUCAAUAUUUAAUAUUUUACUGUUUAAAUUUUAUUAUUUGUUUACUAAUAAUGGCAUAAAAAUAAAAUUAAAAAUAAAAAUAAAAAACUUGGGAGAGAAUUGGAAUUCCACCCCAUCCCCCCGUUACUUUCCAAAAUAAAAUAUUAGUAAAAAAAUUAUUUUCUUCUCUUUUUUAAAUAAAAUUAAAUAUAAAAUCAUCCUUAUACAUUUUUCAAAUGAGUUCUGCUAUUUGAACGAAAUGAAGAUAAAGGGACGACAGAAAAAAUUGCCACGUGAAUCAACUGGGAUUAAUGGAAACCAAAAAUUGGCACGUGAAUCAAGCAGCUUUUGUCCCUUUGUCUAUUACUUUUUGAAUUUAAAAAAUAAAAUAAUCAAAAAAAAGUAACAAAAAGUAACAAAAAGAAAGGAAAGGGAGAUUACUUUUUGAGUUCUGUAGUCUCUCUCUAUUUCUCUCAUUUACGUGAGUUCUCUGUGUUCAAGAAGGCAAAAUUCAAACGAGUUCGAUCUCUGCAACUCACAAAUUCCGUCUCUGCAUCUCAAUUAUCACAAGGAAUAAAUUAGAUCUAGAUCUACAAACAGAGGUGAGAGAUGUUUAAAUGGUUAGAAUAUUUAAUUUAAAUUGCAAAAAUUCGUAGAUUUUUACUUUUUAUAUAUUUAAAUUGUUAUGAAUUGUUAUGAUUUUUUUUAAUUUAAAUGGCUGGAAAUAAUGGAAUAGAUUAUAAUAAUUUCUGAAUGUGUUUUAUAUAUGUUAGGAUUUUUUAAAUUUAAAUGGUUGGAAAUAAUGAAAUAAAUUAUAACAAUUUUUUAAUGUGUUUUAUAUAUGUUAGGAUUUUUCUUAAUUUAAAUGACUGGAAUAAUACAAUAAAUUAUAACAAUUUCUAACUGUGUUUUAUAUAUGUUAGGAUUUUUUUAAUUUAAAUUGCUGAAAAUAAUGAAAUAAAUUAUAACAAUUUCCGGAUGUGUUUUAUAUAUUUAAGUUGUUAGGAUUUUAUAAUUUAAAUUGUUGGAGAUAAUGGAAUAAAUUAUAAAAAUUUGUGGAUGUGUUUUAUAUAUUUAAAUUGUUAGGAAUUUUCGUUACUGGACAAAAUGUUAUAUAAGUUUCUUAAUACAAAAUGUUAUAGAUUUUGCAUGAAGCAUCAAUUCAAGCAAAUGAGGAAAAACUUAGGAAAUUUGAAACCGUGGGAACAAUUCAUACACAACAAUCAUUUUAUUUAAAUUAUUUAAAUUUAUACAUAACAUGGGGUACAAUUUCAUUUAUGCAAAAUACAUAUAGCAACGAUUAUCCCUAAAAUACAACAUACAAUGGAUAAUAUAUGCAGAAUAAUACAAUCAUUUCUGCCUUUAUCAUUUUGCACAGCUUUGUCACAUGUAGGCACUUCAGUUUGCACCUCCUUUUCGAGUGUUUCCACAAUAAAUUUUGUAGUUUCUAACAUAUUGGAUGUCUCUCGCAAUUUAUCAUGCCUUUUUAUGUAAUCAUUGUAGGCUAUUUCGGCAUCCAACAAAGAUGUAUAAGAUUUAUAAGAAUUCCCUUUGAAUCCAUUUACUUGCAUCUGACAUUCAGGCCAAGAAUUGUAUAUGUCCGGCUUUCGUCCUUUGAAAACAACAUAACAGUUUUGAGUAGGCAUUUGAAUUCUACAUUGGAAAAUUUUAGAUCAAUAUUCUAGACUUUUAUGCUAAGAAUUUCAACUGCUAACAAUAAGAGAGAAUUUCAAAACCAGGAGGGAAAAAAAGAGUAACAUUUUAACCUUCUGAAAAAGAAUGGGAGCCUCACAGCAAAGCACAAAGGCCAGCAUCAACCAAGAAACUAAUUUCUGCAACUGUAAGUGAGACAGAUCACAGCAACUUGCACCAAAAGAAAACGAGAAAAUGAAUAUCCAGCAAACAUAUCCAGCAAACAAAUUCAGACCAAAAGAAAACGAGAAAAUAAACAUCCAGCAAACAUUUUCUGAACAAUUAAUAUUUCCCAACAUAGUACCAAGUCAAAAGAAGGGCAAAAAGAAAAUAAAAAUCAAAUUUUGAUCUAAAGCAAUGCGGAGCGGGAUCCGAACUGAGUUAAAAAAAAAAUGAAAUAACUUAAAAGCAAAUCUGGUUACCCUUUUGAAAACCCAAGUGCAUAGAUCCAAAGUCGGAACUCAACAAUCAAUAAUAACCAAACAAAUGAAUUUUCACAGAGUCGACACUCAAAAACAGAGCAGUGAGCAGUAAUAAAUGCCUUGUUAGUAUCUAUGAAGACGAGUGAGAAAAUGAAAACCAGAGGCUGAGGCUCUGACGUUCAGUGUCUCUGAAGAAGAAGAAGAAGCACUGAAGCAACGAAUUAAAUGAACACGAGGCCGUACCAUGUGAGCUACGGUACACAUUCACACACGCAAACAAAAUCAAAUCCAACACCACCAACAACAACUCACCCAUGUUUCCAAUUUUUUUAAUACAAAAUUUUCAAUUAUUUAUCUUUUUCUUAUCAUCUUUGUCCGAUCGUGCAAGAAAAAAAGUUAUAAUUAUAAAAUUAAAAAAAAUACUUACGGAAGAAAUGCUAACACUGUCAAUCUCAAAAUUUCAUCAUCCAUAACAUAAAAAAAUAAAAAUAAAAUAAAAAGAAAUGCUUACGGAUGCAGCAAGCAACAACUACAAGUCUCCAAAGCAGCGACGUCGUAGUAGAUCUGGGCUGGGCGAUCGUGUUCGUUCUAGAUCUGGGGUUGGGCGAGAAAAAAAAAAUGGCUGGUAACGAACGAAGCCCGCUCAAUGGAGGGGAGUCUGGUAAUGAAGCAAACUCAAUGGAGGGGGAGUAAAAUGAGUGGUUGGGGAGUGUGUGUAAAAGGGGGAGUAAAACGAAGCAAACUGAUGUCUGGUAAUGAAGCAAACUCAAUGGAGGAAGAGUAAAAUGAGUGGUUAGGGAGUGUGUGUAAAAAGUGGAGUAAAACGAAGCAAACUCAUUUUUUUUUAUUUCGUGUGGGUCCAUACAAUAUUAAAAGAAGCAAAAAUCAACGCUUGAAACGAGUGAAACGGCAAUUCAAACUUGUGUUUCUGUCGUCCCUUUAUCUUCAUUGAGUUCGUUCAUCAUUUUCCUUUUCAAAUAAAGAAAACUUGUAAGACCCAGGCUGCCGAAAUUUCCGUUAUCCGAGAUUAUUAUUAUUAUUAUUAUUAUUAUUUAGAUAAGACUUUUAAAAUUUGACUUGGUUGACGUGUAGCACCAUUUUGCCGCACGUUUACUCCAACAACCGGGGCCAAGGCCUGGACCUAAGCGGCUUAGGCUGACCCCAAGUCACAGGCUAAGGCCCCACCACCAAACAAAGACCCUUUUUCCUUUUCAUGAAUCACCUUUCAAUCCCACAUUUCAUGAAUCAUUCACUAAACUUUUUGUUUUUUAUAUUAUGAAAAAUUUUAGAAUAUAUUUGAAGUAUUACCUUAAUUAUAUAAUAAAUAAAUAAUAUUAUGAUAUAUAUAGAGUUAUUUUAAAAAAUUAAUUAUGUAAAUAAGUUAUAUUAAAUUUUAAUUACACAUAUUAUACAGAUAUUAAUUAAUUAUAUGACAUCUAAUAUAUUUAUUUCUCAUGUAUUAUUAAGUAAGUAGGUUUAACCAAAAAAAAAAAGUAUAUUAUACAUUCCUUAGAUAUGAUUUGGACAUUUAACGCUCAGAUUCAAUGCAAUAAAUAAAUUUCUAUUUUUUCAUCUGCAACCCACGUUCAAAUUUUUGUCUACGGCUACUGGUGCAAUGUUGAGGCAUUUAGAAAUCAAUUUAAGAUUAAAUGACUUUGGUCCAUUUUUGACUUAAACAAUUUGAAGAAGCAAUCUUGCAUAUGAAAAGGCAAGGCACUGCUAUUAUUAGCAUUAGAAUUAUUAGGUGCUGCGAGUUAAUUGUAGACAUUAGGAAAGACAAGUAAAAUGGAUAUCACCGAUACUUUACCGGCAGAGUACAAAUUUGGGAUUAUAAAUUUUAAUAAAAGUUUUGUAAAUGAACUUUGCAUAUGCGAUAACUCAAAUUUGAAUAAUUCUAUAAGAAAAGGGUUAGUAUUUAUUAGGUGAGAUUUUGUACUCUCAUCUAAGCCUUUUAAAUCAUAAUAGUAAGAUCCAAAAUGUUGUUCUCCCAAAUAUUUUCACUGGUUUUUAACCACGACGGCUUCCAAUGUAAUAACCUUGUCAAUUGAUUUUGGAGAAAAUUUGAUUGAGAUGAUAGACCUAUUACUAUGGAUUGAUCAUCCUGACAAGAGUUUCGGAACAGUAAAUAUUAUAUGCUAAAUUUUUAUGUAAGUUCGUGGUCACCGAAGUUCUAAAUAAUAAUAAAAAUAAGGAUCUAAAAAAGAUAUUCUCUUACAUAUUAUCAUAUUUUUGUAAUAACCUUCGAGUUGACUUUACAACAAAACAUGAUCGAGAUGAAAGAAUUAUCGGUGAGUCUUGACUAUCCUGACAAGACCUUCGAAACAUUACACACACUCUAAUCACACUUUAGCACAAGCACAACACAAAUUAAAAUAUUUCCCUCUUUAAGAUUGAUGUAAGGGAAAACAUACCCCUGAUCAAAUUAACUAGACUACCCCUUUGAGACAACGGUGCUUUUAACCUCUUUCAUCCUUAUUUUAUGUUAUCAAUUGCUUGCUAAUAAUCUUACAAUUAAUCAUGUUAAUUUUAGAUUACCCUGUCAUCAAUUAAUUAUUCUCAAAUCACCUUUCUUACUUUUGAAAACCUCAGGUUACUCUCCACUUUUAUUAAGAUGACAAAAAAAAAUUAUAAUCCCAAAUUUACCAUUAAUCAUCAUUACUCUUUCUUGCCAAUAGAUAAUCGUUACUUCAUUCUGGCCGGUCAUCCAUCUCUAUGCGGGAACAAUAUUAUUAAAAUUAUAUGCUUCUGCCGACCAGUUCGCAUUUUUUUCCACGGGCUGUUGGUGCAAUUUCCUAACUCAUUAGACCUGUCCAAAGUUCAAACCCUUGUGGAACAAGUAUCCAAACGAGUAGAAAGCAGGAACUUUCAUCCACUACUGCUGUAUAAUUUAAUAAUUUUAAAAGGGUCCGCCUAACUUACGUUGAAUGUAAGUUACGGUCAGCCUGUGAAAUUUCAUCUAGCCCCCUAUGCUCUAUAUUAUUUAUAUUUUAUUCAUGAAUAUUAUAAACUUCUUGAAAUGUAAAAUUUCGUUUAACCCCUUAUACUCAAUUUUAUUUUAUUGAAACCAUAGAGUAUGAAUUCGCCCCCAUAAUUUUAAAUUCUCAAAAUAACCUCCAUUUAAUUAAAAAAUAUAAUUAUUGUUAAAUUAAUUAUAAUUAUAAUUUUAUUAUAAUCAUAAAUACUUUUUUAAUAGAUUAUUGUUAUUAUUAAUAACGAUAAUAAAAAAUAUUAUAAUUAAUUAAUCUAUUAACAAUAAUUAAUAAUAUUUUUUAUUAAAUUGUUAGUAAUAAUAAUAAUAAUUAAUGAUAAUUAACAUAUUUAUGAUUAUAAUAAAAUGGAAUAAACAUUGAGUCUAUAUUUAUGUAGAAGACUCUUUUAUAUUUCUAUACUUUUUAAUUUCAAGUACUUUCAGGAUUUUUUGUUACUUUGAUAAAUAAUAGUUUCGUAGGCAUCUCAUUAUUAAACGGUCAUUUUUAAGUGCUUUUUGCUAAGUUGUUACACCUUGGAGGAUGUAAACACAUUUUUCUUGCUUCUAUUUUUUAAAUGCAAAAUUAUUUUUAUUGGGUCAAGCUUAAAAUUUUAACAGAAAUUGUCAUUCAUUGGUCUCUUGAAAUCCGAUAAUGAGUAUUUAAAGUCGAAGGUAGCAUUAGCAAUACAUUUACUAUUAGUUAGAUAAUCAUUAAUUAUUAUUAUUAUUAUUAACAAUUUAUAAUACUUUUUAUUCUUGUUAUUAAUAAUAACAAUAAUCUAUUAAAAAAAUAUUUAUGAUUAUAAUAAAAUUAUAAUUAUAAUUAUAAUUCAUUUAAAAAUAAUUAUAUUUUUUAAUUAAAUGAAGGUUAUUUUGAGAAUUUAAAAUUAUGGGGGCGAAUUCAUACUCUAUGGUUUCAAUAAAAUAAAAUUGAGUAUAAGGGAUUAAACAAAAUUUUACAUUUCAAAAAGUUUAUAAUAUUCAUGAAUACAAUAUAAAUAAUAUAGAGCAUAGGGGGCUAGAUGAAAUUUCACAACCUUCUCCAUUGAACUUGUACAAAUAAAGCUUAACAAAGAAGUAUCGGGUGAUGUGAGUUUUAAAGAGCAGGAAAUUAAAAGACAGCAAGUCAAAUGGAUAUCACAAUUGCUCUGCCUGCGGAGUGUAUUUCCAAUAUCAUUUCUCUUACAACUCCUCGCGAUGCUUGCAGAUUAUCAGUGGUGUCUCCUGUAUUCAAAUCAGCCGCUGAUUCAGAUUCCGUGUGGGAGAAUUUUCUGCCGUCUGAUUACAAGCAGAUCAUUUCCAACUCUGUCUCUGAUUCAUCUUUGAUCACUUCCCUGUCGAAGAAAGAUCUUUAUUUUCAUCUCUGUCGCAACCCCAUCAUCAUCAACAAUGGUACUAUGGUAAGUCAAAGUUGACUUAGCUUCUAUCUAAACAAAUCAUAUACUAUAUAUUAAUGUUUUACCUCAGUUUAUUCUGCUAUUUGUGUAGAAAAUUUUUAUUUUGGAGUAUUAUGAAUAUUAAUAUUAACACCAAGAGCUUCAUCAGAUGUACGUUUAACCAAACAAGAUGGUUGACUUCUUGUUCAUUGUAAUAUCCAAAAAACGACAUGCUAACUAUACCUUGAACUCAUCAAAAUUUUUUACUUGAAUUUUCAUCUUGUUCCGUACAAACACAAUUUUAUAUUAUCUUUGAUGUUUUGAGUUCUAAGCUUUUAUUAAUUAACACCCAGAUGCAAUCUUAGUAAGCAUUGAAAUGGAGAAACUUAUACACCAAAACUGAUUUUAUAGAAAAGCUAACAUCAUGAAUACUUUGACAGAGCUUUGCGCUGGAGCCGGAGAGUGGGAAAAAAUGUUACAUGGUUGGGGCAAAAGGGCUUUCCAUAGCAUGGGGAGAUGAACCUAACCAUUGGAUAUUGACUUCUCUACCGGAGUCUAGGUUUGUUCAUAUAUAUUGGCAUUGCACGUUUGCAUUUUUUAGUGUACAAUCGAUUUUGUCACCAGUGUAAUUUGCUCACGUGUCAAUGCACUGACAGGUUUCCUGAGGUGGCUGAACUCAAGUAUGUGUGGUGGUUUGAUGUCAAAGCAAUGAUAGAGACCAAAAUUUUGUCACUCAGAACCAACUAUGCAUCUUACCUUGUUUUUAAGUUCGUAGAGUCAAAGUAUGGAUUUGAGAGAAGACCAGUAGAGUCUGGGGUCUACAUUGAAGGAUGCGAUAACGGGCAUAGGCGAAGACUGUUGCUAGAUCCUUCAAGAAAUAUGGCUCGAUUAUCUCAAGACAGGGGAGAUGGGUGGAUGGAAAUUGAGAUGGGCGAGUUCUUCAAUGAAAAUGGAGAUGAUGGCAUGUUGGUGUGUAGUCUAUUUGAAUUUGAUGGCUUCAUUACCAAGCACGGCCUCAUUAUACAAGGGAUUGAGCUGAGGCCUAAAAGUGGCUGAUAGCUGUAUUGAAUUAUGGUUUUGACAAUGCAACAUUUAGUCAUUUGGUGACGCAUGUAAGCUAUUUAGGUGGGUCAAUCAACCAAGAACGCGACAAAUACUUCUUUUUUUCAUUCAUGAAGGAAUAGCAAUAACAGAGAGGUGGCAUAAUUUUAUUGUUGAAUGCAUUAGGUUAAUGAUGAUAUCCAUAUUAAUUGAGCUUUCAUGUAUUUUUAUUAAUGACUUGUAAAAUAACCUUGAAUCACCUGGCGUUCCUAGCUAACUUGAAUUUUCUUGUUCUUCAAGAUAAUAAUGACUUUGAACAAAGUUAAGCAUUGCUAUUUCUUUACAACAUUUAAUUUACAAGACUUGACAGAUGGAGCUCCAUUUUGUUGCACAUCCAAUUCGAUGCAUGAAUAUUAGACUGAGACAAAUGUUUGCGAAAAUGAAUCGGAUGUUCGAUUUAUUGCCUCAGUGAAUACGUAGUCUUGGGCCAAGCACUCACUCCAUCAAGCAAGCCGUGACAUGGCACGUGGCGGAACUGAAUAAUGUGACCUGUGAGGAGGAUUCAGCAAGUCCCCAAGAAUACUAUUGGUGUAGAGCUCUCAGGGGUAAGCUCAGAGGACUUUAACAAGACAAACUUGGAUCUGUCCUUUGUAAAAGACAAUGAUCAAGAGCCAUCGGAGUGGAUCCUUUAUAUCCAUAGGAUCUUAGCUACAGUUGUGGAUGAUUUUGUAAGCAAAUUACUUUUAAGACCAGAGUUAUUAUUAAAGAAUGAUUUUAUUCUAAGUCUUCAUUUAUUUAUGGGAAACAGAUACCUACACUCUUAAGAUUUGAAAAAAUAACCAUGUAAACCUCAAGUUUUUAAUAAAUGAUACACUCUCAAGAUUUGAAAAGUAAUCAUAUAUACUCCAAGUCUUUAAUAAGGGAUACUGAGACUCCCUUUUGAAUAACAUAGUUGUUGGUUCCACAUAAUUCGUAAAACCUCAAUUGUAUUGUAAAAUUUCUCUGUAAAAAGAUUAGUUAAAUGGUUUGAUGUUAAGAGCCUGAAAUCUCGUGAUCAUGAAAUGGCACAACUCUUCGAGUUAUAUGUCGACAAACAUGACACAGUCUUAAUAAACUUUGUAUACUCAUGAAAUUGGGAUAAAAAGUUGGUCUCCCUAGCAUUAUUCACAUUAUUAUUAGCAACAUAAACAGAACUUUCCACUAUAGAAGACGAAAUCACUCAAAUAAAUCACAAUAAGUGCUCAGUUGAUUACUGUUCUCUAGCAAAUGUUACAAUUUUUCACUUUGAAAGAAGUUGUAAUUAAUUGCUAUCUUUUAAAGCCACGAGUAAUUGUCUGACACUAAGCAAACAUUAGGUUCCUGGAUCAUCGAUCAAAUUUACCAUUAACUUAACAAAAAAGUCUGGUGUAUUUACCUUUGCUAUAUAUAUUUUAAACUCACUCCUUGUCUUGCUACGAGUUGCAAGAAGUAAAAUGGUUAUAACAUUUGUGCUGUCACCAGGGUGCGUUUCCUACAUAAUUUCUCUUACAACUCCUCGUGAUGCCUGCAGAUUAUCCGUGGGUACGUCUCAUCAACAAAUCAGUUGCGGAUUCAGAUUCCGACUGGGAGAAUUUUCUGCGGUCUGAUUACAAGCAUAUCAUAUCCAAUUCAGUCUCUGAUUCAUCUUUCAACACUUCUUUGUCUAAGAAGGAUCUUUAUUUUCAUCUUUGUCGCAACCGCAUCAUCGUCAAUAGUGGAUCUAUCGUAAUUCAAACUUGACAAGGUUUUCUUUUUCUUUUUCCUUUUUUACAUGUGCAAAUCAAAUUUACAUGCCAAGCAUAUGUUAUAUAUUAAUUAAGCUAUUAAUUUUAUUGUGCGAUUGAUCUGCUGGUUAAACUAGAAUAUGGAACUCUAGUCAUUGAUCCAAAUGAGAAAUUGGUGAAAUUAAGAAUCUUCUUUGUUUCAGCCAAAAUUUGGAUUGGCUGGUCCAUAAUUGAUUUUGAUUCUUAAUUUGUGACGGAAUUUAUUUUUCCCUGACUUAGCGCAAAGUACGCACCAGAAAUUGCUCUGCUUUUGCUCCAGCUAUUCAAUUUUUUUAUGAAAUGAGUAAGUUAAAACACAAUGGAUGAUGACUUCUUGUCCAUAGAAGUAUGCGAUAAACGAAUCGCUAUGAUAAGGAAUCACUAUCUGUGGCAACUAAGUUGUUAUCGAGGUUUGGUAACUAUAGCUUUUAAGUUACAGUAUUUGUUCUUACAGCUGCAAAUCUAAGCUGAUUUGAUCCUACACUUAUAUGAUGAAAAGCCUAUAAUAUAUUCAUUUCUUUUUGUAAAUAUUAUUAUGCAAAGUUGUAUUUAUUAUAUACUAUUAGUUUUUAUCUCAUAGUUUUUUUAUUUCACAGUAACUAUGGUUCAAGAACUACACCACCUCAAAUACCAAAUAGGGCCUAAAACUUUCUUCUUCUUUGAUAUAAUCUCAAUUUUAAAGCUAAAAUUAAUUGUCAUUCUUUGACAGAGCUUUGUGCUGGAGAAAGAAAGCAGGAAGAAAUGUUUUACGGUUAGAGCAAGAGAUUAUUAGCAACUCCAUGAAGUCCUUAUAAAACCCACCUCUUAGGAUACCUCAUUAAAAACUUUUAAAAUUUUACUUUUUUUUUCAAAAGCACCCACUUUAAUUCCACUUAUAACCUACACCUUUGUUUCUCGUACAGACUCCUUUCUCUCUCUCUCUCUCUCUAUCUCUUAUAAGGUCUCGACUCCCCAAUCUCUCUCUUUCUUUGUAGAAUAUUUUUAAAUUUGAUAUUGACUUUUUGUGUCACCAAUUCUAUCUUUCAUAAGAAAAAAUUAUAUGUGUAUUUGUAAAAGGGUAAAAGUCCAUUUCGUCCCUAAAUUUUAAGAUUAUGGUCUAUUUAGUCCUUAUAUUUUUAAAAAUACCUCGAAACAUCCCUGCUGUUACAGUAUUGAUAUCCCUACCGUUACUUUUCAUUUCUUUUAACUUACUUUUACAAUAUUACCCUUUUAUAAUAAUUUUUUGGACAUUAAUAAAAAGAAAAUAAUUAAAUUACUAAUUUAACCCUAAAAAUAAUAUUUUAAUUUUUUUGCAAGCACCAUUUGAGCACUUGGUAGUUUGCAUACAAUUUUUGAUAAUUAAAAAUUAAUGCAAAUUUUUAUUUUUUAGGAUUAAAUUGGUAAUUUAAUUAUUUUAUUUUUAUUAGUGUCCAAACAAAAAAAUUAUUAUUGAAGGGUAAUAUUAUAAAAAUAAGCCAAAAGAAAUAAAAAGUAACAGUAAGGGUAUCAAUACUUUAACGGCAUGGAUAUUUCGAGGCAUUUUUAAAAAUAUAAGGACUAAAUGGAUACUAAUCUUAAAAUACAGGGACUAAAUGGGCUUUUACCCUUUGUAAAAUUAUGCUUGAAAAAAUUACUUUGAUAGUUAUUGUUGCUUUAACGCGCUUUCUGCUACCAUUUUGUUAACUUCGUCGAUGAUAAAUUUCCACUUCUUCACCAUCAACAGUUCAAAUAUUAGGCUCCUUCUUAGCAUCAUCUACCAUCUGCAUAUAUAUGUGUGUGUAUAUAUAUAUAUAUAUAUAUAUAUAUAUAUAUAUAUAUAUAUAUAUAUAUAUAUAUAUAUAUAUAAGCAAAUUAAAUUAUCUGAGGAAACUAAUUAAAUAUAUAAUUUAAAAAAGGAUAUCCUUGAUUAUAUCAUAUAUCAUAUAUACCGAAGAUUGAUAUCAACUAGUGAUUUGUUUGUCUUCUUUUUUUUUUUUUUCUCUUUACAAGGAAAGAUGUGUGGGGUUUGAUUGGAUCAGUUUAUUUUCAAAUUAUGAAGGGCAAAACUGUACAUGUAUAAAUAUGAGGUUUUAUAAAAGUUUUGGAGGGAUGCUAAAUUGCUAAUAGUCCUACCCCUAAUUUAAUAACCUUCUAAAGGUCUAUUUGGUAUUAAGAUAUUAUAACUUUCAAGUUAUAAUUGUUAUGAAAAAAAAAUCUAUAAUUAUAAAAUAAAAGUUAAUAA